RNAcentral lists this long non-coding RNA (91867 nucleotides) under Hordeum vulgare. Its description in RNAcentral is "long non-coding RNA (HVUL_LNC007495)". The record is from RNAcentral. Lineage: Eukaryota; Viridiplantae; Streptophyta; Magnoliopsida; Poales; Poaceae.
UGCUAACCAAGGUUUUUAUGCCAUUUUGUAGUUAAAUGGGCUAAUUAUCUCAUUGUUGGGGAAAAUAAGGUAAGGAGCAUAAGAAAGAGGAGAAGGAGGAGAAGAAGAAGAAAUCAAGAAGAAGGAGAAGGAGGAGGAGGAGAAGAAGGAGAAGGUAUUUUUCUUCUCUUCUUCUUGUUCUUCUUUCUUUUCAUUUUUCCUAUUUCUUCUCCUCUUCUCCUCUUGUUGGAGCUAAAUUAUCUAAUUAUUUCUUUUUGGAGCUAUAUGGGCUAAUUAUGUCAUUUUAGAGGAAAACAAGCUAAGAAUAUAAUAUUCAUGAGCUAACCAAGGUUCUUAUGCCAUUUUGGACUUAUUAUGGCAUUUUGGAGCUAAAUGGGCUAAUUAUGUCUUCUUCUCUUCUUCUUCUCUUCUUCUCCUUCUUGUUUUUUUUCUUCUCUUCUUCUUCUUCUUCUUCUUCUUCUCCUCCUCCUCCUCCUCCUCCUCUCCUCUUCUCCUCCUCCUCUUCUUCUACUUCUUCCUCUUCUUUCUAUUAAGCUAACUAACUAACUAACCUAACUAACCAAGCUAACUAAACCUAUCGCCAAACCUAUACAACACUAAGCAGCAAAAAAAUAACAAAAACAUAAUCUACCACUAAGUAACUAAAAAAGAAUCUAGCUACCACUAAUUAACAAAACAGAAUCUACCACUAAACUACCUACUAAAUCUACUAAUUAACUAACUAAAUCUACCAACUAACUAAACUACCAACUAACUAAAGAUAAUCUACCAACUAACUAAACUACCACUAAAUCUACUAAUUAACUAACCUACCAACUAAACUAUAUAUACCACUAAAUCUAUUAAUUAGCAAAAAAAGGAAAAAAUCACCUUGGUUAGUAGUUGGCAGCCCGGGCGGUAACGGUUGGGGCGGUGGGUGACCUGGCCGGAGCUGGUGGAGGAGGGGGUCGCGGGGAGGAGAGGGCACCAGGGCAAGGGGUGGUGCAAUGGGGGAUGAGAGGGGGCCACGGGGAGGAGGGCACCAGGGCGAUGGUGGAGCAGGGGCACGGAGAGGAGGGGGCGGUGGUGGAGCCGGGGCACGGUGGUGGAGGAGGGGGUCACAGGGAGGAGGAGGGGCGAGCUCCGGCGGUGGGUCACGGGGAGAAGGGAAGACAAGCUCCAGCGGUAGCGUGGGGAGAGAAGACAAGCUCCAGCGGCAGCGCGGGGAGAGAGAAGGGGGCUGUGGUGAAUCGUUAUGGGGGAGAGAGAGGGGGUGGGGUGGGGGUUGACGACGUUAGGUCUAGUUGCCUCUUUGCUGUCUGCCCCCGACGGCAAAGUGGUAAUAGGCUGACGGCAAAGUGUUGGACCGUUAUGGGUUAGAGGGCGGUGUUGGGUGGGUUNNNNNNNNNNNNNNNNNNNNNNNNNNNNNNNNNNNNNNNNNNNNNNNNNNNNNNNNNNNNNNNNNNNNNNNNNNNNNNNNNNNNNNNNNNNNNNNNNNNNGAAGGUCCUUGGCCUUCUCCUCCUUCUCCUCCUCCUCCUCCUCCUCCUCCUUCUCCUUCUUCUCUUCCUCUUCUCCUCCUCCUUCUUCUCCUUCUCCUUCUCUUCUCUUUCUGUUCUUCUUUUUGUUCUUCCUUUUCAUUUCUCCUCUUCUUGGAGCUAAAUUAGCUAACUAUGUCUUUUCGGAGCUAAAUGGGCUAAUUAUCCCAUUUUAGAGGAAAACAAGCUAUGUAUAUAAUAUUAAUGAGCUAACCAAGGUUCUUAUACCAUUUUGAGCUUANNNNNNNNNNUUCAUUGUUUGGGAAAUUAAGACAAGGAGAAUAUGAAAGAGGAGAAGAAAGAGGAGGAGGAGGAGGAGAAGAAGAAGAAAUAAAUAAGAAGGAGGAUAAGGAGGAGGAGGAGGAGAAGGAAUAGAAGGUCCUUGGCCUUCUCCACCUUCUCCUCCUCCUCCUCCUUCUCCUUCUUCUUCUUCUUCUUCUUUCUUUUCAUUUUUCCUAUUUCUUCUCCUCUUCUCCUCUUCUUGGCGCUCAAUUAGCUAACUAUGUCUUUUUGGAGCUAAAUGGGCUAAUUAUCCCAUUUUAGAGGAAAACAAGCUAAGUAUAUAAUAUUAAUGAAAUAACCAAGGUUCUUAUGCCAUUUUGAGGUUAUUAUGGCAUUUUGGAGCUAACUGGGCUAAUUAUGUCAUUGUUGGAGAAAUUAAGGCAAGGAGAAUAUGAAAGAGGAUAAGAAAGAGGAGGAGGAGAAGAAGAAGAAGAAAUCAAGAAGAAGGAGGAGGAGGAGGAGGAGGAGAAGGACUAGAAGGUCUUUGGCCUUCUCCUCCUUCUCCUCCUCCUCCUCCUCCUCCUUCUCCUUCUUCUCUUCUGCUUCUUCUUUCUUUUCAUUUUUCCAAUUUCUUCUCCUCUUCUCCUCUUCUUGGAGCUCAAUUACCUAAUUAUGUCUUUUUGCAGCUAUAUGGGCUAAUUAUCCCAUUUUAGAGGAAAACAAGCUAAGUAUAUAAUAUUAAUGAACUAACCAAGGUUCUUAUGUCAUUAUGACGUUAUUAUGGCAUUUUGGAGCUAAAUGGGCUAAUUAUGUCAUUGUUGGGGAAAUUAAGGCAAGGAGAAUAUGAAAGAGGAGAAGAGAAACUUACCGUAGUGGUGAUCAAGGAGGAGGAACACCUGGAGAAGGGUCGUGCGAUGCCGCUCAGGAGUUAUUCUGUAGAAUAGAUAUUUUACAAUGUCUCGCUUAGCAUGAUGACACUCAAUUAUUUAUACUACUUUAUAAUGAAACUCACCGUGUCAAUCGAAGAGAAGACGGCCAUCGACGGAGGGACUUGACCGCUCUUCUCGCACAGACCUUGAAGAGUGGGUCAUAUUAGUUAGUAAUGAAACAGACAUUACAAACAUGAUUUGGCUAAUUUGAAAAAAAAACUUACCACAAAAAGCUCGUACAGGGCCCGUUGACCCGCCUCAUUUUGGGCCCUCUCCUCCUCAAUCAAUCGUGUCGUGGUAUGGUCCCUCUCAUCAAGAGCAGCCUGGCUUGCCAAUCUCUCUUUCUCAAGAGCAGCCUGGUUUGCCGCUCUCUCGUUCUGAAGAGCAGCCUGAAACACCAUUCCUCGGUACCACAGUAAUGAUCUAUGGUGACACACAUAAUGAAAUGGAUGAAUUUUUCUUAGUCCGUACAACUAACCUCGAUGGCAAGAUUGACUGGCCGUGGACGACGCGUUAUCUCAGGACAGCUGCUCGACUAGCACGCCUUGAUCUCCGGGAGAGUGAGUGGACAACGUAUUAUCCCAUCUCCAAUGGCUAUCGAGCCAUGGGGCCUCCCGCCACCAGAUAUCAUCACCAGCUCUAGAUCCAAAGGUUCCUGGCUAGGGUUGAAGUCAUCCCCUUUGGUAGCCUUCCCCGUGUCCCUGUAUGUCAUGAGCUUGUGGUGGGUUCAUAUGUUGGUGAAGUUAUUUGGAUCAUCCAGGUCAGACUCAGAGAAUGCCUUCCCCUUCUUGUACGAGGCAGUAUGGGCUGUGCCAUAAAGGUCAUACAAGUGUGGCAUCUCCGUCUUAUUGUGAUGCGCCUAAAAGAGAGGANNNNNNNNNNAUAUUAGCAUGAAGAAUGAAUUGCAUGAAUCAUGAAGCAAAUCACAUACCCAAUUUCGUCUGAACUGAAGUAAGUUGGCGUUGCUUUGAUGGUGUGGCACACCAACCAUUUGGCUACGCCGAUCCUUCGCAUUCUCGUGGACGGCUCGCCAGCUGCCUGUGCACCACUCAUCAACCAACGCCUCCCAACAAUCCAUCUUAUCCGCACACCAUAUCGGGGGCACUUGUAAGUUAUUAGAAAGAAUUUUGAGCGCUACGCCUAUGAAUGAAAUCAAGAAAACUACGUAGAAGGACUUAAGAAUAGGUAAUUACCUUCAUGUAUUGCUCCUUCUUCAGAAACUUUCCGCGGCAAUCCUUCUUCUGCUUCUUAAUACCACGCGUGGCGUAGUAGUCUCGAAUAGCCUGCGGCCGAGCCUCGUGGCGUAAGUUAUGUAGUAACCGCCUACACUCGGCGUCGAGAACCUUGGCCGCCUCCUCCUCAUAUCCAGCCUCACACCUAUAGAAGGUCUGCAAUCAAACGUGAAAACACCGAUUAGUACAAUAAUUAGCUAUAUUGUUAAUUUUAGAUUGUGUAAAAGGAUAAUUUACCCAAAAGCUCUUGAUCACCAUCUCGGCCCUCGUGUGGCACANNNNNNNNNNGACACCAUCUAUAAUCUCCUCCGGCGGGGCCUGCGCAGCCUGGUAGUGCUCCGAGGAAAAUCCUAGUGUAGGAACCUGACCCUCACCACGCAACAUGACAAACCCCAGGAAAUUUGUCCGGCAAAGCACACCAAGGACGGAGUUCGGCCUGCGGACUCCACGAGGGUGUGCCCAUCCCCUGCAGUAUGAUAAGGUCAACGCAUUAGAUAUUUGAACAAACUUGAAGGCAAAAGCUAAAAAAAAAGAGUAAAUGUACUUACCUAUCUCCUUCAGGUUUAAUCACCGGCCUCUGCACGCGGGUAGCCGGCAUGACCGGGAGACGUGUACUACCACGCUUGUACACGGUGGCCCCGUCCACCUGCACAUCGCCCUCACUAUUCGUAAACUCAUCCCCGCCAUCCUCGCCCCCUGAGCCACCCGGACCCUCGGUCCAAUCCGGAAACUCGGUCUCAUUCGGCCAGGUAUCCCAUCCGGGCCUCUCCACGUCGGGUGAAGCCUCCGGAACCGUAGUAUCGUGGGCCGAAUGCACCUCGACCCGAGGCUGAUCCUGGCCCGCAGUCUCAUGGGACGAAUGCCCGUGAACACCAGACUCCUGGACCGGAGUCCCCGUAGCCUCCUCCACAAACGGGUCGACCAUAGUAGUCCUAUGCUCGGGUGAAUGAGCUGGUGGUGGUGGCGAGGACGGCUCAACAGUCCUCCUGGAUCUUCCGCGGCAACCACCUCUCCAUGUACCCUUCCCCUUCUUCCCUACCCGACCAGCACCUCUCCAAGUGGGAAAUGCCGCCAACGAAGAAGAACGCACGAGUGGUGUCGACAGACUGUCUGCCAAGUCUCUACGGAGAGAUAGGGGUGGAAGGGAAGUACCACCCCUCGUGCGGGGCAGCUGGGAAGAACCCGUCGAGCGCUCUAGACCAACGCCCACCAUCUUUCAACACCUGGUGACCUGCCAUGAUAAAGAUUAAAAGAAAUUAGUACAACAUGCAAAAAUUGAAUAACUGACAUGAAAAAUAAUAUGUACAUGAAUAAUAAAGAUUCAAAUAUAUAUCAUUUAUCUUACAAACUAAUAAUCAUCAUCAGUAAAUGCAUCAUCAUCACUAUCACGCAUGUCUUCAUGAAUGACGUGCUCAUCGGGUUCAACAACGUGAAGUUGUGAAAGGCCUUUCUUUAAUCGUUGAAGCAUUCACAGGUCAUCGCAUCAGUAACCUCUACGAGUUCCAGGUCUUCUGGUUCCGGCGAGGGGUGGAGUCGGAUUCAUUGUUGCUGUUUACUUCCAUGUUCUUGGGUGAAGCACGUCGGUUCUUGAAAUGUUUCUUGGAAAGACGUGUUUCCUGGAAGAAUUCUCCAUCAUAUGUGUCUGGGUUAAUGUGUGCUUCAUAAUCCUGUUCAUUUGGGAGAGGUGGUCUGACAUGUGGCGGCACUUCAUAAACAACAUACCAACCUUCCAGAUUCUUAUCCGUUUGGCAUGCCCAUGGUAGAUAGAAAACUUGGGUCGCCUAUUGAGCCGUAAUAUAGACAUUGGGAACAUCUAAAUGGGUGUUUGGAUUGAUUUCGACUAGCCCUAUAUGUUCAUGAGUCCUUCUAGUCUCCUUCGGCUGGAACUAAUAACAUUUGAAGACUACGAUGUUCGGUGGGUUUUCACCUUAUAAUUGAAGUUCAUAAAAUGCUUCCACUCUUCCAUAAUACUCGAUAACACCUUCGCCGAUAGCACAGACACCACAAUUUUUAGAUUUCCGGUCGGGCAUAGAUAGCUCUUUGCCAAAGGUACGAAAGAGAUACCCGUUGACAUUGUAUUUCUCAAAUGAACGGACCUUAUAGUCAAAACCAUUAGCGACCUGUCUCAAUUCGGCGUCCAUAGACUCUGAAUUAGCCUACAUGUUUAAUACGAAAUGAUUGUUGCAUUAGCCGCAAGUUAGACAAAGAAAUGAAAUGGUCCAUUAUUUAUAAUUACCGUUUGUUUGAACCAAGAGAUGAAACAAAGAUAGCUGCCUCCUGUCUUUGACAGAAGCUCAUACUCUUCGACGGAAUCAUUUUCGAUCACCGCUCCAUCCAAGAAUUGGCGACGUAACGGCCGUUUGAAAUAUCUGGGAAUAAGAGCAGUUCAAAGGAAUUAGAAUUUAUAGGAAAAUGUGCCGAGAACUCACUCGAUGUACCGCCGCAUUUCUGUUAGGUUGUUGAAGAUAUACAAUGAAAUGUUCCGCCAUUCUUGGACAUCCAACGUUAUUGGUUUCGAAGCACCGGGUAGUGCGAGCUUCCCUUUAAAUAGGCUGAGGUUGGACCCACGUUUUUAGGGUCUGCAUCAUUGUGCCGAGGCUUCGGAUUAUGCAAAUGAUGAUUUUUGGCUUCGUAGUGUGUUGUCACAAAGUUUGCCACCUCCUCAGUAAUGAAUGCCUCAGCCAUCGAUGCUUCAAUUCUAUGCUUAUUUUUACAUUUAGCUCGAAGGGUCUUGUGCAUACUCUCAGUUGCAUAGCACCAACGAUCUUGCACGGGCCCACCCAAUCUUGCCUCGGUCGGUAGAUGUAAAAUCAAAUGCUGCAUUGGAUUAAAGAACCCCGGUGGAAAGAUCUUCUCUAACUUGGACAAGAACUCCGGUGCAAACUCCUCCAUGUCUUCUACCACGCCAGGUGACAAUUCUUUCACACAAAGAACACGGAAGAAAUAGCUCAGCUCCGCCAGUACUAGCCAUUCAUCCUCAGGAAUAAAGCCACGUAACAUCGCCGGCAUUACGCGCUCUAGCCAUAUGUGCCAAUCAUGAUUCUUGAGACCAAAGAUUUUUAAUUUUUCAAGACUCGCUCCCCUCUUUAGAUUCGCGGCAUACCUAUCGGGCAACAUCAAGUGCAUUUUGACACACAAGAUAAUUUCCCUCAUAGCUGGCCUUCCAAGAUUGAACCAGGCCUUUGUCUUCGACCACUUCUGCUUUCCUUUGCCUUCUCGCAUGUUUUGUAACGGUCUAUGACAUAGAUUCUCUUGAUCGACUCUAGCCUUAGUAUUAUCCUUUGUCUUUCCAUCUAUGUCAAACAAUGUACCAAAAAUAGCCUCUCCGAUAUUCUUUUCAGUGUGCAUCAUGUCGAUAUUGUGUGGAAGAAGGAGGUCUUUGNNNNNNNNNNNNNNNNNNNNNNNNNNNNNNNNNNNNNNNNNNNNNNNNNNNNNNNNNNNNNNNNNNNNNNNNNNNNNNNNNNNNNNNNNNNNNNNNNNNNCCUUCUCCUCCUUCUCCUCCUUCUUCUUCUUCUUCUUCUUCUUCUUCUUCUUCUUCUCCUCCUUCUUCUUGAUUUCUUCUUCUUCUUCUCCUUCUCAUCUUUCUUCUCCUCUUUGUUAUUCUUCUUACCUUAUUUUCCCCAACAAUGACAUAAUUAGCCCAUUUAGCUCCAAAAUGACAUAAUAAGCUCAAAAUGGCAUAAAAACCUUGGUUAGAUCAUGAAUAUUAUAUUCUUAGCUCGUUUUCCUCUAAAAUGACAUAAUUAGCCCACAUAGCUCCAAAAAGACAUAAUUAGAUAAUUUAGCUCCAAGAAGAGGAGAAGAGAUAGGCAAAAUGAAAAGAAGGAAGAAGAAGAAGAAGAGGAGAAGAAGGAGAAGGAGGAGGAGGAGAUGAAGGAGAAGGAGGAGGAGGAGGAGAAGGAGGAGAAGAUCACCUCCUCCUUCUCCUCCUUAUCCUCCUUCUUCUUCUUCUCCUUCUUCUUCUUCUCCUCCUCCUCCUCUUUCUUAUCCUCGUUUCCUUAUUUUCCCCAACAAUGAGAUAAUUAGCCCAUUUAGCACCAAAAUGACAUAAUAAGCUCAAAAUGGCAUAAAAUCCUUGGUUAGCUCAUGAAUAUUAUAUUCUUAGCUUGUUUUCCUCUAAAAUGACAUAAUUAGCCCAUAUAGCUCCAAAAAGACAUAAUUAGAUAAUUUAGCUCCAUCAAUAGGAGAAGACGAGAAGAAAUAGGAAAAAUUAAAAGAAGGAAGAAAAUGAAGAAGAAGAGAAGAAGAAGGAGAAGGAGGAGUAGGAGAAGAAGGAGGAGAAGAAGGAGAAGGAGGAGAAGACCUUCUCCUCCUUCUCCUUCUUCUUAUUCUUCUCCUUAUUCUUGAUUUCUUUUUCUUCUUCUUCUCCUCCUCCUCUUUUGUCUCCUAUUUCUAAUUCUCCUUACCUUAUUUUCCCCAACAAUGACAUAAUUAGCCCAUUUAGCUCCAAAAUGACAUAAUAAGCUCAAAAUGGCAUAAUAACCUUGGUUAGCUCAUGAAUAUUAUAUUCUUAGCUUGUUUUCCUCUAAAAUGACAUAAUUAGCCCAUAUAGCUCCAAAAAGACAUAAUUAGAUAAUUUAGCUCCAACAAGAGGAGAAGACGAGAAGAAAUUGGAAAAAUGAAAAGAAGGAAGAAGAAGAAGAAGAAGAAGAGAAGAAGAAGGAGAAGGAGGAGGAGGAGAAGAAGGAUAAGAAGGCUCCUCNNNNNNNNNNNNNNNNNNNNNNNNNNNNNNNNNNNNNNNNNNNNNNNNNNNNNNNNNNNNNNNNNNNNNNNNNNNNNNNNNNNNNNNNNNNNNNNNNNNNAAGAGGAGGAGGAGGAGAAGAAGAAGAAAUAAAGAAGAAGGAGGAGAAGGAGGAGGAGGAGGAGGAGGACUAGAAGGUCCUUGGCCUUCUCCUCCUUCUCCUCCUCCUCCUCCUUCUCCUCCUCCUCCUCCUCCUUCUCCUUCUCCUUCUUCUCUUCUUCUUCUUCUCCUUCUUCUUCUUUCUUUUCAUUUUUCCUAUUUCUUCUCCUCUUCUCCUCUUCUUGGAGCUAAAGUAGCUAACUAUGUAUUUUUGGAGCUAUAUGGGCUAAUUAUCCCAUUUUAGAGGAAAACAAGCUAAUUAUAUAAUAUUAAUGAGCUAACCAAGGUUCUUAUGCCAUUUUGAGCUUNNNNNNNNNNNNNNNNNNNNNNNNNNNNNNNNCUAAGGCAAGGAGAAUAUGAAAGAGGAGAAGAAAGAGGAGGAGGAGAUGGAGGAGAAGGAGGAGGAGGAGGAGAAGGACUAGAAGGUCCUUGGCCUUCUCCUCCUCCUCCUCCUCCUUCUCCUUCUCUUCUUCUUCUGCUUCUUUCUUUUCAUUUUUCCUAUUUCUACUUCUCUUCUCCUCUUCUUGGAGCUCAAUUAUCUAACUAUGUCUUUUUGGAGCUAUAUGGGCUAAUUAUCCCAUUUUAGGGGAAAACAAGCUAAGUAUAUAAUAUUAAUGAGCUAACCAAGGUUCUUANNNNNNNNNNNNNNNNNNNNNNNNNNNNNNNNNNNNNNNNNNNNNNNNNNNNNNNNNNNNNNNNNNNNNNNNNNNNNNNNNNNNNNNNNNNNNNNNNNNNNNNNNNNNNNNNNNNNNNNNNNNNNNNNNNNNNNNNNNNNNNNNNNNNNNNNNNNNNNNNNNNNNNNNNNNNNNNNNNNNNNNNGGGAGAAGAAACAGGAGGAGGAGGAGAAGAAUAAGAAAUAAAGAAGAAGGACGAGAAGGAGGAGGAGGAGGAGAAGGACUAGAAGGUCCUUGGCCUUCUCCUCAUUCUCCUCCUCCUCCUCCUCCUCCUUCUUCUUCUCUUCUUCUUCUUCUUCUUCUUUCUUUUCAUUUUUCCUAUUUCUUCUCCUCUUCUUGGAGCUCAAUUAGCUAACUAUUUCUUUUUGCAGCUAUAUGGGCUAAUUAUCCCAUUUUAGAGGAAAACAAGCUAAGUAUAUAAUAUUAAUGAACUAACCAAGGUUCUUAUGUCAUUUUGAGCUUAUAAUGUCUUUUUGGAGCUAAAUGGGCUAAUUAUGUCAUUGUUGGGGAAAUUAAGGCAAGGAUAAUAUGAAAUAGGAGAAUAAAGAGGAGGAGGAGGAGAAGAAGAUGAAAUAAAGAAGAAGGAGGAGAAGGAGGAGGAGGAGGAGGUGAAGAACUAGAAGGUCCUUGGCCUUCUCCUCCUUCUCCUCCUCCUCCUCCUCCNNNNNNNNNNNNNNNNNNNNNNNNNNNNNNNNNNNNNNNNNNNNNNNNNNNNNNNNNNNNNNNNNNNNNNNNNNNNNNNNNNNNNNNNNNNNNNNNNNNNCUAAGGACCUUCUAGUCCUUCUCCUCCACCUACUCCUUCUCCUCCUUCUAUUUUAUUUCUUCUUAUUCUUCUCCUCCUCCUCUUUCUUCUCCUCUUUCAUAUUCUCCUUGCCUUAAUUNNNNNNNNNNNNNNNNNNNNNNNNNNNNNNNNNNNNNNNNNNNNNNNNNNNNNNNNNNNNNNNNNNNNNNNNNNNNNNNNNNNNNNNNNNNNNNNNNNNNNNNNNNNNNNNNNNNNNNNNNNNNNNNNNNNNNNNNNNNNNNNNNNNNNNNNNNNNNNNNNNNNNNNNNNNNNNNNNNNNNNNNNNNNNNNNNNUUGUGCUCCAAGAAGAGGAGAAGAGGAGAAGAAAUAGGAAAAAUAAAAAAGAAAGAAGAAGAAGAAGAAGAAGAAGAGAAGAAGGAGAAGGAGGAGGAGGNNNNNNNNNNGCUUAGCUUGUUUUCCUCUAAAAUGGGAUAAUUAGCACAUAUAGCUCCAAAAAGACAUAGUUAGCUAACUGAGCUCCAAGAAGAGGAGAAGAGGAGAAUAAAUAGGAAAAAUGAAAAGAAAUAAGAAGAAGAAGAAGAGAAGAAGGAGAAGGAGGAGGAGGAGGAGGAGGAGAAGGAGGAGAAGGCCAAGGACCUUCUAGUCCUCCUCCUCCUCCUCCUCCUUCUCCUCCUUCUUCUUUAUUUCUUCUUCGUCUCCUCCUCCUCCUCUUUCUUCUCCUAUUACAUAUUAUCCUUGCCUUAAUUUCCGCAACAAUGACAUAGUUAGCCCAUUUAGCUCCAAAAAGACAUUAUAAGCACAAAAUGACAUAAGAACCUUGGUUAGCUCAUUAACAUUAUAUACUUAGCUUGUUUUCCUCUAAAAUGGGAUAAUUAGCCCAUUNNNNNNNNNNNNNNNNNNNNNNNNNNNNNNNNNNNNNNNNNNNNNNNNNNNNNNNNNNNNNNNNNNNNNNNNNNNNNNNNNNNNNNNNNNNNNNNNNNNNGAGGAGCCUUCUUAUCCUUCUUCUCCUCCUCCUCCUUCUCCUUCUUCUUCUCUUCUUCUUCUUCUUCUUCUUCCUUCUUUUCAUUUUUCCAAUUUCUUCUCGUCUUCUCCUCUUGUUGGAGCUAAAUUAUCUAAUUAUGUCUUUUUGGAGCUAUAUGGGCUAAUNNNNNNNNNNGAGAAUUAGAAAUAGGAGACAAAAGAGGAGGAGGAGAAGAAGAAGAAAAAGAAAUCAAGAAUAAGGAGAAGAAUAAGAAGAAGGAGAAGGAGGAGAAGGUCUUCUCCUCCUUCUCCUUCUUCUCCUCCUUCUUCUCCUACUCCUCCUUCUCCUUCUUCUUCUCUUCUUCUUCAUUUUCUUCCUUCUUUUAAUUUUUCCUAUUUCUUCUCGUCUUCUCCUAUUGAUGGAGCUAAAUUAUCUAAUUAUGUCUUUUUGGAGCUAUAUGGGCUAAUUAUGUCAUUUUAGAGGAAAACAAGCUAAGAAUAUAAUAUUCAUGAGCUAACCAAGGUUAUUAUGCCAUUUUGAGCUUAUUAUGUCAUUUUGGAGCUAAAUGGGCUAANNNNNNNNNNNNNNNNNNNNNNNNNNNNNNNNNNNNNNNNNNNNNNNNNNNNNNNNNNNNNNNNNNNNNNNNNNNNNNNNNNNNNNNNNNNNNNNNNNNNUAUUACUCUCAUAACAACACCUUUUUAACACCACACACACACACACUUGGUUUAUGCGGAAACGCUGGACGUAGUUUAAGCAGCACCACCCAACUGUCCUUGACCGUGGACACGGCUAUUCGAAUAGUUUGACACUCUGCAGAGGUAGUAUGCUGGACCAACGAGAAACAAGAAACUUCCGUGUCAUCCACGACUCGCGGUAUAUCACGUAUACCCGAGGUAAGUACCCGUUCAUCAUCUUUCCCCAGACGAUACUAGACAAACAGGUCCACUCGAUUGGUACACAGCCCACAUGUUGUACGUCUUACGAGCACCGACUCUGGACUGUAUCAACCAUGGAGGGACCAACGGUGUGCCUGGAACUCAUAAUAAUGGCAUAGUCGUCCUACCUGGCACGGCCCCAUCACGAGAGUGACACCGAUCACUCCCGCCACUAGUAAUGUGGCUCUUUGCUAGUACCGACCAGAGUAAUCAACAAAGCCCCGUCCCAUAAAGAGGUAUCGUGGUCGUACUGGUAAGGUUGGGACGGUCGACACAUCAUAAAUCUAAUCCCAUUUCCGAAACCACACAUGCAAAAUACCCGGUGCACCACUUCUCCAAAAGUGGCCACCAACUCAUCAUCACCCUCGGGCAUUAGUGGCACCCGACGGGGUUUNNNNNNNNNNCAUCAUCAUGCUCAUGAUAAUAUGCUCUAGCUUUACUUGUCAACAUGGUAAUGACAUGACCCUCAAGGGGUAGGGUCAAGCUCAGUGCAAUGAUCUUACUCUACUAGUCAGCAUGACAGUAGCAUGAUCCUCAUAGAUGGUAGGGUCAAGCUCAUCAUGCUUGUGCUCCGAGGAGCCUUCGGUACCACCACCGCAAUGAUGAACCGGCAUCGUGAUCACAUGCAACGGGAAAAUAACAACUAUACUAGCAUGCAACAAUGUUUAUUAUUAAGUCAUGGUCAAAGGGCUGCUUGCCUUGGUCAGCUAGGUAUCCAGGGUCUUUGAGGUCUUCCGCUCCGGAUCCUCCGUCACUCGGUAACUCUACUGUCGAGAAGGGAAUAAAUAAAUAAUAGCUCACACCAAAACAGAUCACAAGGUGCUUUUAAAAAUGUUGCAAAGUUUGAAUAAAUUCAGUUUAUUAUUUUGGAAAAUGUUUCCUAUGGUUUUUAUUAGCUAAGCAUAUUUAUUUAAAAGCAAAGAGGAGAAAACAAUUGCUUUUAAUAUCAUUUUAUUAUACCAAAACAGAUUCUGUUUUUGAUAAAUGUCAAACUCUACAGAAUCAAUUACUACACAUUUUUAGAAAAUUCUUGGUGGAAGAAUCAUAUUUUUCUACUGGCUAAAUAUUUUUAUAAAAAUCAUUUAAGCUGCAGGUUAAAAAUAAAAGAAAAAGGCUAAGGGAGGGAGACCCAGUCGGCCCAGCCAGCAGACCGGCCACCAGGCGCGCGCCGCCUAGGUUCAAACCUGACCUGCGGGCCCCUGGGGUCAGCGUCAGCGGCUGCGCGCGCUGGCUGCCGCAGGACACCGACAGGUGGGCUCCAUCUGUCGGAUCCUUCUCCUACCUCCAGCCAGAGAGGUGGAGACGGACGCCGGCGAGGCUACCGUUGCCCUCAGGCCAAUCUAGGAGCGGGAACGGGUCCCUCGUUCCUCCGCCUACCUGCUCGUGGUCGGGACGUCACCGGAGGUGGUCUGGNNNNNNNNNNNNNNNNNNNNNNNNNNNNNNNNNNNNNNNNNNNNNNNNNNNNNNNNNNNNNNNNNNNNNNNNNNNNNNNNNNNNNNNNUCGCCGGCGACGAGGUGACCGUGGCAGAAAGGUUUCGGGGUGGCGUCGAGCUAGUGGCUAGGGGCACGGAUUCGCUCGGGAAAGUUGGGGAAAAUGAUCCUGGUGUCAAGGGGAGUGCAAUGGGAGGUCGGGCGGCGCAGGAGCCGGCGUGUAGCCGGAGAUCGACCGGAGCUCCGAGGCGGAGGGGCCUCGGUCGAUCUCGAGCACCAAGGCUCUGCGAGCUCGAUUGGGCGGCUAGGGGGAGUCUAGUUUUUGUGCUGAAGCUGCCUGGGGGGUGUUGGGGUGCCGGGGGGACCUAUUUAUAGGCCAGGCGGCGGUGAGCUGACUCGGGCGNNNNNNNNNNNNNNNNNNNNNNNNNNNNNNNNNNNNNNNNNNNNNNNNNNNNNNNNNNNNNNNNNNNNNNNNNNNNNNNNNNNNNNNNNNNNNNNNNNNNCCCCCGCGGCUGGUCAAUAAUGCGAUGGUGGCGGUCCCCCUCGGUGGUGGAGGGGGAUCCUCCGUGCCGCGCUGCUCGGAGAUCUUCGUACGAUAAGCCUCCGCGCGGAGUCGCUUCUUCCUGUUGCCGCCAUGGGCUGGUCGUGUCGCCGCCCGACGUUGAUUCCCUCCUUGGUGUGCCGUCGCGUCUCCGUUGUCGUAAUUCGUCUGUGCCAUCUCCUCCGCCCUCUGCAGGCUGCGUCGAAGGGAGAGUUCCUGUCUAUCUGCCCGGGCUGUCGAGGGGCGAACGGGUCUUGGUGAUGCAUGCCAGCGUGCACGUCAGUUGUCUCGCCGUUAGCUUCUCGUCCCUGGUGAUUGUCGGUGUGGUGCGCUUCAGGGCCGGUCGCUGUGGUCUGGAAGAGGUGGAGGGCAGCGUGGAGCGCGUCUCUCUCGGCCCCGCCAAGAGCGGGCAGGGCCCCAAAGCUUGCAGGUUUGGGGGCCGGCACGCGGUGCGAGCCCCCGGCGCCCGACGCCUGUGGCCUUGAAGAUGUACCAGGCUGGAUGGUGUUCUGGGCAAUGGCGAUUAGUUCCAUAAUGUGGUCCAACCAAGCAUCAAAGCCCCCUCGAGUCGGUCGUUGGCGGAGCAUCUCUCUUGAAAUCCGCAACGCGUCAUGUGCACUGAGGUCCCCCAAGUCGAUGCGGCACACUGCGGAUGCCCGGGCCGCCCCCAGCCCCCAUGCGCCUGGGUGGCGCGGGUGGCCGUCACGGCGGAAACAAUGUUGACGGCGUGGUAUGAGCCGCCUGGUCCCGCGACGCUGGUAUGAGAGCCUCCAGCCGCUGUGACAUGGUGGUCGGAGAUCAGCUCGUCGAGGCCCGGAGAAGCCGGUUUGUCGCCGGCCAUCGGUGCAGCAAUCUGGGACGGAAGAAGCUGCAAGAAAGCCUUCACACACCCCUACCUGGCGUGCCAAGUGUCGGAUUUCGGGCUCCGCAAAACCAUAAGGAUUCGAACACUGGGGUGUGAGCGUAGGUUCUUCCCUACUUCACCUCGCCCAGACUCUACUCGAUGGGAACGGCGAAAAACUCACUCGAAGGUGAGGAGAACUCAGAAGACAUAAGUUUACCCAGGUUCGGGCCGUUGCAAAGCGUAAAACCCNNNNNNNNNNNNNNNNNNNNNNNNNNNNNNNNNNNNNNNNNNNNNNNNNNNNNNNNNNNNNNNNNNNNNNNNNNNNNNNNNNNNNNNNNNNNNNNNNNNNAUAUGUAUAACAUCACUGUCAUGCAAGUGCUUCGAUGAAGCCUUCGGUACCAUCACACCAAUGAUGAACCGGCACUGUGAUCACAUGCAACGGAAAAGUACUUGCUAUUCUAGCAUGCAUCAAUUUAUAUGCUCAAGUCAUGGUCAAAGGGCUGCUUGCCUUGCUCACGUAAGUUCUCGGGGUCUUCGAGGUCUUCCGCUCCAACUCCGAAUACUCCGUCUACCGUCAACUAUCGUCGGAAACAACUAUAGUAAGCCAUAUAGCAAGCAGAAUAAAAGUGUUCUAUAAAUAGAAGUUUUAUUUUUCUUGGACCUCUCUGGUCAUAAGAAAAAUACCUGAAGCUUCUCACAGGAGAUUUGAAUCAUCAAGGAUUUUUGAAUAGGUGAAAGGAGCAAUAGGUAAUCAUUGAAGAAGCCAACGGAAAUCAUUCUGUUAAAAAUGAGUGGAGGCACCCAUUUAACAGAGAAGGAUUUUAGAAAUAUUUAGGAAGUGGUUUCACUGGAUUUGGAGAUGGUAUGAAUAUUAUAGAGAUUUUACAAUGAGGAAUAAAUAGCAAUAGGAGCUAUUUAUUUAUUGCAACAGAAUUAAGUCACACAAAAAUGUUGACGAGAGUCCCGAAAAUAGAGACUGAUUUUAUGAGGCUCUGGGAGUUUGAAUCACUCCAUUUGGAGUUGAUUUGCAUCCUAGGGAAAUUUCCAAAGUGGAAUCAAAUAUGGACAUAUCUGGAUUUUAAAUGAAAUGCCACAGAAAGUGGGUAGGGAAAAAUGUGCAAAGCACUUAUUUGGAUAGGCCUGAUUUUUAGGAUCCUGCAGAAAUUUGAAUCAAUGAAAUACGAGUUAGUAUGAAUUUAUGGGAGAUUUUGGAAGUUUUAACUGAAUAUGAAAAAGGGAAAAGACUCAGCUUUGGGGGGGCUAUCCUGCGCACUGGGCGCUUGGUAGGCCUCCAGGCCGGCCCAGCUGCGCUAGCUGGCCAGCUAAGUGGCCACGUUGAUGGCGUAGUGGAGGAAGGGCGCCUUCGGCCUUGAGGAAGCGGAGUCUUGGGGGUGCGCUUCCACUUAAAGGAGCGGGCCCAACUGGUGAGCAGCUAACGAGGGGGUCCCACACGUCAGCUCCUUCCCCUACCUCCUGUUCGCGCAGGGAGGAGCUGCAGGAGCCCGAGAGCUCGCUGGCUCCCGGUGCGGUGGCCACCCCCGAUGAGGCCUAGCUCACCGGCAGGCUCGGGCGGCCGAGCNNNNNNNNNNNNNNNNNNNNNNNNNNNNNNNNNNNNNNNNNNNNNNNNNNNNNNNNNNNNNNNNNNNNNNNNNNNNNNNNNNNNNNNNNNNNNNNNNNNNAGGAUCAUUGGGACCUAGGGGGCUGGUUCCUUCUACACAAGUGGAUAAAAGAACCAGAUUCUUUUGGAGCAUUACCCGGAGAAAACUUCCGGAGGACGUAAUGCUCCAGUGUCUUCAGUGCCCCCAAGUGUCGCUCACAGCAGAACAAGCUAUGGCUGGGUGGCCAACCAUAAUGGAAGACGCCUUGUCAGGCUCCUCUAUAGUCGAAGAACAUCGCACCCUUAUGGGUGUGGUCUUAAAAAGUAUUUAGUCCAUUAAUAGCGGACUGAACGAAGCCUUCAACGGCUUGCUGAAGGGUUUUAAGGUAAGUCGUGUAAUCUUGUUGAUUUUAUUUACAAAGUUAUAUAUGCCUUCAGGGGUAUAAUAGCCCCCGAGAUAGGGGUAAGUUUGACAAGCUUAUCCAUGGCUCAGAAUAACUCCUAGGCACGAAGAGUAAUCGUGAUAUUUUCCAAUUAUAAUGGAGUAUUGAAGUAAUUUCGGUCAAAUGCCUUGUAUGCCAAUAACUCAUAGUCGUUAAAAUUCGUAAUUUUGUCAUGCAGGCUUCAUGCUCCACUGCAAAUGCCAACACGCUGGAGAUAGCCGAGCUAAACCCGAAACUGAAGGUUUCCGAUGAUGAGCUCAGCUAAGUGCAUGUUCGGUUUGAUGAAAAGAUGGGUAAGUUGCAAGUACUGCUAUAAAUAGCAUUACUCUCUUUAAGAACAGAAGGCCUCUCCUCAUUUAUAAUGUAUGACCUCGUUAUGCCGAUUUGGUUAGCAGCAUAGGAUUAAGAGUUUGAAAAACAUAAGGCCGAACUGGAGCAGGCCAAGAACGAGGCCGCUGCUCACAAGGUGGUGACCGAACAAGCGGGUGCCAAACUGAUCUCAGUGAAGGUGGAAAGUAGCAAGCAUGAGGCCAGGGUGAUCGAGGUUCAAUAGGAGCUCCAGGAAGCCAGCUCUAAAUGUGAAGCUUUGGAGUAGAAGUCUCGGGAGCAGGUGACUGAGCUUUCCAAGCUGUCCACCGAGCUGAAAUUAGAGCUGAUGGAAUAGAGGUUCUAUGAAUAACAAGUGUGCCAGGCCAAGCAGAUGGCAACUAGUAAGCAAUACUUAUUGCAAUGUGCCUUUGGUGGAAACAGGUAUGCAUUUCUUCCACGGAUGUGGUGUUCCCCAGACGCCUCCAUGGACAUGUCAAGGAGUGUGGCGGAAGCAAACAAGCACUACUCGGCAUAUGACAAGGAUGCUGAGCGGAGGCUUUUCUGGGCUUAGUUUCAGACUUCUGAUCUCAACCCGAGUCUCAGUUAUCAAAUGAAACAACUGAUGGAGCUGCAUAGGAUGGCGGAGCCGGCCAUGAAGGAUCUCUGUAUCUAGCUAUGGCCCAGUGAGCCUUUGCCAUGCAGUUACUUCGGCUUAGUGCAGAAGUUGGUUGAUGCCAUGUCCUGGAUUGAGGCCCUAAAGCUCCCCGUCUGCAUAGAAGGAGCUCGGAUGGUCUUUGCGAGGACCCUGGUGCACUAUCCAGGGAUGAAGCCCCUAACGAUUGCGACCGGUCUCGAAGGAUCACACACGCCUCGAGCUGUAUUUUCCCUCCACGAUGGAGGGUGCUUGGGUUAUAGAGACCUAGUGCUCGAAAGAUGUAAUCUUCGAGUAAUUGUAUUGUCGUGUGCCUCCAGACCAACUUAUAUUUAUAAUGUUUAGUAUUUCUGUUUUGUGUAUUAUUUUGACUCCCAUCAGUUGGCUGGUUUAAUCUGGAAGUUACUAGUCGCCGGCUUCAGGCCCCAGGUAGAUACUACUCAGGGUGUUUCAUUGUUCGUAUUGUUACCCUUAGCACAUGAGUCGGUGCCCGAAGGUGGUAGUGUGCGGAGGAAACGAGGCAAUCAGACAUGCGGUAUUAUCGGUUUCCCUUAGCCUUAGAAGUUGAAAUUAGGGGGUUGACCGGAAGCCCCCAUGUUCUUUGAUGGUACUCGGGUAAGUCGAAUUUCAAAAUAGCUACCAUAGGGUCCAUAAAGAUGUAAACCCUCCAUGUAACAUGGAAUAACCUCCAAAGGCUUUUUAUUGUUGAGAUCGGGCUUGCAGACUAGUUCUCACUUAUUAUGACGAUCAGUUUUGGCCUUUGUCCACUAAGGUAUUUUAACCAGACUAGCGGGCAAUUCAAUUGCAGUGGUUCUCUCUUUCCCCUUAGCCGAACGAGCGCAACGUAAGGAGGUAAGCAUAGGAGCAUGGCAACACAACUCUAGACCCAAGACAUAAUUUAGAAAUGAUGCAUAUAACGCAAGACCCGAGAGACCGAACACUUAAGAAGCAGUGACGGUAUAGUAAUCGGGGUGGUGUUACCAUCCAAGCCCGUGGUCUAUCAUCAAUAGCACUUUAGCGUGUGUAAAAUAUAAUUUUAACCUGUCACCACCGAUAAGCAUAAAAUGGGUGUAUACAAAAGCACUUGGAAUAAUGUGUGCGAUAAUUUUUUAUAACUCGUAGCUCCAAGGCAGCUUUUACAGGUAACUAUCGAUCCAAGUUUUUAAAGCAACUUUUCCCACUGACCUUACAUGGGCGACUUGACAUCCGCCCAUUUUUGGGUCGUACUAUAUCUAUUACCCUUUCUAGUGGUGGACGUACUGUCCUUUUAUAGAAAGUUGUUGUCAGCAUGCGAAUCUUGAGUAUAGGGUCUUCAAAAGCUGCCGAUGAGGCGAAGGAGCUUGAUGCUUGGGGUUCUUCAUGAUACCAAAUCUUUGGUCCAUUGGGUGUGUUGGACCAUAGCUCGGUUGAACCUCCUGGCUGGUUGCUCCCACGGUUGGCCAUGCAAUUUUAAGGAUGAAAUUGUGGUUAUGAGGGACGUACCUUAAAGGUCUUCGGGCCAUGCCGUGUGAGUUGUUCCCAAUGUACUGUGUGCCAAAAAAGUAUCCGGCUUGUCUGAUUAAGCUUGGGCUCGCUUGCCUUCCCUCCACGCAUUUAUUGUUGGCAUGUGGCUUAAACUGUUGCUGUUGUGUUGGCACUCAGCUGCCAGUGCGGCCAUGUGCUCCUCCGUCUGGAGAGAACGCUUUGUAUUACCGUUGAUCGUGAUGACUCCCUUGGGUCUGGGCAUUUUGAGCAUCAUGUAGGGGUAGUGGGGUACAACAUUGAAGCGGACGAAAGCUAUGAGACCGAGCAAGGCGUGAUAUCCACUAUCGAAGGGGACAAUGUUGAAGAUCAAGUCCACCCGUCCGAAGUUGUUAGGCGAACCGAAUAUAACUUCUGGUGUUAUCAUACCCAAGCAGCGGGCUUCGACGCGUGGAACCACUCCUUUAAAGGUAGUGUGGCUUUGUUUGAUUCGUGUCGGGUCUAUGCCCAUCUUUUUCACUGUAUCCGAAUAAAUUAGAUUAAAGGUACUUCCUCUGUCCAUGAGGACUCGAGUGGGGUGGAAACCAUCGAGGAUGGGGUAGAGGACCAGGGCACCCGACCCUCCAUGACAGAUACUGGUCGGAUGAUCCCUGUGGUUGAAGGUGAUCGGGAAAGCCGGCCAUGGAUUGUAUUUCGGUGCUACGGUCCCUACGGUGUACACCUACCAAAGAGCACGUUUCCUCUCCUUUUUCGGUAUAUGGGUGACAUAGAUCAUGUUCACAGUUUUGACCUCAACAGGGAACUGCUUUUGGCCUCUAUUGUUUGGGCCACGGGGCUCCUCGUUAUCUUCACUUCGUGGGCCCCUGUUUUGUUCAUCAAUGGCUAGAUUGUCGGCCUGUUUGAACACCCAACAAUUACGAUUUGUGCGGGUGGCGGGCUUGUCUUGGGUACCAUGAAUCUGGCAUGGUCGUUCCAUGAUUUUGUCCAAAUGGAGUUGAUCCAUCCUUGUUCCCUUUGAAGGGUUUCUUCUGCUGUCCAGGUUUGUAUUGCGGAAUCCAACAUUUACUGAUGUGUCGUCGGCAUCACCAUUACGGUGGCAGCAUUUACACUUGUUUUUUCUUGGCUUUCCGUUUCCAUCCCAAACUUCAAGGGUUCCAGGGUCGUCCGCAUUAUGGCUGCGCCGAGCUAGCCAAUUAUCUUGACCCGCGCAAAAGCGGGUCAUGACGGAGGUAAGGGUAGACAUUGUUCUCGGCGUGUCUUAGCCGAGCUGUGUGGCAAGCCAUUCGUCCCGGAUGUUGUGUCGAAAAGAAGCUAUUUCUGCGGCAUCCGGGUAGUCUACGAUUUGAUUCUUGUUAGUGAGGAACCUGUUCCAGAGUUCUCUGGCUGAUUCUCCCUCCUUUUUGAAUGACGUUUCUUAGGUCGGAUGAAUCCGCUGGCCGAACAUAUGUUCCCUAAAAUUUAGAUAGGAAAGCCUCCUCGAGGUCUUCCCGGCUUCCAACGGAAUCUUCAGGUAGGUUGUUUAGCCAAUGCAGUGCCGGUCCUUUGAGUUUUAGUGGCAAGUAUUUUAUGGCAUGGAGGUUGUCUCCUCUAGCCAUACGAAUAUGGAGAAGGAAUCUUCUAUCCACACGGCAGGGUGUGUUGUCCGAUUAUAUUCUUGAAUGUUUACGGGUUUAAACCCUUCCGGGAACUGAUGUUGCAUGACCUCAUCUAUGAAACACAGUGGGUGAGCGGCACCUCGUAUCCGGGAUAUGCUGUGCUAGAGAUCGGCUCCGGGUUGAACCCGGUAGUUUUCCCGUCAUGUGCUCUUGUAGCGACCCGAGGUUGUUCGUCAUCUCAUCAAGUGGGAGAAUUCCUCCUGGAUCCAUAGAUGGAUCUGUCGCGACCUGAAAUGACAUAUCGUGGGUCGGGUCUAUCCACUCGGUGCAUAUGCGCUUUGCCUUUUCGGUGCCGAGGUUCGGGUCUAUACUCGUUCUCUUCGGUCGUUCUGUCGCACCCUCGAGGUGGGCGAUUAGGUUUGUCAUAGUCGAUGCAUUAGUGGGACACGUGUUUUGGGGCCUCAUCGUCGAACCCUGGGAGCACGUGUCGGCGUGGGUAUGUUUUCUUCUGAUCCGGCCAUUCUGUGUCGUAUCCUUUUUUGGCCGCUAGGAUUUUGGUCCAGCUAUUAUUGAUGGUAUCCUGUUCGUCCUGGAGCUGUUGCUGCUUUGCUUUUAAGCUUUGGGUGGUGGCUAUAAGCCGCUGUCAGAAUUGCUCCUAGCCUAUAGGGUCUUCGGGAAUUAUUAAUUCUUCGGCUUCAAGUCCGUCUAGGUCCUUUAUGUGGGGGGAGGUAAUCGUCGUAUUCAUAUGAAUUGUUGCGGUCGUCGGGAUUGUCAUUGGUCGAGUCCUCUAAUUGGUGCUCGAGAGCCUCGGGGUUGCCGUCCCAUCAGGGGUCGUGUUCUCCCAUGUGGCUUGUGCGGAGCCCCUUCCCUCAUUUUCCUUGGAGCACUUACACAACUUUCAGCGUUUUGAGGGCUCUUCCGUGGGCUUAUCGCCAUUUUUCUUGGUUGUGACGUUAUGUGUAGCUCGAGGUGUGUCUACCAUGUAAACAUCAUACAUAGAUGCUGCGGUCCAAUGCCCAGUGUUUAUGGGGGUGGGGUAGUAGGCCUCCUCGUCUAUAUCCUCGAUCUCUUCUGAGGCAUAGUCCAAUACGUCGCUUAGAUCUUCGACGGUGGAGAUCAAGUGGGUGGUGGGUGGGUCGUAAAAGUCCCCAUAAUCCACCUCGGAGCCGAUCUCCAAAUAGUUUGGACUUAGGGUGAGUUAUAUUUGAAGCGACUUGAUGUGGUCGAGCGUCUCAUUUAACAUUGAGAGGCUGACGUGACCGAUUCAUUCAAGAUUUUUGGAGCUGACCUUCGUGACUUCCGUAGGAAAGUCGGUUCGACAAUGGUCGUUCCUGUUGUCCGGACACUAUGUUUGGUUCCGAGUUCAAGGCCUCCUUUCUGACGAGGAUGGGACCGAGACCGUGUCUAGACAAGGGACUUGAAGUCAACGCUUCGGGAUUUUGGGUUUCAUCGGCCGAGACCGUGACGUUGGUGGGGAACAUAUCGCCUCGUGAGUCGGUGGAGACUUCAAAGUCUCCGAACCUUAUUAGGUCACCGGGGACAACACCUCCAAUCUGGCCAGGACGACCGGUUAUGUUCGCACGCGGCGUGAAGCUGCCGAAUGCAGGGACUCCUUCGGGGGCGAAGAUGCCCCUGAUGCAGAAUCGGUCAUUGAUGAUCAAGCAAGCCAUCGAUCCUUUCAGUAAUCCAACUGCAGAACUCUCAAUGAAAGCACCAAUGUCGGCGUCAAAAUCGGUAGAUCUCGGGUAGGGGGUCCCGAACUGUGGAUCUUAGAUCGACGGGUUGCAGGAAAGAGGGAGAGACAAUGUUUACCCAGGUUCGGUCCCUCGUGAGGAGGUAAAACCCUACGCCUUCUUUGAUUAUAUUGAUGAGGAACAAUGGUUAUAGAGUUGAUCUACCUCGACAUCGUACGAGCUAAACCCAAGAUGAGAUUACCUGCCUAUACGCAUAAGAGACCCUUGUUUAUAUAGACACCAAGGCCCCUAAGGUUACAUGUUAGCGACUUAGAACAGGAGUAGAUGGGCCUAACUAGUCCUCCUGCCUUGGAGUGCACACCUAGUCUUCGGAGCUUUCCAUCUUCAUUACGCAGUUGUCAAAUAAUACGGUCUUCAAUAAGGCAACCCAUAUGAUCAGCCCAUAAGGUACAACCCAUAUGCCCGAGGACCCCAAAAUACGGAACUCCCUCAGGGGGGUUGGUACAGUGCAAGUGUGUCAAACAAAUGGUCGAAAGAUCCAUCGCAUAACCUUUAGAUAAGAUUAGCGAUGUAGGCGCUUACAUGCUGCCCAUGGGAAAUGCGCGACUUGCAUCAAAACACAAACAGAAAAACAAACAACAAGCACACAUCGUUUCAUAUGAAGCAUUACACGGACUCGACUUCGGAUGAAGGGUUCAUAGCUUGUCCUACCCAAGGGGUUCUCGGACUCAAGUAGUGGAGUGCUCGGUCUCAUACUCACGCUCUUUUGGGCCUUCCUCCUAGUCAUCGUGUGUAUGGGAAUCAUCUCCCCGUCAAGGGAGUCGGGGAACGGGGAAGUCCAUUCCGACAAUGCUUCGUCGGUGGAGCGGUAAAGAUCUCACGAUACUCCUUCGCACACAUGCGAUGAUGCUGUGUGGGUGUAUCUCUUGCUGGGGGUACUCCUCUGUAAGCGACAGCGGGUUGCCCCUCGGGGGCUCCAUCCUUAUUGAUCUUGCCUGGCUUCGUCUUAGCUUGAUGGAUCAGCUCACUGGUAUGGUGAAGUUCUUGGCGGAGCUUCACAGAAUCCUUGAUCACGUUGUGAGCUAGACUGUCGGCGGAGAGGCUCAAGUAGGCCUAGAAUCUGAGCGGUGUCCCAACUUUUGGGGAUGGGGUCAACGUCCAACUUGCUCCAACAUCAUCCUUCAUGAAAGGGAAGUGGUGAGCAUCUGGUUCGUCGGCCAUCUCGGGAAGGAUGUUGCGAACCUGGAUGAGUGCCUUCCGCGCCGUUGUCUCAAUGUCUAACACCAGAGUAUCCAUUUGUAGUCCUUCAAAGAACCAGCUCGUCGGUGAGUCGUUUUCCUUCACGACCACAUCAACGUGGUACUCCUUCGUCGUGGCAUUGACCCAGAGCUCGUCGUAGAGGAAAACUGGUGAUCGGCGGACCUGACACUUCUCCACGCUGUCCUCAAAGAGUAGGGGAAAGCCAGAUUCUAGGAGGAUUUCGGGUACGACGGCCAUCUACAAGGUUUAUGGACAUGUGUUAGUAAGGGGGGUUUGAAAAUAGAGGGGAAGAGAGAAGAAAUGUAGAAUCUCCUAUGUGUAAAAGCUAGUUAUUGUUUUUGAAAGCGGGUUAGUCCUAUCUGAUGUGAAUGCUAGCUAAGGCUUCCUACACUCAGGUUGGAUCUGAUAGUAGCUCUGUGGGGACCCCGACUUGUAAGUCGAGAUCGCCGAAUGCACAUGUACAGUGAUCCCAGAUAUCAAUGCUCACUAAACACGCAGAAGCUGAACAACAAGAGUUUUACAUCCAUACAUACAAUCGGGUAAAAAGAAGGACCAUUAAGGCCAAGUCGUUACAUAGAUAGGGCCUCAAAUGCUACCACACGAAUUAUAACUAAUAGCAGAUAACUUGAUUGAAAGCGUGAACCCAUGACAUCUGCGUUAACCUACACGCAUUCUCGCUGGGAAACGUCCUAGUUCGCAUGUAAUACGCCGAAUUCCUGCUCCUCCAUGCCUUCCCAAUGUACUCGCAAGCAGCCCAUGAUAUGGAUCAGGGCAAUAAUGAAGUAUGAUAUAACAUUGUUAAACUACUUUGCGGAAAGAAGAUUUUUCCCUGGUGCACUAACAUGAUCAACUUCUUGUACGACAUGUAUCAUAUGCAAGUGGUACCCACGUGAACAGGUUACAAAUAUCAAUAUCAACUAAGGGUUGAACAACCCAUGUUCAUAAAUCCUCCCAAGUCAUUUGGCCUAGCUCAUUGUUCGUACUGCCACCAUUCCCCCCCACCCGCCCACACACACACACACACACACACACUUCAUUUAUGCAAAAACCGCUGGACGUAGUUUAAGCAACACCACCCAACUGUUCUUGAUCGUGGAUACGACUAUUCAAAUACUUUUACACUCUGCACAGGUUGCACACUUUACCCGCAAGACUCGGGAAACUUCCGUGUGAGAACACAACUCGCAGUAUUUAACAUACCCGAGGGAAGUACCCAAAGAUCACCUUUCCCAUGAUGAUACUAGCAAAGAGUCCACUCUUUGAUGACAGUCCCUCGUGAUGUACAUCACAUGUAUCAUCCACGAGGGAAUGCAACGGUGUGCAUGGUGUUUGUAAAAACAGCCCAUGGUCAACCUUUUUCCUGGCCCGACCUCAUCUCAAGACUCACCUCGUCACUCCCACCACUAGUAAUGCAAGCUCUGUACUAGUAUCGACCAUAGUAAUCUGCAAAGCCCCGUCCCAUAAGGGGUAUUGUGGUCGUACAUGUAAGGUUUGGAUGGUCGAAGAAUCUUAAAUCUAUUAUGGUUUUUCUAAACCACUCACACAACUAGCCUUGGUAUACCACUCCCUGAUCAAGUGCUUACCCAGCUCAACACAUCACCCUCCGGCAUUAGUGGCACCCGGCAGGGUUUUUGUAUAACAUUUGAAAUCACCUCCUUUUACCGUCUCCAUGCAUGUACCCAAUCCCAUGCGUAGCACUAGCGGCAACCUAACUACUUCCCACCCGCACAACCCUCAUAGGAAGUAUCAAUGAGGAGUUAUCGGAAACAACCCACCAAGGUGGUCACCGAUUAAACAUGAUUCAACGCAUCGAAACGAAGUUCUAUUUGACAUGCAUGAAAGUAGUUUCUUACACAUGGUCAAAGGUCUGCUUGCCUUGCUCAACAAAGUCUCCCGGGUCUGUGAGAUCUUCUCGUCCAAGCCCCUCGUUAGCAGCGCAAUUUAUCGCCGCAAUAUAAAUGGUCAAAAAUAAGCACUCAACCAAAAACAGGGAAAAUAUCUGAUGAGGACACGACUACCUUGGAUAUUAUCAUAAUCAUUGCAUAUGCGUAUUUAUUUGAGGUGAUUUCUGAUAAAAGUCAUGCAAUAAUUUAUUUAUGUUAUUCUAAACAAAAAUACUUCACCUUCUUUUAUUUCAUGCCUAAAUACAGAAUGGUCGAACACUUGUAUGAACCACGUGUGAUGACACGGGAAGAAUAAAUGGUUGGAUGCUAUUCAAUAGGUCCUCUCAUGUCAAACGAAAUAAUUAGUUGAUGUUCAAGAAAUUCUCUCACGUCACUUUUAGUCCAAGGAAAGAUAGAGUCCAAGUCUCUCACGUCACUUUUAGCCCAAGAGAAGAUAAAGUCCAAGUCUCUCACGUUAUGGACUCAGAUUCGGACUGCACAGACAUGCGUGUACGAAAACGCCAAAAACUUCUACAUCCAAACUCGUAAUUGGGUGCUUCUUUGUGGGCUCCAAAGUAGAUUUUAUGUGCUUUCCAGUCAAAUUGGAAUCACCAUCAAAUUCGUCCGGAGCAUGGAGAUAUCGACCAAACAAUAUGACGUUGCACCAGAAUACGAGUCAAACAACAAGUCCAAAGGUGUUGCAUCAUCUCCACUUGGGCCCAUAGGCCUUGUACGACCUAGGGUUAGUUUUAGGCUGCCUUGGGACGUCCUCCCACCUCCUUGGGCGCUAGCAUAUAAGUAGAUCAAUCUAGUAGCCUUUUUGCUUUGGAUUUGUUUAGUUCAAAGUUAGCCAUUGCAACUUCAUGUACUUCGUUUGUGUCCAACGACAAGACUAAGACCGCUUUUGGAUCCCCACCCUUAUCAAUACUUCAUCUAUAUUCGCAAUAUUCAGAUUGCAAUAUCAUAUUCUUGCUUGUUAUUCGAUUGCUUGCAGGAAUAGACCUUCGUGGUUAGGUUGAUCGUGCUUCGGCGUGGUUAAUAACCUAUUGUAGAUUGGUUUAGCAAUUGCUAAGGCGCAAUGUCAUGCAUGUUUGUAGUCAGAUCGUCAAAGUCAUCUCCACAAAAUCGAUAGUCACCUUCUCAUCGAAAGAUCGGGAUAUCCUCGCCUCUAUCAAGUGGCUCUGAUACUAUAUUUUACUCUUGAUAGAGGCGAGGAUGUCCCGAUCUUUCGAUGAGAAGGUCAUCAUCAUAAUCGUCAUUCUCCUCAUCCAUAGAAACCUCGGUAGUAGCAGCAGGAGGAGCAGCAGCAGCAGUAGUAGCAACAACACCAAAAUUCUGCACUUGGCCGACAGGCACACGCCGCGCUCGUAGCCGUUGUGGAUGUGGUUGAAGAGGGACAGAAGCUGCAACUAGUGGUGGUAAACGGGGAAGCACCUGAGAUAGGCGAGAUUGUCCCGAUCUUUCGAUUAUAUGGCGGCUAUCGAUUUGGUGGAGACAACUUUGACGAUCCGACUACGAACGUGCAUGACGUUGUGCCUUAGCAAUCACUAAACCAACUCCAAGAGGUUAUUGACCACGUCGGAGCACGAUCAACCUGACCAUGAAGGUCUAUUUCUGCAAGCAAUCGAAGAACAAGCACGAAUAUUAUAUUGCAAUAUAAAUAUUGCAAAUAUAGAUGAAGUAUUAAUAAGGGUGGGGAUCCGAAAGCGGUCUUAGUCUGGUCAUUGGACACAAACGAAGUACACAAAGUUGCAAUGGCUAACUUUUAACUAAACAAAUCCCAAGCAAAAAACUACUAGGUUGAUCUACUUAUAUGGUGGCGCCCAAGGAGGUAGGAGGACAUCCUAAGGUAGCCUAAAACUAACCCUAGGUCGUACAAGGCAUAUUGGCCCAAGUGGAGGUGAUGCAACACCUUUGGACUUGUUGUUUAACUCGGAUUUUGGUGCAAUGUCAUAUUGUUUGGUCUAUAUAUCCAUGCUCCGGACGAAUUCGAAGGUGAUUCCAAUUGGGAUGGAAAGCACAUAAAAUCUACUUUAGAUCCCAAAAAUAAUCAUCCAAUUAGGAGUCCGGAUGUAAAAGUUCUUGGUGUUUUGGUACAAGCAUGUCUGUGGAGUCCGAAUCGGAGUCCAUAACUUGGACACUAUCUUCUCUUGGGGCUAAAGGUGACAUGAGAGAACUUCUUGAACAACAACUAAUUAUUUCCUUUGACAUGAAGGACCUCUUGAAUAGCAUCCAACCAUUUACUCUUCCCUUGUCAUCACACGUGGUUCAUACACGUGUUCGACCAUUCUGCAUUUAGGCAUAAAAUAAAAACAGGUGAAGUAUUUUUGUUCGUGAUAAAAUAAAUAAAUUAUUGCAUGAAUUCUAUCAGAAAUCACCUCAAUAAAUACGCAUAUGCAAUGAUUGUGAUAAUAUAGAAGGUAGUCAUGUCCUCAUCAAUAUCCUACUUCGAAAAAUGUCACGCCAUUUUUGUAAAAUACUAGGAUGAGUAUAGGUUUUUUAAAAAUUAAUGUGUUUUCUAUUUGGACUGCAAAAUUUUGCAGAAAGUAUUUUAACAUAGUGUCAAAAUGCCUAAAACAGGGUUUAAAAUAAUAGAAUGCAUGUAACCUUUUGCAAAAAUUGCACAAGUGGCACCCAAAAAUACUACAUAAUAUUAAAAGAUUUGGGGUGGAGGAAUAUUUUAAUUUGAUAAAUUUUCAAUCCUGUUGGAUUUUUACAAAAUGAAAAGAAUAGGAAAAAAUAAAAAGGCCAUUGUUACUAAGCCAGAAGCUGCUGGCCGAAUUGGCCCAACCAACGAAAUCAGCGCACGCGGGACAGCAACGCGCACCCGCCAAGGUUUAAACUAGACAGGAGGGGCCCAGCCACCAGUGGCAGCGAUGGGAGGCGAGGGAGAGGUGAGGAUGACAUGUGGGCCCCUCCAGUCAUCUUAAACCUCGGGACAGAGAGAGUGGCGAGGGAGAGCUGAUGUCCACGGGCGAGUCGCCGUUCGACUAGUUGUGUAGAGAGGAGCCAUGGUGCCGGGAGUCGCUGUCGACGAGGUUCUUUGGUGGAGGCGCUUUGGGAGGGUGGUUGUCGGGGCCGAAUCCUAUAGGAAAAGGAAAGGGGAGAUAGGGGGAGCAUCCAUAAGCUGCUACGGUUCCAUUGGAAGAGAAAUGAGAAUCGAAGCAGCCUUGUACCCGAGAUUGCUGGAAUCCCGAUGCGGCGGAUCUGGAGUUCAAUCUCGAGCUCGGGGGCUCCUGGUGAUGAGUGGGUGGCUUGGGAGUGCGAUAUGGUGUAGCGGGAGGUGGAGUGGAGGAAGUAGGUGGCUUGGGGUGGUGUCAAAUAGAGGGGGCAUGGUUCACCAAAAGAUCAUGUGCGGCAAGGCCGUGGCGAUGGCGAGGGGGGGAGAGAGAACUUGGGAUGCGUCUGCAGUCUUCAUGGACACGGUCUCAGGUUGGAAAGAGGUCGAGGAGGAGCUGGAGCUGGCUCCUGGCGUGCCAUGAACAAAUCAGCCGGUCGGGGGCACGCGUAGCAGGGGGGAGGAUAAGGGGAGCAAGGACAGGCACGCCGUGGUGUAGGGUUCCUGUCGGUGAGGGGGUGUCGGGGGACAACAUGAGGGGUCCAAAGUUGGUCGGGGCCAGCCUCCCACAGUGCAAGUGCACACUCUAGCGGAUGCAGAGUGUAGCUUUGGCAUGCCACGACAUGCUGGCGUGCUUUGGCACGUGCCACCUUGUCCUCUAGUGUCUCGGGAUGUGGGAAUGUUCCUGGGAUGCUCUAGAGCUGAGGGGGAGACUGUGGUCAAAGGAAGAGAGGUAAAAGGCUUUUGUAAGGGUGGACCAGAGGGGUAAUUGGUUUUUUUGUAUAACCCCAUGGUUGAACCGGAGCUGGAUCUUUCUACUGUAGGUGAAGAGUGAGUCUAUGGGCUUGUGGUACAAAUUUGGAUGGAAGGCGAAUAGUGUAUGGGGUGAAAGUAGCAUUUUUACCAAAUCACGAGAAGGUGUUUGAUGCUAGUUUGAGCAACAUAAACCUCACCCCCUUGGAGUGAUAUUUAACAUGAUUAUAUUAUGAGCAAAAUCAAUAGGAUUCACCAAGUUUGAAAUCAUUUGAGCAAAGUUGACAAUGUAGACAUGAAAAACUCUACAAAUGGGCAGAAUAACUUUUCUAUGGACCAAGGUGAUCAAAUCAACUCCCACAAAUGCACAACUUGGUGUGGCAUCCUUAUUUGGUUGCUGGAUCAAUCCUUUAUAGUUUGGGAUCAAUUGGGUAAACUUGGCAAUGUAAAGUUGCUCAAAUUCGGUUCUAGACAAGAAGUGUUUUGGGAUUAAUAGGUGGAUCAAAUAAAUUUGGAUUGAUAUGAAACUUUGCAGGAUCACCAGAUUUAUCAUGUGUGAUUAGCUAUACUUUUUCUGAAAUUUAUUGAGAAUAUGUCCUAUGGAAAUAUUUCAAAAGCUUGAAAUAGGUAGAAAGAGUUUUGAGGGGUUUUGUCCAAUAUUUUGAACAUGGUCAUGUGUUCAAACUCUGAUGUAUGGAAAAUAUAUGUUUAGUGAGUUUCCCUAAAUUUUCUCAAAUAUUUUUUAAGCAAGAAAAUAAUUUUUCCCUAUGAAAUACCAAAUCGGNCCCUUCUAUAUUAGGGACUUGCAGUGCAAAUCUCAAAAUGAGGGGUUUUGGACAAUUUAAAAAUUAUUAAAUGCCUUUUGUUAAAAUAAUAAUUUAUAAAAAUGGUUUUUCUUGUCCUAUUCACAUGGCAUGAUCAUUGGCAAGGGCUUGGGGUCAAGGAGGUAGCUUUUAGAGAAGAUAGCAAAUAUAGUGAUUCAAGAACUCAGUAAGUCACACAAGCAAGUUGCAACGAAAAUCAAUCAUCACAAACAUGCAAAAAGUUUUCAUUGGUUCCCAAUUUUCGUAAAAACAACAUGUGCCAAAAGUGGUACAAGCACAGGAUGUGAUAGAUGUCUAUGUUCUUGCUUCUCUUAGUGGUGUCGUAUGAACGUCGACUACACGACACUUCACCAUGUUAUGGGCCUAAGGGAAGGCAUUGUGGAGUAACAAGUAGAUGAUGGGUUGCUUGAGUGAAAGAAGCUUAAACCCGAGUUUAUGUGUUGCUUCGUACGGGGCUCAUUUGGAUCCAUGUGUUUCAUGCUAUGGCUAGAUUUAUCUUAUUUUUUCUUUCGUAGUUGUGGAUGCUUGCGAGAGAGGUUAAUCAUAAGUGGGUUGCUUUUUCAAGUAAGAACAACACCUUAGCACCGAUCCACCAACAUAUCAACUUAUCAAAGUAACGAACGUGAAUGAACUCAACAUGAUGAACAUGACUAGGCAAUAAUUCCAAUGUGUCCUCGGGGGUGUUGUCUUUAUAUAAGAGUACUCUCACGCCUGUACUUUGCUAUAAAAAUGAUUGGGCUACCUUGCUUUACACUUUCUACUCUUAUUUCUUAUCACUUGUUAUGAAUUAUCUUGCUACAAAACUAUAUUUCACUAUUACUUAUAGCACGUGCAAAGAAUACCGUGCUGAAAACUGCUUAUCAUUUCCUUCAUCUCUUCGUUGGGUUCAACACUCUUACUUAUCGAAAGGACUACGAUUGAUCCCCUAUACUUGUUGGUCAUCAAGACUAAAAGAAAUAUCUAUGAUAGAGAAAAUGAAACAUGGUCCCAAAUUUGCUACUUCUCCUAUAUUCGUUAAUGAUAAGGAUUAUGAAUUAUUUGUGGACCCUAAGUGAAUCCCUAUAGUAGAAUCUGAUCCUUUCCAUGGUUAUGAAAAUGAAAUUGUUGUUGGACAACUCACUAAAUUGAAUAAUAUUGUCGCUUUGUUUACUCAUGAGGAAGGGAUGCACUACUAUUAUAUCCUUAAGCUUUUUUCCUUUCUCGCUAAAAGGUGAGCCUAAGGAAUGGUUCCUUGCUCUUGCUCCUGGUUGUGUGCGUAGUCCCCAUGAUAUGAUUUAUUACUUGUUUGAAAAAUAUUUUCCUGCUCAUAAGAAACAAGCUACCUUACAUGAAAUAUUUAACUUUGUGCAAAUUUAAGAAGAGAAUAUCCCUCAAGCUUGGGGGAGGCUUAUCUAGUUACUUAGAGAUUUGCCCAAUCAUCCUCGUAAGAAAAAUGAAAUACUUGAUAUCUUUUAUAAUGGACUAGCAUAUGCUUCUUGGGAUUUCUUAUAUAGUUGCCUAGAUAGCUGUGCUCGUUGUGUUUUCACGGAGAGAACUAUUGGACAAGCUGAAGAAUUAUUUAAUAACAUAUUUCCAAAUGUUGAUGAUUGGACGCUUCCUGAACCACAGCGUGAUCCUAUUCAAAAGAAGUGAGGUAUUCUAUUCCUUGGUCCUAAAGAUAUGGAAGAAUCCAAGAGAUCUAUGGAAGAGAAAGGUAGUAAAAAUGAAGAUGCCAAGAAUUUACCACCUAUUGAAGAAAUACAUGGACUUGACACCCCAACACAGGUUGUAGAGUUUAAUUCUAUUCGUACCUUUAAUGAAAGUGAUAAAGUUUAUACUAAGACUACUAUCCUAUGGAAGGAUGAAUUUGACAUUUACAUUCUUAAGCAAGAGCAUUUCAAUAAUUAUAUCAAAGAUCAAUUAAGACGUAAUGCUCUGAUGAUAGACCGCUUGAGUGACUUGAUGUUUAGAAUUUCUAAUGAUGGUAAGGGUCUUGGUAAACAUGCUUGUAUGGUUCAUACCCAACUAGACCAAGUUGCUAAGUCACAAAAUGACUUGCUUGCUGAAAUUAAUGGUCUUGAAUGAUCAUGUCUUUAGAGUAAUGACUAGAGGAGGGAAAAUGACUUAAGAACCACUUUUUCCUGAAGGUCAUCCUAAAACUAUUGAACAAGAUUCUCAGGGAGAGAAUGAUAAUGCACCCAGUCCAUGUAAUAAGAAUACAGACACGGAAAUUAAUAGGACUCUGCAUGCUUCUAAUGAACCUGUUUUAGAAAAACCUGCUGAAAACAUAAUGAUGUUUCUAUUUCUGACGCUGAGACACAAUGUGGUAGUGAACAUGCACCUAGUGAUAAUAAGAAUGAUAAUAUCUAUAAUGAUGAGAUUCAUGUUGAUGCUCAGCCAGAUAAUAAUAAAGAAAAUGAUAACUAUGUGGAAAUAGAACCUCCUGAAGAUCUUGAUAACCCACAUCCCAAAAAUAAACGCGGUAUGAGAAUAUAGACUUUCUUGCUAGAGAACAUGGUAAGGAAAGAGAACCAUGGGUUCAAAAACCCAUGCCAUUCCCUCGUAAGACUUGUAAGAGUAAGGAUGAGCAGGAGUCUGAACACUUUGCUAAAAUGAUUAGACCUGUCUUUUUGCGCACUCGCUUGACUAUUUUGAAAAUGCCUCCAUAUGCUAAGUAUAUGAACGAUAUUAUUACCAAAAGAAGAAAAUACAUGAAACUGAAAUUGCUACCAUGCUAGCUAAUAAUUCUUUUGAUGGUGGAGUGCCUAAGAAGUUGGGAGAUUCGUUACUCUUUCAAGAAAUUAUGUUAAAAACUGCUUUAUGUGAUCUAGGAGCCGGUGUUACUAUUAUGCAUUUCUCUUUAUAUGAAAGAGUUGAUUUUAAUAAGCUUACACCCACUGAGAUAUCUUUAAAAUGGUUAAUAAAUCCACUACUGUAAUUACUGGAAUUUGUGAGGAUGUUCAUGUUGUGACUGCGAUCGUGACUAUCUUAACAGACUUUGUUAUUCUUGAUAUGCAUGAGGAUGACAACAUGUCGAUCAUCCUUGGUAGACCCUUUCUGAACACUGCAGGGGUUGUUAUUGAUUGCAGCAAAAGCAAGGUCACUUUUCAUGUCAAUGGAAACAACAUACCACACAUUUUCCAAAGAAGAAAAUCAUGGUUAAUAGUACUAAUGUAAUUGACCCUAGUGCCAUAAUCAUCAUUGGAGGUUUUAAAAUUCUUCUUGCUAGUACCAAUAAGAAAUAUGAUAUUCUUAUUGUUGGGGAUAUGCAAAUCCCCAUUGAGGUAACUUACUGUCAUACGAAAAUUCUUCGGUUUCAUCUCAACCUCAAAUGGUUAUUAAUAAGACUUGACCAACCUUGUCGAUAGAUCAUUUCUGAAAUACAUGUAGUUCAUGAAUUUAGUAAGCACAACUUUUUGUACCAUUAGCCUACUCUUUGUUAUUCUUAGUUAAACUAAAUAAAAUACCGUGAUUAACCUAUUUUCCUGAGUUUCUAGUGCAUUAAAAAUGACACAAAAAUAAAAUUCUAGAAUUUUUAAGAAUUUUUAACAUGAAUUUUAACAUGCUUUUUUGUGGAAUAUUUAAGAACUUUUGGUGAUGAAAACACAUUAUAGAGGAGCACCUGUGGGCCACAAUCCAAUAGGGCAUGCACACCCCCCUAGGCACACUGUCAUCGCUUGUGGGGCCCACAACCCCCUUCCUUAUCUCUUCAGCUCAUGCCAUCCCUUACCUCGAGCACAAAUUCAUACUCUAUCUCUCUCUCUCGUGUUCUUUCUCCCGAAACUGAAAAUUUCGAUCUCUUUGCUUGGUUCAUUUUCAAAACUGUUUUGGGGACUUGCUCAUUGAGAUGUGACUCGUCCAUUCCUAUAAAUAUUUUUUUCGUUAGUGGUUUAUAUUUUGAUGCACUUAGUGCUACUGAAAAUAAGCUUGCAUGUUGAGAUCUUUCGGUUCCAAGUAGUAUGAAUGCUUGAUAUGGCCUCUAGUUUAUACUAUACAAGUAGUUGCUACUUGUCUUGCAAAGUUUUACUGAUAUAAAUUUUUGCUCCAAAAAUUUCAGAAAUUUGUGCUUAGGAAAAUGAAUUUAGUUAGGAGGGGUUCUUCAAGAUAAAGUACCAAAGGAGUUGUUGGGAGGACCGACGACUAGGACAUCAACAUCUUUUGCAACGUGGAAGUUAGGCCGUGUGAAUGGCCACACGUCCCCUUCAUGAGCCUAGUAGGCUUCCAUCAAGAGUUCAUGCAAUUAAUUGCAAAUGUCGGGAUGAACAAAUUCCUCGUAGAUGAGUAUGAUCUAUACUAUUUCCUUACAAAUUCCUUCAUGCAAAUUUCUAGUUCACAAAUAGGCCCGAUGCUCCCAUGCUACGUUUCGAUUUAUAUGCAAUGCACUAUGAAAUACCACUCUUUGUUAUUUGUGAAAUAUGAUUGCUUCCUUGUGAUGGGGGAAUGCGUUAUACCAAACCAGAGGAGUCUGACAAAUUCCUCCUUACCUUAAAUGUGGCAGAUACUAGAGGUGUCUCAAAGGCUAGGGCCACCGGUUAACAUUUCCCGUCUGUGCAUUACUUUGCUUUAUUCGUACGGAAAUGUUUAACUGCUAUCAAUCAGGUUGGUGGUCUCAGUUCCGCCACCCUUGCUAUAUUGCAUCGUGUCGUAUAUGGUGAUAGCACUUACAAUUUAGGAUCUAUUGUCCCGUACUGCUCGCAUCUAAACCGAGCCAAGGUCAAGGUUCAGGGUGGAAUUGUGCCACCCGUUUAGUGAAAAGUUUUAACAUCGAUAUACUCCACACCAAUCACUUGUUGCCUAAAUUAUAUCUCAAUCAUCAAUCUAUGAUAGAACACUAGUUCAUUGAUGAACCCAAGCACCCACACCACAUUCAUUACAACUUAGUAUAGAACGAGGACACUCAUGAUUUAUUGUGUUGCAUGCACCUUCUUUGAUUAACAUUCAUGUCAGGAGCGGACAUAUCAUCAUGCCACCAGAUAUAACUGCUUACCGAAAUGAGUUGGCUGAGGUGGAGGGUGCAACUCACGUGUUGGACGCUCAAGUCCUUGAGUCAAAUUACUUUGCUCCGGGACCAAAUGGCUACCACGGAUGGUGAUCACCAAGCUCGGAAAAUGCCUAAUCUGUGGGAGUACAUAUUUCUCACUUACAUUACAUUCAUGUUCACACACUUCAUAUAAAUUGUUAGUGCUCAUCAUCUUUCAUUGUAUAUCCAUGUUAGCUUUUAUUUUUCUUCUUUCGUCUUGUGGGUUUCAAAAACUUUGAAAAUCAAUAAAUAUUUGUCGUUUGUUAUCAAAUUUUCUUUCUUAUUUAGUUAUUUGUAGUAUUAAAAUAAAAUCCAAAAAUAUUUCACUUUCAUGUUGGUAGCUUUCAUGUGUUAAUAAUAAAAUUUUCGAGCUUUUGUUUUUCCCUUGUUUAUUUGCUUUUUUUGAGAAAAAAGUCUAAAAUAAUUUAGUGCGUUUCAUGGAAUUUCUUUUACUUCCGUUUGAGUCAUUGAAAGAAGAAGAGCACGAUGAAAAUGCUGAGUGGCUCUCAUAUGCAUGAAUGUUGAUUUAACAAAAGAGCCCAUAUUACCACGUAUUCUCCUUUGUCUAAAUUGUUUCACAAGUUCCAGCUUAGUCCAAGGCAGACCUACCCUAUAUUUAUCAUCAAAUCAUUCGGUUGUGCAAGUGAAAGGCAAUAAUGACGAUAUUUGAUGAAGUGAUCGUGGUAAAGGAAGCUGGUAUGGAAUCUUCUUGUUUUCCGUUUUUGUAAAUAUGUUUAGCUUGUUGGUUCUUGAUUUGAUAUAUCCUGAGAGAACAUGUUUAUGAUGACAAUUAGAGUAUUUUUUUUUCAUGCCAUGCUUAAAUAGCUACGAGUGGGUAAUGAUUUACCUUAUGUGUCAACAUGCAUUAAAAUGUUUAUGAUGCGGUAUGGUAAUAAGGUAUUUCCCUCUAAGUAAUUCAAGUAUCCUGAAUUGGACCAUGUGCGAACAUGUAGAUGAUUCAAAACUAAUGGAACCUUCAUGACGUUUAAAUUCAGAGUGUUUUAUAUCCUACUCAUGCUAAUGAUCAAUGUUAACUAUUCGCAAUGCAUGAUUAUGACCGUUUUGCCUCUCUAGCUGGUCGCUUCUCAAUCUAUUGCUAUCCUUCACCUGCACUAAGAGGGAAUACUGCUCAUGCAUCCAAAAUCCUAAACCAAAGUUAUGCCAAAUAAGUCCACCAUACCUACCUAUAUGCGUUAUUACCCCCCCCCCGGUCCAAGUCAAUUUGCAUUUGCCACCUUUGAAUAUUCCAAUAAACAUCUGUUUUAUGUCCCUGUACCGCUAAUGGAGCGAUGGGGAGGUUGGUAUCUUGCAUGCUAAGUGGGUUAUUCUCAAGAAGGACAUUUACUCGCUUGUUAUUUCAUGAGAGCGGCUCGUAAAAAGGAUACCCAGUCCUGUGUAAUCAAAAAUUAAUGAAACAUAACUCCAUGGAUAGUUGAUAUGUUGGCACGCACCCGUGGAUUCGGUCUGCCAUGGUUUGUGUAUGGAUGGUAGAAAGGAGUAAACUUUACAAUUCUUUUUUGGAACCACCAAUAAUUUGGUUAGCAUGGAAUAUAUCGCAAACUCUAUCGUAACAUUGACAGGAAAAGCACACCACUCAAAAUCACAAUUCAUCUCCGAUUUAAACUCUGAGCUUUGGCGCCUCUGCAAAUCAAUGAUGCCCUCUCUGAAGGGCAUUUCUAUUUACUUUCAUGUUAUUUUAUUUUUACUCUCGAUCCAUCAUCUUCUUAUUAAAAUCACCAUAUCUAGAGCAGUAUGACCAUUCAUACGCAUUGAAUCUAGUUAAUGUUGUAGUUGAGCAUGACUGGAUCAUUCCUACACUGAAUUAUAAUGUUUAGUUGGUAUUUGAAUCUCAGAGGUGCUACACAUUUAUGUUUUGCACUCUCAAAAAGGUCUAGUGAAAUACGAUGCCAUCAUACUAUAUCAUGAUUGUUUUGACAAAUUGUUUGCAUGGGAGAUAUCCUAUUACUGCUUGUUAGUUGGUUAUGUACUACCAUGAGUGAAUAUGAUGUUUAAUUGUUAUCACGGAUAUGUUUAUUUAUUAUCCAUGCUAAAAACCUGAAUACUAGCUAAGCGUAUGUAUAACAACGAGAACGAAAGAGUUUGUAAAUGUUUUCUUUAUCAUUUUUACUUUAUCGACUUAAUUGCUUGAUGACAAGCAAUGAGUUAAGCUUGGAGGGGUUGAUACGUCUCAAAUGUAUCUACUUUUCCAAACACUUUUGCUCUGGUUUUGGACUCUAAUUUGUGUGAUUCGAAUGAAACUAACAUAGGACUCGCGUUGUUUUUAGCAGAACUACCAUGGUGUUAUUUUUGUGAAGAAAUAGAAGUUCUCAGAAUUGGAUGAAACUUUUGGUGAAUUAUUUUAGGAAUCUCUGAAGAAUUGUGGAGUGACGAACCAGCGAAGGGAGCUACCUGUGGACCACAAGCCAACAGGGCGCUCCCACUGUAACGCCCAAGACAUGGCCCUAUCCUUAAUUUGGCACGAGGACCUCGUCAGAGAUAGAAGCACAUCUCGUUGUUUCGCAAGAAUGGAUAUCAUUACAGUUACAUGUACUGAAGAGAAGAGUAUAUGGAAUUGGCUUACACUCGCCACAUGCUACAUCAGAGUCACAUCAUUACAAUACAUAAAUAUUAUGAAGAAGAGCAGGGUCCGACUACAGACGAAAACAAACGAUAAAAGAACGACGUCCAUCCUUGUUAUCCCAGGAUGCCGGCCUGGAACCCAUCCUAGAUCGAUGAUGAUGAAGUAGAAAAAGCAACUCCAAAUGAACAAUCAACGUGCUCGCGUCAAGUGACCUUUAACUAUAGCUGCAACUGGUGUUGUAGUAAUCUGUGAGCCACAGGGGACCCAACAAUCUCAUUUCCAAAGGUAUCAAGACUAGCAAAGCUUAACAGGUGAGGGGUGGUUAAGUGGUGAGGCUGCAGCAAGCGACUAAGCAUAUAUUUGGUGGCUAACUUACGAGUACAAGAAUAAAGAGGGGGAUGAUCUACGCACAGUUUACGUGAACUAAUGAUGAUCAAAGGAAUGAUCCUGAACACCUACUUACGUCAAACAUAACCCCACCGUGUCCUCGACCGGAGAAGGAGCUCACGAAAGAGACAGUCACGGUUACGCACUCGGUUGGCAUAUUUUAAUUAAGUUAACUAAAAGUUAUCUAGAACCAGUGUUAAACAAAGUUUCCACGUUGCCAAAUAACCGCGGGCACGGCUUUCCGAAAGAUUUAACCCUGCAGAGGUGCUCCAACUAGUCCAUCACAAAUUACCACAAGCCGCAUAGAAAUCCUCGAUCACCAAACUCGCGAUCUCGUCAGACUCCUUAGUGGAAAACUUCAACUCUGAGAUUACCCAAAGCAUCACCGGAAUCCCGAUGCACAAGAUAUUCCGUAAAAGGUAAAACUGAUCCAGCAAGGCCGCCCGACGUGUCGACGAACCCGAUAGGAGCCGCGUAUCUCGUUCUCAGGACACGACCGGAUGGGAAAUCCUAGAUGUACCAAACCUCGAGUUGCCCCAUGGUGGCCCCACAGUCUGCCCUUUUUGGACCAACACUCAUGAGGAGCUCUGGCCCGGGGGCUGAUUAAUUACUCCGCGGGUGCCGGCGGGUCCCUAUGCAUUAUUUAGUUAUUAGGCAAAAGUAAAACCAAAGUUGGGCCUUGUUAGACCAGCUUUAAUCUAAAAACAAUUAUCAAGGGGGUCCCCAUAACAACCCCGAUCGUGUUAGGAGUGCUCAAUUAUGGAACAUAACACCAGUAGCCGAAACUAAGGGGGCAAAGGUGGAACAAAACACCAGGCUUGAAAGGCCGAGCCUUCCACCUUUUACCAAGUAUAUAGGUGCAUUAAAUUAAAUAGCAUUAAUAUAGUGAUAUAAGAAGGAACCCAUGUUAUCACAUGGAAGCAACUGCACCUGUAACUAGCAACGCUAACACAUAGUUAUGCAAGCGGUAACAUAACCAAUCCGUGGUUUGCUAGGUUUUGAACAUGUUAAAGGUUGUCAUGGCAAUGUUGAGAGGCUGAUAUUUAACAUGUGGUAGGCAAUGAGACAUAGCGACAGAAACGAUAAAAUUAGCAUGUCAAUUAUAGUAACGGUAUGUAGGGAAAAGGUCAUCUUGCCUCAGAUCCCGCUUGGAAGAAGAACGACUUCGUGAAGCAGACGAACCGAUGUAGUCGAACAAGUCCUCACUUUCCGACACGCUUGCGGAACUCUAUCGAUACGAAGCAAACCAGGAACAAGAAUCAACACACGAUAUACACUACACGAUGCACAACACAUAUGAUGAUGGUAGAGGCUAGGGUUCUACCAGGUCUUGGACGUAGGUUGUAGGGGUGGAAGUGCGGGCUGCGAGGUUGGGGACGUCGGCGCAAGCGGUUGGGCGCCGUUGCGGCGUGAGAGAGAGAGAGAGAGAGAGAGACGGCUAGGGUUUGGGGAUCCCGUCUCGUGAGGGAGACGACAACAGAAUACUGUUUAUUGUCUGCUUAAUAUCGAAGGGGUACAUGUGUUUAUAUAGGAGGACAGCCUCCACUAAACCCUAGAUAACCUGGACUCUAAUAUAACUUGGACUCUAGUAUAACUUGGACUUCUAAUAUAACUUGGACUUGUAAUAUAACUUGGACUCUAAUAUACCUAAGAUAACUAGGGCUAAGCCCGUAACUAACCCUGCCCAUUGGGCAUCCUCCGUUGGUAUGUUGUACCGGUCAAAACAUCUCUCCCCGCCUUCUCAAACAGCUCGUCCUCGAGUUGAACAUCUGGACACUGCUCGCAGAAAUCAUCGAGCUUCUCCCAAGUCGCUUCCUCCUCUGGCAGUCCGGUCCACUGUACCAAGACAUGCCACACGCUGCGACGUUGCUGUGCCUGCAGCACCUUCGCCACCUGUGCGGAAGCAGGAAGGAGGCGGCCAUCCGAAGUAGGAGGAAGGGCCGGCGUCGCUACAGGAGGGUCCCCGCGGUAGGCCUUCAGUAAGCCGACAUGGAAGAUGUCGUGGAGGCGAGAACCAGCUGGCAGCCCCAAGCGGUAUGCGAGUGUGCCGACACGCUCCAGAACAUGAAAGGGACCGGCAUAGCGAGGUCCUAAUUUGCGCUUGGAGCGCGGGUCCCGAGACUGUGUGGUCCUGUGGAGGAGGCGCAGCCACACCCAAUUGCCCACCGCGAACUCCGCCUCGCGAUGAAGAGCAUCGUAGUGCUUCCGACCUAGCUGCUGUGCUUGGAGAAGAUGCUAGCGUGCCUCAGCCAGAAUGUCGUCGCGGGUGCGGAGUAAGUCUCCUGUCGUCUCGGACCGAGCCGUCCCAGGCUCGUAAGGGAGCAUCGCCGGAGGUGGGCGCCCGUAGACCACCUCGCAAGGCGCGGUGCAAAGGGCAAAGUGAUAGGAGGUGUUGUAGCAGUAGUCCGCCCACACCAACCAGUCCACCCAAGCUCGUGGACGAUCACUAGUAACAUAGGGAAGGUACAUGGCGAUCACCUUGUUGACCACCUCGGAUUGGCCGUCUGUCUGAGGGUGGAACGCCGUGCUCAUGCAGAGUUCACGCCCGCCAGUUGAAAGAGAUCACGCCAGACAUGUCCCGUGAACACGGGAUCACGAUCGUCGACGAUGGACGAAGGAAAACCGUGGAGGCGGACGAUGCCGUCGAAGAAGGCCCGCGCCACGGAGGCGGCUGUAUAUGGAUGACCCAGGGUGAUGAAGUGCGCGUACUUGGAGAAGUGGUCAACCACCGUGAGGAUGACGGACUUGCCGCCCACCUUGGGAAGACCCUCGACGAAGUCCAUGGAAAUAUCCGCCCAUACCUAGGAGGGUACUUCGAGCGGCUGUAGUAGACCCGCAGGUCGUGGUUUCUCCGUCUUGUUCCGCUAUCACGUCACACACGACCGCACCCAGUCGCGAACGAUCGCGCCAUCACCGGGGAUGUAAAAAUCAGCAUGGACAUGAUGGAGAGUCUUCUGCACGCCCUCGUGCCCUGCAGAGUCCGCCAAGGUCAGGACCUGGUAGCGCAGGUCGCCAUGGCCGGGCACGAAUAUGCGGCGGCCAUGUAGGAGCAGCCCCUCGUCCAAGCGCCAGGGCGCGUCCAGCUCUCCGAUGUCAAGGCGCUAGCGCAGGCCCUGCGCGUCCGCAGCCGUCGAAGUUUCCCGGCGAAUGUCGUCGAUGAAGGCGAAAGAUGGCCCGGAGCGGAUGCAUAUGAUAGUGCGAGCCAUGGCGACGUCGUCCGCGAGAUCCUCAGUGUCGCGGCGGGACAAGGCGUCGGCGAUUGUGUUGAGACGGCCGAGGUGGUACUCGAUGGUGAAGUCGAAGCCGAAGAGCUUCCUUAUCCACUGAUGCUACGGAACGGUGGAGAGGCGCUGGUCCAGCAAGAACUCGAGGCUGUAGUGGUCUUUGCACACACGGAAUGACCAACCCCAAAGAUAAGGCCGCCACUUGCGCACCGCCUGAACCAGCCCAAUAAGCUUGCGCCCGUAGGCCGCGAGCUUGUGAUGGCGAGCGGCGAAGGGCGGCUGAAGAAAGUGAGCGGUCCAUCGUCCUGGUGGAGGACGGCGCCGAAGCCGAUGCCAAAGGUGUCGCAGUCCACCACGAACGGCAUAUCAAUGUCCGGCAUCUAGAGGACGGGUCCCGUCGUUACCGCCCGCUGGAGAGCCUCAAAUUUCGUAGUCGCCUCCUUGUCCCAGGAGAAGGCGUCGCGUCGAAGGAGAUGCGUCAAUGGCGCGGCAAUGAGGCCGAAGUCCCGGAUGUACUUCCGGUAGUAGCCGGCGAGGCCCAAGAAACCGCGGAACGACCGCGGUGACCGCGGGGUCGGCCACGCGGCGACGAUGGCGACCUUGUCCGCGUCCAUCGCUACCCCGUCCACCGAGAUGACGUGCCCCAGGUACAAGAUGGAGGUCGUGCCGAACGAGCACUUUGAGCGCUUGAGGUGAAGACGAUGUGCUCGAAGCUCGUUGAAGAUGAUGGCCACGUGCUGUAGGUGCUCCGCCCAAUAUGCACUAUAGAUAAGAAUAUCAUCAAAGAAAACAAGCACAAAGCGGCGCAAGUAUGGGUUGAGCACGUCGUUCAUCAGGGUCUGAAAGGUCGGCGGCGCGUUGGAGAGGUCGAACGGCAUCACCAGGAACUCGAAGUGGCCAUGGUGAGUGCGGAACGCCAUCUUCUCGAUGUUUUCAGGGUGCAUGCGCACCUGAUGGUAGCCCGAGCGAAGGUCGAGCUUGGUGAAGAAGCGCGCUCCGUGUAGCUCUUCCAAGAGCUCAUCCACGACGGGAAUGGGUAACUUGUCCUUGGACGCCAGGGCAUUGAGGACGCGGUAGUCGAUGCAGAAGUGCCAUGUGCCGUCGGGCUUGCGCACAAGGAGCACCAGGGCGGAGAACGGCGAUGUCGAAAUCCGGAUGAUGCCCUGCGCGAGCAUGACCCCCACCUGACGCUCGAGCUCGUCUUUCUGCAGCUGAGGGUACCGGUACGGGCGGCAUGGCGACAGGUGCCGUUUCCGGCAGCAGGUGGAUGUGGUGGUCACCGGGCCGCGCGGGAGGGAGGCCCUGUGGCUCGUCAAAGAUGUCGUUGUGCUGCUGCAGGAGGUCGGCCAGGAGGGGAUGCGCCUCUUCUAGUGCGGCCGCCAUCAACUGGAGCUGCGGAGUCGCGGCGCCGGAGCCGCCGAUGCCUGUCCACUGAACGCGACGGCUGCCCUCGCGCCAGAAGAUGAGGGACAACACAUCGAGGUCCCAAAGGAUGGGGCCGAGAGUGGACAGGAAGUCGAUGCCGAGGAUGAAGUCAUUGCAGCCAAGGUCGAUGCUGACGCAGUCGAUCGAGAAAGGCUCGUCGCCGAUGAGGACGGGAACCUGCUGCGCCACCCCGUGGCAAGCAAGGCGGUCCCGGUUUGCGACGGUGAUGCUGAACUUCUCCGAGCCCGCCGGUUGGAGUGCGAGGCGGCGCAUGGCGUACCCGGAUAGGAAGUUGUGCAUCAAACCCGUGUCUACGAGCGCGGUGAUACGCUCCCCGUUGAUCGUCACCGGAAGCACCAUCGUCUUUGUCGUCUUGAUGCCAGCCAUGGCAUGAAGGGAGACGACGAAGGCGGUCGCAUCGACUGGCCCGCAGGUCGUGACGCCGCCCUCGGAGAGUGUGGUGGCGUCGAGCUCCGCGGUGAGGGCCUCCACCUCCGCGUCGUCGACGGUCUCCAAGUAGAACAGGCGGGUGCACGUAUGACCCGACGUAUACGGCUCGUCGCAGUUGAGGCACAGGCCCUUGCGGCGCCGCUCGAGCUGCUCACCGACGUCAAGCGCCGGAAGGUGCGUGUCGGCGCGGGGGCAGUCGCAGUAGUGGCCGGCAGGGUUGGGCGUGUCGGGGUGGCGACCGUCGGGGCGGGGCGGGUUAGGGGACGCGUGCCGCGGCCCGGGAAUGCCUGUUGUAGGGCGUUGGUGCGCUGCUUAUACGCGUGUGCGUAAUACAUGGCCGUCUGCAGGUCUUGGGAUCAUGCAUCUCGACGUCGAUGCGGAUGUCGUCGGGAAGGCCGCCGACGAAGAGCUCGGCGCGUUGGCGAGCCGUGACGUCAGGCGCAUGGCAGGCCAACGUCUGGAAGCGGUCGGCAAAGUCCUGCACCGAGGUGGUGAAGGGAAGGCGACUCAGCUCGGCCAGGCGGCUCUCACGUAUGGGGGGCGAACCGGAGGAGACACGGGUCGCGAAAGCGCUCCCACGGAGGCAUCCCGCCCUCGUCCUGCUCGAGGGCGUAGUACCACAUUUGGGUGGCGCCACGAAGGUGGAAGGAGGCGAUCCACGUGCGGUCGGACGCCAUGGUCCGCUGCCCCCUGAAAAACCGGUCGCACUGAUUGAGCCAGUUUAGAGGGUCGACGGUGUCGUCGUAGGUGGCAAACUCCAGCUUGGUUAAGCGGGGUGGCUAUUGCACGUGUGGCGAGCCCGCUUAGGCGCCCUUGUGACAACCCAACACAGCAGAAGGAGAGUGUUGCCGAACCACGGAGCAUCCGGCGUAAGGGUGAGUGGACCCGCCGAACCCCCCGAAGGUGGGGGCGGGUGGAUGCAAUACCGUCGGCUGUAGGGGCGCCGUCGUGUAGGUCGGCGUGUCGAUCCACAUCGGUAGCGGGGACAGCGACGGCGGCCACCGGACCUGGGUGAUCGGCAGGCCCUGGGUCGCGACGGUGGCAGGGGGCGGUGGCGUGAAGGGCGCCGCCGGCGGAGGCGGUGGUGGCGGGGUUGCGUACGGAGCUUGGAGGAAAGUCUGGAGGUUCAAGACCGCUAGGGUGAGGUCGCGGAUUGCCGAGGACAUCUCCGCCGGGGGGAGGACGGGGGCGGCUUCGGCCACCAGGGCCGCGGUACCACAGGCGGCCGGACCUGAGGUGGCCAGCGGCGGUGGCGGCUGCUGCGAGGUGGAGGGGAAGGCGGUGGUGGCGGCUGCGGUGGUGGUGGAAAGGUCCAACAAAUUCAUCGAACCCAAGCUACCUGAUACCAAAUUGGUAGAGGCUAGGGUUCUACCAGGUCUCGGACGUAGGUUGUAGGGGUGGAAGUACGGGUUGCGAGGUUGGGGAUGCCGGCGCCGGCGGUUGGGCGCCGUCCCGGCGUGAGAGAGACAGAGAGAGAGUUGGCUAGGGUUUGCGGCUCCCGUCUCAUGAGGGAGACGACAACAGAAUAUUGUUUAUUGUCUGCUUAAUAUCGAAGGGGUACAUGUGUUUAUAUAGGAGGACAGCCUCCACUAAACCCUAGAUAACUUGGACUCUAAUAUAACUUGGACUCUAAUAUAACUUGGACUUCUAAUAUAACUUGGACUUCUAAUAUAACUUGGACUCUAAUAUACCUAAGAUAACUAGGGCUAAGCCCGUAACUAACCCUGCCCAUUGGGCCUCCUCCAUUGGUACGUUGUACCGGUCAUAACAGAUGCAUGAACGGUUGGAUAUAUGCAAGACAUGGCAUGUCAAUUCACAACAAUCAACUACUACACAUUAAGUGAAGUUCAAUAUGGAACGAGUUGCAUAUUAACGAAACUCCGCAUACGAAUUAUUUAGUUAUAUCCGAAUUAGGUACACAGCAAUAUCUAAUGUUGGUUAAACAUGGCAAGAGGUGAAGCGUAAUUAAUUUACCUAUCUAGGCAUUUUAAAUGAGGUCGGAAACGACUUAUAGCAUCUCCGAGAUGACCCCACAUGUCAAUUUAUAAUUCUGUCAAGAUCUGAACUACCAUGUUUAAAUAUUUGUGAAACUGAAAAAUAAAUAAUUUCACGUGAUUCUACGCGUCAUUCCAAUCAAUUUACACAUAGAGAAUAUCUCCAACGGAGCUAUGGAUCAAAAGAUACAAACACCGCAAGAUAUGAUGGCAUGAAUGCAAUAUGUGUGCAACGACAGUCACAAGCAUUUCAAAACAUACAACCAGCAAGAUAAUAUGAAACUACACGAGAUUUUAAGCAAGUUUCAUAUAGGACACGAUCAAAAUGGAGCAACGAUUCAAUAACUACAAGCUAAACAAGAAAUCACUACAAUCUGCCAAAAACAGCCACGUAGCAUUUUCUACACCCUUGAACUACAAGCUACACAAAUCCAAAAUGCUCAAACAAGGAAUGAGACAGUAGAGGGCAAGAUGCACUACAACAUACUACUAAUAACAUCUAGCAUGGAAGCAUGUAUCACAAGGAAAAGGACUCACAAAAUGGCAUCUCACACACACUUUUAGACUUAGUGAAAAUGUCAGUUUUAGACAGCGCAGUUUUCGAUCUGAAGGCAUAUUGACAGCAGAAAAAAUAUAUGCUACAGGGAACCAAAUGACAUGAAAAUUCACAUCAUGCUAGAGAAUCUUAAGGACGACAACUAACUCCAUUGCACCAACCUCAAAAGAACUACAGAUCACCAGAUAAACUCAUGGAAAGACAGCAACAAAAUAUAUCAGAUUUCAGACUUUGAAAUAUUUCAGCAUCUCCAAAUCAGCAUUAUUUUCUAGCAUGUUGAGAGCAAGCAAACAACACCUAAACAUGGAUUUCUAUUGCAACCAAAAUUACCAGGGGCUAGCCCACACAUCCAAGGGCAUAUCUCUAGUUGACAACUCAUUCAUAUCAUGCACGGAUUACAUCCCACAAAAUAAACAAAAGGGCAACAUGGCAAAAUAUUAGCGCACUAACUUGCUCAAAAUCUAAAACUAAUUGCACAAUUAAAUUCUACCCCGGAAUCAAAUAUAAUAUGUGGGGUUGCAAAAUAAAAAUAUCGCCACAUGAAUAUGCGAGAAUAUGUCCUAAACGUGAUAUAGCAAACUAGCGAUCGAACCCACAUGCAAAAUUGCAAACAACUACUCUGAAAUACUUGGCAAAAGGUCCCUAAAAACAUGAGCAUUUAAACUACGGGGUUCGAGCAAUCCAGACACGCAUGAAAAUAAAUACGGGACAAUCAACCUAUUAGGCCAACACGCGUUUCUAGUCAUAUGGCAAGUAAAAUCACUUCAAACAUGCAUGCCAGUUUCCAAUUAUGAAUCUACGCGAAAAAAUAAUCAAGUUUCAUAUUUAAAACAUUCCGAUCCGAUGCACGAGUAAAAAGAUACGAGCGUUUGAAAAACUAGCAUUUUUUGAAAUAAUAGUAAAUCGCAGGACCUAAAUAAAAUACUAAACGGGCCGGAUGUCGACUAUCCGCCUAAACUGUGCACGCGCAAGAUACUACCUAGCGCCUAGUGCACAAAAUAGAGGCGGCAUGGGGUUUUUACCUCGGGCCACUUCGGUCGGCGGUGGAGACGAGGGGCGGCCUGGCCGGGGGGUUGGAGGAGGCCUGGGCCAGGAGGCGACUGGGCACUGGGCCGGUGCGGUCGCUCUGGGCGGCGGCCCACCUGGCGCCAGCGCGCGACGUGUAGGACCUGGCUCCCCGUCCCCGAAUAGGACGCGAGCCAGGCAUGGCGGCGGCGCACCUUCGGCUGGCCGGCGCCGGCGCAGGCCACGGCGGCUGGAGUGCGGGUCGGCGGCGGAUCUGGUGCGCCUCGCGGAUCUGGCCGACCGGCGGGCUACGACAACGACGAGGGUCGGCGCGGGGACCGAAGAGGGCGGCGGGGCGGUGCUCAGGUAGCAGGAGGGAGCCGGCUGGGGGCUAUAGAAGAGCGGCGACGACGGGGAUCCGGGCCGGGGCGGGCCCGGUGGAUGAGGAGGGAGACAGGGAGGUGGAGGUGGCGGCUAGGGUUAGGUGGGCGCGGAAAACGAGGGAGAGAGAGGGUUUGCUGCCUAAAAUGGCAUGGGGUCUAUUUAUAAGAAUGGGGGGGCUAUGUUUAGCAGUUUUUUUGCCCCGGUUUCAAACGCGUGAGCGGAAUCGAACGAUCUCGAACACGGGACGGGCUAAGUGGCCGUGUAGAUUAGGAUAGCCGGAGAUGAGAGGGAAACGGGCACCCGACUACUUGAUUUUUAAAUCACCGAAAAACGUCCGACGAUAGACGGGAUACGGUGCCGCUACGGUCGACCGUUCAGGUACCAGACGGACCCCGACUGCGACGAAAAUUGGCAGGCGGCCUAUCUAUAUUAAAAUAACACCGCACACCAAGUUUCCAACCCAGUCAGGGAAAGUUCUAUACACACUUUUAAAAACAAGGAUUUGACGAUGCCGCGGGCACGUGCGUGUGUGGUCGGGCUCAACACAGGCAACGACGAACACAGAGAACCGACAACUAAUAACGGAUGCUACUUUUGAAAACUGGCGGCAAUGUAGAUGCCAAUGCAAUGCAGAUGAUGCACAUGAUGCGAUGAUGAAGCGACAAAUAAAAAUAAUCACAUGACGAAAACGGAAUAAAAGGGGAAUCUUGUGGAGCGUCGGUCUCGGGCUGUCACACCCCCCCCCCGUUGGGCAUGCCCUAUUAGCUUAUCAUGCCCACGUGGCUCCCUCGACCCUAAUUCCAUUCCUAUAAAUUCACAUCUUCGGAGAAAAAAUCAAAGAGAAAAUUGCAUUGUGAUUUACGAGAAGGAGCUGCUGCCACCUCCUAUUCUUACUCGGGGGGGGCUGAUUUGGAGUCCAUUUGCGGCUACGAAGAGAGGGAUUUGUCCCCGUCAUCAUCACCAACCCUUCUCCAUUGACAAUUCUGUAAUUCUCACCAUCGUAAUUGAGUAAUUCCAUUAUAGGAUUGCUAUACAGUGAUGGGUUUUGGAUGAGAUUGAUCAUGUAUUCGAGUUAAGUUGAUAGGGCUUGAUCCAUAUUAUCCACUAUGUUCUGAGAUUGAUGUUGCUAUGACUUUGCUAUGCUUAAUGCUUGUCACUAGGGCCUGUGUGCCAUGAUUUCAUAUCUGAAACUAUUAUGUUUUCUCUGAAUAUGACAGUUUUUAUAUCCUAUGUUGCAACUUGUAUGCACCUAUUAUGUGUUAUGAUCCGCAUACCCCAAGGUGACAAUAAUUGGGAUUCUUUCUGGUGAUUGUCGUAGUUUUAGGAGUUCGUGUAUUCACCAUAUGUUAAUGCUUUGUUCUGGUUCUCUAUUAAAAGGAGGCCUUAAUAUCCCUUAGUUUCUUUAUGGACCCUGCUUCCACGGGAGGGUAGGAUAAAAUAUGGCAUGCAAGUUCUUAUCGCAAGCACUCAUGAAUAUAUACAUAAUACAUGCCUAUAUUAUAUUGAUGAAUUAGAGCUAGUUCUGUGUCGCUCUAGUGUGUAACUGUUACAUAACGAAUGUCAUCCAUAUAUAUCCAUCGCAGAUCCAUGUGCCUAUGCUUUACAUACACCAAAUCUUGCUAAAGUUACUACUACUACUGCUACGGUCACAACUGGUGCAAAAUUGCUCCUGCCACUAUUACUACUACAACUAUUACUUUUCAUUUCUACUAAAUCUUUGCUGUAGAGAGAUAUCCUAGGUGUGGUUGAAUUGACAACUCAACUACUAAGGCCAUAAAUAUUCUUUGGCUCCCAUGUGUCAAAUCAAUAAAUCAAGGUGAAAUACUACCCACGAAGACGGUUGCGAUCGCCUAUACUUGUGGGCUAUCACAGGGUUUUUGGGUGAGACAAGAUAUGUUCGAGACUCGGGGAUUUAUGCUCGAAUUAACAAAUUGGUUUGGGAAAAUUUAGAGACAAGAAAUAUAACAAGCCUGAAUUUGAUUCAAACUUGAUGCAUUUUAAAAUCCAACCAAAACAAUUUGGAAACGACUGAAAUUUGGAGGCGGGCUUCUAACCAUGGGUUAGGAGUUUUAGAAUAAGGGUGGAUAUCUAAAUAAGGAAGAAAGAGCACACUUGCCAAAAUAAUAAGGAAUAGGGAGGAAAGGAUUUUUGUUGGGAAAUUUGUUUGAGGUAAUUUCAAACAAGAUCAUGCCACAAGGUUGCAAGGCACAUGAUCACAACACACUUUCCCCCAAACAUAGAAUGAUUCAACAAAAUGAAAUGGAUGCCAUGAUGGCACAAUGCAUAAUGGAUGUCAUGAGGAUAAAAUUUAUGACUCAAGUCAAACCAUGGAAUUCAUACAAGCUUGGACUCAUGGAAAUGGUUACAAGAAUGGAGUGUUUCUCUUGGGCUGUUACACAAAUCAUGACAACAAUCACGAUCACAUAUCGAAGCUUCUUAAGGUUUUCUAUCUUGGCUCACAACUUGUUGCUUUGGGUGUCUAUAACUUCAGUUGGUAUUCAUUGCUCAUGCAUCUUAACUUGAUCCUCAUCCGUCUUCACUUUCUUCUCACGUGCGUCUUUCAAAGGAUCAUCAAAUCAGACUCUGGGUGAUCGAGUACGGUACUCGAGAAACUGGUUUACGUAAACCAUUAAGAAACCAACCAAUAUCCAUGUGUGACAAGAGAAUGGGUCAUGCAUCUGUGUGUGCAUAAUUAAUGCCCUGUGAAACUAGGGUUACAAGCAAAAUGUAUAAUUAAUUAAUUAAGAGGGAAAUGUGUUUUGUCGUAUGUUCCUCCAUUCCCUUGUGUGCACACAUGAGAAAUUCUCGAGUUGGAUUUAUUUUGUGUGCGAGGUUUUCUUUGGAACGUGGCAUUUGCAGCCGCAAAAUAGCACAUGUGGGAUGCUUGGACUUGGAUGAGCUUCAUUGUCAAUGGUGUAUGAAAUGGAGCCAGAUCCAACAGACGAUGUGUUGUUGUGAUGUGAUGAUAUGUUGGAUACGUCUGAAAUUAUUGGUCUCACUGAAGAACUCAUGCUGGGUACCUGAUGUUGAGAGAAGAAAUGUACAAGGGGACGAGCGAGGGGAGAUAGAUCUAUUAAUGAAAAUGUUUGGGCGGAUAGAUGUAGUAGUGAUCUACAUAGAUUAUGGAGAGAAAGUGAAGAUGGAGAGUGGGGGUGGAAUAUCGAAACAAAGUGGGGAUGGUGGGAGAGAAGUAGAAGCAUAGAAAAAGGAAUGGUCAAUUAUAGGAUGCAACGAUUAGCUGCGUGCAAAGAAAGCGAACACUGCUAAUUCAUAAUAGUUGCAAGCGUCCAUGUGGUGGAAACUUUGCUUGUUUGGAAGACGCACGUAUGUGUUAGUACACAAGAGGUGAGAUAUGCCAUUAGCAGCGAUCAGUAACAAAGACAUGUUGCUACUUCGUAUGACACUAGGGGCGUGCACCUCGACUGCACGCUUCUAGUGAUCUAUGGCACAACGAAUACAUGCAUAUGCCUACUAGCAUCAUUCACUAUCGUUGGACACCACUAUUGCCUACACAUGCACCACUCAUGUUUUAAGAGGACGUUGCUGGUAGUUAGUCAUGUUAGCGGCAACGUCUGCUCCUGCAGGAACGUUGCUAGUAUAGUAAUCCAAUAAGGUGUUCCUACACUACCGCAAUCCAUUAACUCGAUACGUGGAAAGGUGAAACAUAGAAUCUAGCACUCGAACAUCCUCACUUGCUUUGCAGGUAGAUAUUACGGGCACAACUUAAAGUUCAAGGUUGACUCCGAUUUCUUUAGUUUACAAACCCAUUACUAAUAAAGCUAAACAAUCUAUCCUUCAAAAACUCUCAAGGUCUUGCAUAUUCCUAUGAAACAUCCUUAAUGAACAACAACAAUCAUAGUCACAAUGUGGAUCAACAGAACUUCAAUCUAGAAAACUUGAACUUGGAAUGGAUAAGGAAAUGACAAGCCUCUCGCUUACAAUAGCAAACAUAAAACAAGACCCCCCAAUAGAAUAAUGAAAGAUUUUAGAGGAGAUCUAAUAAGAUUUUGGUAUGAUCUUGCUCUUUCGAAACCAUGUAAUAAUGCAACCUAUCUCAUAGGAAAUCUUCGACAUAUUACACUAUAAAAAAUACUUCCAUGCCGGUGCAAGUUUGUCACAAUGGGUAAUGUUUUCCGUCACGUAUGUACAUCCGUGAUGAUUCUAUGACAAAACAAGAUAGUCAUACAUGUGUUGUCAGGAAAGAGUUCCAUGACAAUGUUCCAUUAUCAUCAUAGAAAAUUUCACUUCCGUGAUGAUAAAUGGAGCGCCAUGCAAGUAUUUUCGUCUAGGUUAACCAACAUGUGGCAUCCACCAUAAUGGGGCAUUGUUAAGCUAUCGAGUGUCAAUUUUGGAUUAGAUAUCCGUUAACAGCCCCGAUCAAUGCCAAUUUCCCACGUGUCAAGUUCUCACUCGCCAACGGACACACAAGAUAUUACGCAAUGAGAAUGUGAUAUUAGCCAAUGAAAAUGUGACCCAUGGCAUGGCCCAAAAAUGGCCGACUUUAGGUAAAAAGGCCAGCCCAGUUAGAGGCCAACAAGAUUUAGGACAUAGUUAGCGGGCCGGCCUUCUUGCACAUGGCCCAUUUGUAGUCACGGUCCGUACGAGCUGUUAAAAGACUGCAAAUGUAGCCCGUCAUCGGUUUGUUGUGCAUUUUCCAUCAUUUCGGCUCAUGGUCGCUUCUGGUCCACUAAGAUCUCAUUUGGGGCCAAUUAUGCCCGGUGAAUAUCCAACAUGUGAAAGUUCAUAGUAUAUUUGGGUGUGGGGACCCCGACUUACGAGUCGAGAUCGCCGAAUGAACUUGCUCAGUGAUCCCAGAGAUCAAUGCUCACCGUACACAUAGAUGUUGAAUAUUAAGAGUCUUAUAUCCAAGUACCAAAAUAUUACAAAACAUGACCGAUAAGGUCAAGUUCACAAUGUAGGGCCUAUAAGGCCAAAUCACAAUGAUACAACUAGUAGAGGAAAUCUUAGGGCUAAGCGGGUGCCCAUGCCAUCAGCCUACACCAACAGACAUUCUGACUGGGAAGCGUCCUAGUUCAUAGGGCCGUCUCCGAUGACAUACUCUUCUCCCAACUCCGGUCCUUCCAUGUCUGGUCAAUAAUAUAACCACUGUCAAGCCAAUGAGUACUUUGAAUGUACUUGCAAACAGCCCCUGAUAUGAACAAUGCAAUUUAUGGAAUAACGAGUAACAUGCAGUAUUGGUGGAUAGCAGCUUCUAUAAAUAAACAUUAUCAUGGAUGUGCAACAUAAGCUAGAUGAUAUUUAGAAGAACAGGUUACAUAUAUCAAUAUAUCUGUUAAGGACCGAACACUCCGGGUUCACCUGAUAUGCCAAGUCACCAAACUUGGUCAUAUCCACUCUUUCUCAGAUAAGACCAUUAAAUACACACACACACACACUUGGUUUUUGUGGAAACGACUGGACGUAGUUUAAGUAGGAUUACCCAACUGUCCUUGACCGUGGACACGGCUAUUCAAAUAGUUUUACACUCUGCAGAGGUUAUACGUUGUACCCACGAGAUCCGGGGAACUUCCGUGUCAUCCACGACUCGCGGUAUAUAACGUACCCGAGGUAAGUACCCGAUCAAUGCCUUUCCCCUGACGAUACUAGACAAAGAGGUCCACUCGAUCGGUACCCAGCCCACAUGAUGUACGUCUUAGGAUCACCGACUCUGGACAGUAUCAUCCAUGCGGGGACCAACGGUGUGCCCGAAACACGUAAAAAUGGCAUAGUCGCCCUACCUGGAACGACCCCGUCACGAGACUGACCACACAUCACUCCCGCCACUAUUAAUGUGGCUCUUUGCUAGCACGGGCUAGAGUAAGCAACAAAUCCCCAUCCCAUAAAGGGGUAACAUGGUCGCAGAUGUAAGGUUGGGACUGUUGACACAUCAUAAAUCUCAUCCCAUUACCGAAACCACUCACACCAAAUACCCGGUGCACCACUUCUCCAAAAGUGGCCACCUAUCUAUCAUCACCCUCGGGCAUUAGUGGCAUCCGACGGGGUUUUCAUAAACCUUUGAUUUAUACCAUCAUCAUGCUCAUGCUUCUACUAUGCUUAGCUCUAGUUGUCAACAUGGUAUUAGCGUGACCCUCAUAGGUGGUAGGAUCAUGCUCACAAUGCAAUGAUUUACUGAUACUUAUGAUCAUAUGCAACGGAAAUAUUUGUUCUACUUAGCAUGCAAUAUAACAUAUGCUCAAACAUGGUCAAAGGAAGGCUUGCUUUGAUCAGCUAAGUAUCCGGGGUCUUCGGGGUCUUCAAGUCCAACUCCUUCGUCAAACGUGGUUUCUAUCGGUGUAAUAAAUAAAAAAGCAAUAAGUGGUUCACUCUAAAAUAGAUCACAAAGUCACUUUCAAAAUGUUUUUAAUUCUGAUAAAUCCAUAUUGUUAUUUUAAAAAUAUUUGUCUCUCGUUUUAGUGAAAGGAUUAUUUUUUAAAGUAUUUUAACAGAAGCAAAACUAUUCCAAAUAGCCUUUUUAAUUAUUAUAAAACAGAAAGUUUGUCUCAAAAAUUGUUCAAAAGUCUCUCUUAACUACUACUCAUUUUUAGAAGAAUUAUGGUGGAAGAAUAAUAAAAAAAUAUUGAAUAUUUAUUUUUAUAAAAAUCUUUCAAAAACAUAUUUAACAGAAAAAGGUAAAGGGGCUAGGCUCGGGUCUGGCUUGGCCCGAGACUAGGGGUGGAAUUCAGGCUGUGGAGAGGUGGGAUGGAGGUGCUGGAGCGAGGGGGAAGCUCUAUUUAUAGGCUUCCGAUGGUGUACUGAGCAGGGUGGCACCAGUGGUUCCACCGUAGCUCGCAGGAGGAGCAGUGUGCCUUCGGGGUCGAAACCACAGUGUGCGGACGUGGUUUAGGACCUGCAUGACCCACUAAGAGGGAGAGAGAGCAAGGAGGAGCGUGCACGCAUGGCCACGGUCUUCUGGAGGAUCUGGCGGGUGUGGGCACGCGCCGCUCUGGUCAAGAGAGCGAGGGAGGAGGGGCCGUGGAGCUGCGCUGAUGCAGAGAGGUGGUCGGGGACUCGAAAUGGCAAAAGGGGGAGCCUUCAACCGGCCGGGCUGGCCACCUUAGCUUCGGGUGUGCCCAACAGCGUGCCCAAAGCGCAGUUUUGGCAUGCCACGACAUGCUGGCACACUUUGGGCGCUUUGGCCUUGUCUGGGCUGUCCUGGGGUUUGGCUUGGAGAUGCCUAGUCGUUUGGGAGCAGAGGGGUUCACUGUUGCCCAUGGGAUGAGAGGAAAUAAGAGAUGCCAGUGCUAGACCGGAAGUUAGAAUGAUGAUUUUGGGACCUUCUGCUUCGAUUCAAAGAGGGGCCACUCUCCUGCAGUUUUGGAGUGGUGCUGGCUACUUGGUCAAAAGGUUUGGAGGGAAGAGCUCAAGUGUGGAGUGGGGUAGGAGCUAUUUUUCUAUUAUGGCAGUAGGUGUUCGACGGGUGUUUGGAGUAGCAACACUUCACCACUAGUGGUGAGAGUUAACAAGAUUAGCUUGGGUGCAAAAAUAAGAUACUCCACCAAAUUUGAGCCUCGUUGGAUGGGUUUGGCAAUUCAAACUAGAAAUCUCCCCCAAAUGGCAGUUAUGUCCCUUCUAAAGGGAUUGUGGGUAGAUUGCCCCCUACAAAUCCCAUUUUUGGUAGAGACUACUCAUUUGGGGUGUUGAACACUCCUGCAAAGUUUCAACCCAUUUGGAUAAACUUUGCAAUGUAAAGAUGUUUCAACUUGGUUAUGGACACAAAGGGUUUUAGAAUUAUUCCUUGGACAAAGGUGAAACUUGGUGUGGCCACUAAAUAUAGCUUGGGAAGGUUGCUGGAAUUUUAUGGGCUUUUAUUGGGAAUAUUUCCUUUGGAAAUAUUCCAAAAGAUCAAAACAGACAAAAUAGGUUUUCAAGGAUUUAAUCAAAUAUUUUGAAUAUAAAUAGGGGUUGAAAAUCUUAUGUAUGGAAAAUAUAUGUCCUCCGAGUAUCUCCAAAUUUUCUCAGAUUUUUCUAAGGCAGAAAAGUAUUUUUCCAUAUAGGAAUAUCAUUUAUGGCCUCAGAAAUAGACAUGCAAAUAAAAUAGGAAAAUAAUUUAUAAAAUAAUUAUUUUAUGGUUUUGGUGAGCUAAAAUAGUUUUAAAACCAGAUCACCAUCUUUGGGUGAAAGCACUCCCUUGCUGCCAAGGACUUGUAGUGCAACCCAAAGCAGGGUUUUGAAAUAGUUAGAAAUAAGAAAAGGAUUUUGAGAAUAUUUAGGUUAUGGAAAAUAUGGUUUUGAUGUUACACAAUCAAGCAUACAAGCAUACAAUGACAACCAUGGCACUCACAGUAUUGGUUUUUGAAAAGUUUUAAUAAACUCGGAUUUUUGAACUACAGUAAAAGUGAAGUGAAAAUAGGGUGUGACAGACAUAUCCCCCUUACAACAAUCUCAUCCCCAAGAAUCCUAAGCUAGUUCCUAAAAAGGUACAGAAAUUCAGAUCGAGAUAGUCUUCACGUUCCCAUGUUGCUUCUGCUUCGGUGUGGUUGCUCCACUGAACCUUGAAAUACUUGAUGGUGUGGCUUCUGGUGCAAAGCUCUGCUUCAUGAAAAAUGUGGAUCGGCCUCUCUUGAUAAGUGAGAUCUGGUUGGAGGUCAAUGGCUUGAUGGUCAAUGUCCUUAUAAAGAUCUAGACGGUUCGGCGCUUACUGACACUUCUGGAGUUGUGACACGAAGAAGACGUUCUGCACACCCAAUAGUUCUGGAGGUAGCUCCAACUAGUAAGCAACUUCUUCACGCCUUGUCGUGAUCUUAAAAGGUCCAAUGAACCUUGGAGCGAGUUUCCCUUUGAUGUGGAAAUGCUUGGUUCCUUUGAGAGGUGUGUCGCGGAGGUACACGUGGUCUCCGAGAACGAACUCCACUUCUCUACCGUGAGAAUCCGCAUAGCUCUUUUGUCGCGACUUGGCUGCCUUCGGGUUUUCUCGGACAAGUUGCACCUUAUAUUCUGCCUCUUGCAGAACUUCUGGCCCGAAAAUCAAUCCUUCGCCGGUUUUGGACCAGUUUAGCGGGUUGCAGUAUUUCCGUCCAUACAACACUUCAAAUGGGGCCAUCUGGAGACUGGACUGACAGUUGUUGUUGUAUGUGAACUCAGCGAACAACAGACAGUCUUCCCAUUUGGCACCAUGUCACAAGACACAUGCACGGAGCAUAUCUUCAUGUAUCUGGUUUACUCUCUCCGUUGUCCGCCCGUCUGCGGGUGGAAGGCGGUGCUCAAAGUGAGCUUGGUUCUGAGAGCUUCUUGGAACUUCUUCCAGAAUCUUGAGGUGAAUUGCGUGCCUCGAUCAGAUAUUAUCUCCUUGGGGACUCCAUGAAGGCUUACAAUUCGCUCAAUGUAGAGGCUAGCUAGCUUGUCGCCCCCAUAGGUGGUACUGACCAUAAUGAAGUGAGACACCUUGGUCAGAUGGUCGACGAUGACCCAUAUAGAGUCAUGGCCUCUGCUGGACCUGGGUAAGCCCGUGAUGAAAUCCAUGCAGACCCGGUCCCACUUCCAUUCGGGCACCUGGAGAGGUUGUAGCAGUCCAGCAGGUCGUUGGUGUUCAGCUUUGACUCCCUGGCACACGUCGCACUUGGCAACAUAGCACGCUAUUUCCCUCUUCAUGACGUGGCACCAUAAUUUUUCUCGGAGGUCCUGAUUCAUCUUGGUGCCACCGGGGUGAAUUGAGUAGGGUGUGUCAUGAGCUUCCUGCAGGAUCAAGCCCUUGAGUUCUUCCUUGUUGGGUAUGCAUAAACGUUUCCCAAACCACACUACUCCUUGCUCAUCCACCGAGCAUUCUGGGGCCUUAUCUUCCUUGAUCUUCUUCUUGAUUCCUUCCAUGCUCUUGUGCCCCUUCUGGGCCUCCUUGAUGUCGUCUGGCAGCAUUGGUUUGAAUUCGAGGUUGGCUAGGAAUCCUGGUUCAACUAGUUCCAACCCGAAGCUUUCCAUUCCUUCAUACAAGGCGAGUAGCCUUUCCUUGAGCAUAACAUUCAAGGUGCUGGCCUUCCGGCUUAAGGCAUCGGCCACCACAUUGGCCUUACCGGGGUGGUAUUGAAUGUUGAGGUCAUAGUAUUUGAUCAACUCCAACCAUCUUCGCUGCCACAUAUUCAAUUCCCUUUGAGCAAAGAUAUACUUCAGACUUUUAUGGUCAGUGUAUAUUUCACAUCGCUUCCCCAGAAGGUAAUGUCGCCAUGUCUUUAGGGCAUGCACUACUGCUGCCAACUCAAGAUCAUGGGUGGCAUAGUUCUCCUCAUGCGGGCGUAGUUGUCGUGACAAAUAUGCCACAACCCUGCCCACUACUGGAAUCAUAGAAUUUGCCAUCAGCUGCUUCUUUGCCGUCUGCUGGCUGAUGGCAAAGACACUCUUUGCCAUCAGCUACCCAAAACCUGACGGCAAAGAGCAGGCUGAUGGAAAACAUCCUCUUUGCCAUAAGUGUACUCUUUGCCGUCUGCAAGAUGACGGCAAAGCACAUGCAGGCAGACAACAAAGNNNNNNNNNNNNNNNNNNNNNNNNNNNNNNNNNNNNNNNNNNNNNNNNNNNNNNNNNNNNNNNNNNNNNNNNNNNNNNNNNNNNNNNNNNNNNNNNNNNNNNNNNNNNNNNNNNNNNNNNNNNNNNNNNNNNNNNNNNNNNNNNNNNNNNNNNNNNNNNNNNNNNNNNNNNNNNNNNNNNNNNNNNNNNNNNNNNNNNNNNNNNNNNNNNNNNNNNNNNNNNNNNNNNNNNNAGAGAGAGAGAGAGAGAGAGAGAGAGAGAGAGAGAGAGAGAGGAGAGAGAGGAGGAGGAGAAGAAGAAGAAGAAGAAGAAGAAGAGAAGAAAAAAAACAAGAAGGAGAAGAAGAGAAGAAGAAGAGAAGAAGACAUAAUUAGCCCAUUUAGCUCCAAAAUGCCAUAAUAAGUCCAAAAUGGCAUAAGAACCUUGGUUAGCUCAUGAAUAUUAUAUUCUUAGCUUGUUUUCCUCUAAAAUGACAUAAUUAGCCCAUAUAGCUCCAAAAAGAAAUAAUUAGAUAAUUUAGCUCCAACAAGAGGAGAAGAGGAGAAGAAAUAGGAAAAAUGAAAAGAAAGAAGAACAAGAAGAAGAGAAGAAAAAUACCUUCUCCUUCUUCUCCUCCUCCUCCUUCUCCUUCUUCUUGAUUUCUUCUUCUUCUCCUCCUUCUCCUCUUUCUUAUGCUCCUUACCUUAUUUUCCCCAACAAUGAGAUAAUUAGCCCAUUUAACUACAAAAUGGCAUAAAAACCUUGGUUAGCACAUGAAUAUUAUAUUCUUAACUUGUUUUCCUCUAAAAUGACAUAAUUAGCAUAUUUGUGUUGAUCGGGUGGAUUUUCAAGUGAUAGUUGUCUCGUCGCUAUUAGGUCUGCUGUGCGAAGACCUCCCCGUGCGUUGUACGAGCUCCGACCCUGCAUUCGUGGGUCAGUACAAAUUUCAUCUCCUCCUCGCCCCUUCAUUUACUGUGGCUAGGUUUCCGGAUGAAACUUUCUAGAUUUAAGUAAUUAAAUUAAUUUAUCAGUAUGCGUGACCAGUAUGCGUCUCCCGUUCGAAAGGGUGACAUCUAUAAAUAUGCAUGUCUUUGCAUAUUUAUAACCGCCAUCCUUUCGAAUUGUCCAACAUUAUCCAUGGACAGCCCGAGUAUGUGUAGAUUGGGUUCGUUUUCCCGUAUGUUGUGCUCUGGAUCCGAUGCGGAAUUUCGUCAGCGCCUCCUUGUUGUUCUCCGGAUGCACAUCCUCUCUGUUUAUUGUGGAGACGUGUAUCACGAGAACAACGGGGAGGUGCUGCCAAAAUUUUGUGUUGGAUCCGGAGCAGAGCAUGGGAAAACGAACCCAAUCUACACAUACUCGGGUGGGAUUAGGACCUAUCUUUACCUAUUGGCGUGUAGGUUGCCUGCACGUAAUAAAAAUGGCGAACCUGAUUAACGGAUGAAUAUAAAUGCUAAAUUAUAUAUAAAUAUAUUUCUUCUGUCUUUAGUAGCUAGGCAAGAUGAGUGAUCAUGUGUGGAUGUAUACCGGUCACCCUAGUCAGAAAGAGAUGGUGAAAGAAUGGUUUGUAAAAACAAAGGAAUUUGUGAAAGUCGCAUUCGCAAAUGGUCAGGAAAGAAACUAUUGCCCCUGUCCUGGAUGCGACAACUAUAAAAAUACGACAGAGGCUGUAAUGAUUAAACACCUGUAGAGGAGGGGUCUUAAGCCUAAUUAUACGGUGUGGACAUUUCAUGGUGAGUCUAUACAACGCACAAGAGCUGACGUGGUCCGUCGUCGCACCGACGAGCAUGGUACCGGGAUCGAAGACAUGGUGCAAGACUUUGAUGAUGCUCGGGAUUCGGAAGAUGAGAUGGAGGAAUCUGCAAAGGCCUUUUAUGAAAUGUUGGAGUCUUUAAAACGUCCUCUCCAUGAGCACACUGAGCUCUGUCAGCUCGAUGGAAUUGCACAAGUAAUAGCUCUGAAGGUUCAGUUCAACUUGGGAAGAGAAUGCUACGACGCGAUGAUCACACUAUUUGGACGCUUCCUACCCAAAGGCCAUGUCAUGCCUGCAAACCUGUACCAGUCGGACAAAAUACUUCGUGUACUUAAGAUGCCCUAUGAGAAGAUAUAUGCAUGCGAGAAAGGAUGCGUCUUAUUUAGGAAGGAGUAUGCACACUUGGACUAUUGUCCCAAUUGCGAGUCUUGCAGGUAUCUUGUGGUAGACAAUGGUAUGGAUGAGAAGAGGCAGACCAAACUCGCAGUUAGUGUUCUUCAGUAUAUGCCGAUCGUACCAAGACUUCAACGUAUUUUCAUGGUCGAAGAGACAGCCAGACAGAUGACAUGGCACAAAUUGGGCAAAAGAACCAAACUAGAUGCGGAUGAGAAUAAGAUGGUGGUACACCCAUCGGAUGGGGAAGCGUGGCAACAUUUCGAUGGAUUGCAUCAGGAUAAAGCGGCAGAUCCAAGAAAUCCUCGAGUCUGCAUCGCCACGGAUGGUUUUAAUCCCUUUGGCAUGACGGCAACCAAAUAUAGUUGUUGGCCUGCAUUUGUCAUUCCACUCAAUCUGCCCCCCCCAGACAGAUUAUGCAAAGAAAGAACAUAUUUCUGACGUUGAUAAUUCCAGGGCCCAAUUACCCGGGGAAGAAUAUGAAUGUGUACCUGCAGCAAGGAUGAAUUGGAAGAAGCUUGGGAUAAUGGGGUCAAGACAUACGAUGCCGCUAGAAAACAAAACUUCAAAAUGCAUGUGUGGUACAUGUACUCAAUGCAUGACUUGUCGGCGUAUGCACAAUUCUCUGGAUGGUGUGUGCAUGGAAGGUUCUUGUGCCCCCAAUGCAAGGCAGCUCUUCAGUUUCAUUGGUUGCAGGAAGGUCGGAAGUAUUCUUGCUUUGACUUGCAUAGACAGUUCCUGGAUCCUGACCAUCAAUUCAGAAAAGACAAGAAGAACUUUACCAAAGGUAAAGUUGUCAAAAACUUGGCACCACCUGUGUUGACAGGCCAACAGACCUGGAUCAGUUAAACGCCCUCGAGCCUGAUCCAGAGCGUCUAGGGUAUUUCAAGGGGUAUAAUUCAAAACACGCUUGAACUCACAAGCCAUGCUUCUCGGAUCUGCCUUACUUCAAAGACCUCCUUCUUCCACACAAUAUCGACAUGAUGCACACUGAAAAGAAUAUCGGAGAGGCUAUUUUUGGUACAUUGUUUGACAUAGAUGGAAAGACAAAGGAUAAUACUAAGGCUAGAGUCGAUCAAGAGAAUCUAUGUCAUAGACCGUUACAAAACAUGCGAGAAGGCAAAGGAAAGCAGAAGUGGUCGAAGCCAAAGGCCUGGUUCAAUCUUGGAAGGCCAGCUAUGAGGGAAAUUAUCUUGUGGGUCAAAAUGCACUUGAUGUUCCCCGAUGGGUAUGCAGCGAAUCUAAAGAGGGGAGCGAGUCUUGAAAAAUUAAAAAUCUUUGGUCUCAAGAGUCAUGAUUGGCACAAAUGGCUAGAGCGGGUAAUGCCGGCGAUGUUACGUGGCUUUGUUCCUGAGGAUGAAUGGCUAGUACUGGCGGAGCUGAGCUAUUUCUUUCGUGUUCUUUGUGCGAAAGAAUUGUCGCCUGGCGUGGUAGAAGACAUGGAGGAGUUUGCACCGGAGCUGUUGUGCAAGUUAGAGAAGAUCUUUCCAUCGGGCUUCUUCAAUCCAAUGCAACAUUUGAUUUUACAUCUACUGACCGAGGCAAGAUUGGGUGGGCCCGUGCAAGAUCGUUGGUGCUAUGCAGCUGAGAGGAUGCAGAAGACCCUUCGAGCUAAAUGUAAAAAUAAGCGUAGAAUUGAAGCAUCGAUGACUGAGGAAUUCAUUACUAAGGAGGUGGAAAACUUUGUGACAACACACUACGAAGCCAAAAAUCGUCAUUUGCAUAAUCUGAAUCCUCGGCACAAUGAUGCAGACCCUUAAAAAGGUGGAUCCAACCUCAGCCUAUUCAAAGGGAAGCUCGCACUAGUCGGUGCUUCGAAAUCAAUAACGUUGGAUGUCGAAGAAUGGCGGAACAUUUUGUUGUAUAUCUUCAACAACCUAACAGAAGUGCGGCCGUACAUCAAGUGAGUUCUCGGCACAUUUUCCCGUAACUUCUAAUUCAUUUGAACUGCUCUUAUUCCUGGAUAUUUCAAACAGCCGUUACGUCGCCUAUUCUCAGAUGGAGCGGUGAUCAAAAUUGAUUCCGUCGAAGAGUAUGAGCUUCUGUCAAAGACAGUAGGCGGCUAUCCCGGUUUCAUCUCUUGGUUGAAACAAACUGUAAUUAUCAAUAAUGGACCAUUUCAUUUCUUGGUCUAACUUGCAGCUAAUGCAACAAUCAUUUCUUAUUAAACUUGUAGGCUAAUUCAGAGUCUAUGGACGUCGAAUUGAGACAAGUCGCUAAUGGUUUUGACUAUAAGGUUCGUUCAUUUGAGAAAUACAACAUCAACGGGUAUCUCUUUCAUACCUUUGGCAAAGAGCUAUCUAUGCCCGACCAGAAAUCUACAAAUUGUGGUGUCUCUGCUAUCGGUGAAGGUGUUAUCGAGUAUUAUGGAAGAGUUGAAGCAAUUUAUGAACUUCAAUUCUAUGGUGAAAACCCACUCAACGUCGUAGUCUUCAAAUGUUAUUGGUUCCAGUCGAAGGAGACUAGAAGGACUCAUGAACAUAUAGGACUAGUUGAAAUCAAUCCAAACACCCAUUUAGAUGUUCCCGAUGUCUAUAUUACGGCUCAGCAGGUGACCCAAGUUUUCUAUCUACCGUGGGCAUGCCAAACGGAUAAGAAUCUGGAAGGUUGGUAUGUUGUUUAUGAAGUGCCUCCACAUGUCAGACCACCUCUCCCAAAUGAACAGGAUUAUGAACCUCACAUUAACCCAGACACAUAUGAUGGAGAAUUCUUCCAAGAAACACAUCUUUCCAAGAAACGUUUCAAGAACCGUCGUGCUUCACCCAAGAACAUGGAAGUAAACAGCGACAAUGAAUCCGACUCCACCCCUGAGCCGGAACCAGAAGACCUGGAACUCGUAGAGGUUACUGAUGCGGAUGACCUGUCAAUGCUUCAACGAUUACAGAAAGGCUUUUCACAACUUCACGCCGUUGAACCCGACGAGCACGUCAUUCAUGAAGACAUGCGUGAUAGUGAUGAUGAUGAUGCAUUUAUUGAUGAUGAUUAUUAGUUUGUAAGAUUCACAACUUAGAUUAUAUAUAUUUUAAUCUUUAUUAUUCAUGUACAUAUUAUUAUUCAUGUCAGUUAUUCAAUUUUUUUAUGUUGUACUAAUUUAUUUUAGUCUUUAUCAUGGCAGGUCACCAGGUGUUGAAAGAUGGUGGGCGCUGGUCCAGAUCGCUAGACGGUUCUUCCCAGGCGCCUCGCACGAGGGGUGGUACAUCCCUUCCACCCCUAUCUCUCCAUAGAGCCUUGGUAGACAGUCUGUCGACACCACUCGUGGGUUCUUCUUCGUCGGCGGCAUUGCCCACUGGGAGAGGUGUUGGUCGGGUAGGGAAGAAGGGGAAGGGUACACGGAGAGGUGGUGGUCGCGGAAGAUCCAGGAGGACUGUUGAGCCGUCCUCGUCACCACCACCAGCUCAUUCACCCGAGCAUAGGACUACUAUGGUCGACCCGUUUGCGGAGGAGGCUAUGGGGACUCCAGUCCAGGAGCCUGGUGUUGACGGGCAUUCGUCCCAUGAGACUCCGGUCCAGGAUCAGCCUUGGGUCGAGGUGCAUUCGGCCCACGAGACUACGAUUCCGGAGGCUUCACCCGACUCGGAGAAGCCCAGAUGGGAUGCCUGGCCGGAUCGGACCAAGUUGCCGGAUUGGACCGAGGGUCCGGGUGGCUCAGGGGGCGGGAUAGCGGGGAUAAGUUUACAGAUAGUGAGGGUAAUGUGCAGGUGGACGGGACCACCGUGUACAAGCGUGGUAGUACACGCCUCCCGGUCGUGUCGGCUACCUGCGAGCAAAGGCCGGUGAUUAAACCUGAAGGAGAUAGGUAAGUACAUUUACUCUUUUUUUAGCUUUUUGCCUUCAAGUUUGUUCAAAUAUCUAAUGCAUUGACCUUAUCAUACUGCAGUGGAUGGGCACACCCUCGUGGAGUCCGCAAGCCUAACUCCAUCCUUGGUGUGAUUUGCCGGACAAAUUUCCCGGGGUUUGUCACGUUGCCUGGUGAGGGUCAGGUUCCUACACUAGGAUUUUCCUGGGAGGACUACCAGGUUGCGUAGGCCCCACCGUAGGAGAUCAUAGAUGGUGUCUUGUGCCACACGAGGGCCGAGAUGGUGAUCAAGAGAUUUUGGGUAAAUUAUGCUUUUACACAAUCUAAAAUUAACAAUAUAGCUAAUUAUUGUAAAAAUCUGUGUCUUCACGUUUGGUUGCAGACCUUCUAUAGGUGUGAGGAUGGAUAUGAGGAGGAGGCGACCAAGGUUCUCGAGGCUGGGUGUAGGCGGUUUCUACAGAACUUACGCCACGAGGCUCGGCCGCAGGCUAUUCGAGACUACUACACCACGCGUGGUAUUAAGAAGCAGAAGAAGGAUUGCCGCGGAAAGUUUCUGAAGAAGGAGCAAUACAUGAAGGUAAUUACCUAUUCUUAAGUCCUUCUAGGUAGUUUUCUUGAUUUCAUUCAUAGGCUUAGCGCUCAAAAUUCUUUCUAAUAACUUACAGGUGCCCCCGAGAUGGUGUGCGGAUAAGAUGGAUUGUUGGGAGGCGUUGGUUGAUGAGUGGUGCACAGGCAGCUGGCGAGCCGUUCACGACAAUGCGAAGGAUCGGCGUAGCCAAAUGGUUGGUGUGCCACACCAUCAAGGCAGCGCCAACUUACUUCAGUUCAGACGAAACUGGGUAUGUGAUUUUCUUCAUGAUUCAUGUAAUUCAUUCUUCAUGCUAAUAUUUUGUUCCUCUCUUUUAGGCGAAUCAUAAUAAGACGGAGAUGCCACACUUGUACGACCUUUAUGGCAUCGCCCAUACUGCCUCGUACAAGAAGGCAAAGGCAUUCUCUGAGUCUGACCUCGAUGAUCCAAAUAACUUCACCAACAUAUCAUCCCACCACAAGCUCGUGACAUACAGGGACACGGGGAAGGCUACGAAAGGGGAUGACUUUAACCCGAGCCAGGAACCUUUGGAUCCAGAGCUGGUGAUGAUAUGUGGUGGCGGGAGGCCCCAUGUCUUGAUAGCCAUUGGAGAUGGGAUAAUACAUUGUCCACUCACUCUCCCGGAGAUCAAGGCGCGUCAGUCGAGCAGCUGUCCUGAGAUAACGUGUCGUCCACGGCCAGUCGAUCUUGCCAUCGAGGUUAGUUGUACGGACUAAGAAAACUUUCAUCCAUUUCAUUAUGUGUGUCACCAUAGAUCAUUACCGUGGUAAUGGGGAAUGGUGUUUCAGGCUGCUCUUCAGAAAGAGAGAGCGGCAAACCAGGCUGCUCUUGAGAAAGAGAGAUUGGCAAGCCAAGCUGCUCUUCUGGCUGGUCUUGAUGAGAGGCACCAGACCACGGCACGAUUGAUUGAGGAGGAGAGGGCCCGGAAUGAGGCGGGUCAACGGGCCCUGUACGAGCUUUUUGUGGUAAGUUUUUUUCACAUUAUCCAAAACAUGUGUGUAAUGUCUGUUUCAUUACUAACUAAUACGACCCACUCUUCAGGGUGUGUGCGAGAAGAGCGGUCAAGUCCCUCCGCUGAUGCCCGUCUUAUCUUCGAUUGGCACGGUGAGUUUCAUUAUAAACUAGUAUUAAUAAUUGAGUGUCAUCAUGCUAACUGAGACACUGCAAAAUAUCUUUUCUAUAGAAUAACUCCCGAGCGGCAUCGCACGACCCUUCUCUAGGUGUUUCUCCUCCUUGAUGACCACUACGGUAAGUUUCUCUUCUCCUCUUUCAUAUUCUCCUUCCCUUAAUUUCCCCAACAAUGACAUAAUUAGCACAUUUAGCUCCAAAAUGCCAUAAUAACCUCAAAAUGGCAUAAGAAACUUGGUUAGCUCAUUAAUAUUAUAUACUUAGCUUGUUUUCCUCUAAAAUGAGAUAAUUAGCCCAUUUAGCUCCAAAAAGACAUAGUUAGCUAACUAAGCUCCAAGAAGAGGAGAAAAGGAGAAGAAAUAGGAAAAAUGAAAAGAAAKAAGAAGAAGAAGAAGAGAAGAAGAGAAGAAGGAGGAGGAGGAGGAGGAGGAGAAGGAGGAGAAGGCCAAGGACCUUCUAGUCCUUCUCCUCCUCCUCCUCCUUCUCCUCCUUCUUCUUUAUUUCUUCUUCUUCUCCUCCUCCUCCUCUUUCUUCUCCUAUUWCAUAUUAUCCUUGCCUUAAUUUCCCCAACAAUGACAUAAUUAGCCCAUUUAGCUCCAAAAAGACAUUAUAAGCUCAAAAUGACAUAAGAACCUUGGUUAGUACAUUAAUAUUAUAUACUUAGCUUGUUUUCCUCUAAAAUGGGAUAAUUAGCCCAUAUAGCUGCAAAAAGAAAUAGUUAGCUAAUUGAGCUCCAAGAAGAGGAGAAGAAAUAGGAAAAAUGAAAAGAAAGAAGAAGAAGAAGAAGAAGAGAAGAAGAAGGAGGAGGAGGAGGAGGAGGAGAAUGAGGAGAAGGCCAAGGACCUUCUAGUCCUUCUCCUCCUCCUCCUCCUUCUCGUCCUUCUUCUUUAUUUCUUAUUCUUCUCCUCCUCCUCCUGUUUCUUCUCCCCUUUCAUAUUCUCCUUGCCUUAAUUUCCCCAACAAUGACAUAAUUAGCCCAUUUAGCUCCAAAAAGACAUUAUAAGCUCAAAAUGGCAUAAGAACCUUGGUUAGCUCUUGAAUAUUAUAUACUUAGCUUGUUUUCCUCUAUAAUGACAUAAUUAGCCCAUUUAGCUCCAAAAAUAUAUAGUUAGCUAAUUUAGCUCGAAGAAGAGGAGAAGAGGAGAAAUGAAAAGGAAGAACAAAAAGAAGAAGAGAAAGAGAAGAGAAGGAGAAGGAGAAGAAGGAGGAGGAGAAGAAGAAGUGAAGAAGGAGAAGGAGGAGAACGAGCCCUCCUUAUUCUCCUUCUUCUUCCCUCCUUCUUCUCCUCUUCUUCUCCUUCUUCUUCUCCUAUUCUCCUCCUCCUUCUCCUUCUCCUUCUCCUCAUCCUCCUCCUCCUUAUUCUUGUUUUUUCUUCUCCUUCUUCUCUUCUUGCUUCUUCUCUUUUUUUCUUCAAUUUAGCUUAUUUUUCAUAUAUAUGUUGUUGUUCUUCUUCUUCUGACUUUCUUAUUCCCAUUUUGCAGAUUGGAUGUACUACAUGCAUGGAAGCUGGCAUUGGAGUGCUUUAGUUCUCGUUUUUAUUUGAGUUGAUGAACAAUGUGGAACUAUAUGUAUAUGUAUAUAUGGAUGAACAAUAUAUGUGCAACUAUAUGUAUGUAUAUAUGGAUGAAACUUUGUAUGUGUUGGUUUUUUCGAUAUAUGGGAUGUACGUUGAUGAACAAAUGGCAUUGAUGAGCUUUAUAUGUAUAUCAUAUAUGUGUUGUGACCUAUUUAUCAUAUAUGUGCUAUGAAUUUUAUAUAUAUGUGUUGUGAAAUAGAAAACAAGUGUGACAAUAUAGGCUCUUUGCCAUCUGCCAGCUGAUAGCAAAGGCCUUUGUCGUCAGCUGACAGACGGCAAAGGUGCCACAUGGCACCCAGCUGUGCUCCCUGGGGGUCCAUAUAGUCUCUUUGUCGUCUACUUCCUGGGGGCAGAGGGCAAAGAAGAGGGCAUAGAGGAGGGGGGGAGGGGUAGGCAGACGGCAAAGCAUGGAGGGGGGUAGGAGGUGGAGCCAGACGGCAAAGAGUGGAGGUGGAGGCAGACGACAAAGAGUGGAGGGGGAGGAGGUGGAGGCAAAUGGCAAUGAAGAGGGCGAGGCAGACGACAAAGCCUUCGUUAGCCCCUAACGGAGGCAACGCCUGUCGGCUGGCGUCUCGACAUAUUUGCUGACUGCUCUUAUGAAAAGCUGACGGCAAAGCUAUUUGACGUCCGCUUCGGUGAGGCUGACGGCAAAUAAGCUACAAUGUCAUCGUAGGCUGACACAGAAUUUUUGCCGACACGGAUUUUCUUUGCCGUCUGUGUAUUACUAUUUGCCGUCGGUGGAUUACGCUUUGCCGUCUGUGAUGGCAGAUGGCAAAGAAGCUAAUUCAUGUAGUGGCCGUCUUGCAUUAGGACUCCACCAAUACAGUUUCUGGAGGCGUCACAAUAUAUCACAAACUCCUUGUUGAUAUCUAGAGUAGCCAAUACUAGGGCAGUAGUCAAUCCCUUCUUCAAUUCCUGGAAGCUUGCUUCUUACUCCCGCGUCCAUUCGAACUUCUUUCCUUUCUUCAAGAGCUGAGUCAUCAGUCCAGCGAUGCAGGAGAAUCCUUCUACAAACUUGUAGUAAAAUCCCGCGAGUCCGAGGAAGCUCCUGACUUCCUUCACAUCGAUUGGCGACUCCCAGUUGGUUACCGUGAUAAUCUUGGAAGGAUCGACCGCCCAUCCGUUUGCCGUCAUGGUAUGACCCAAGAAUCCAACUUCGUCCAGCCAGAAUUGGCAUUUGCUGAACUUGGCACAAAGUUGGUGCUCUCGAAGCUUCUCCAGCACUAAUCUCAAGUGUUGCUCAUGCUCUUCUUCGGAUUUGGAGAAGAUUAAUAUGUCAUCGAUGAAAACGACAACAGACUUGUCUAGGUAUUCCAUGAAGACCUUGUUCAUGAGGUGCAUGAAGUAUGUUGGGGCAUUCGUCAACCCAAAUGACAUGACAAUGCACUCGAACAGACCGUACCGGGCCAUGAAUGCAGUCUUGGGUAUGUCUUCAGGUCGGAUCUUCAGUUGGUAAUAUACUAAUCGGAGAUCGAUCUUGGAAAAUACCUUGGCUCCAUUUAACUGGUCAAACAAGUCUUCAAUCUUGGGGAGUGGGUACUUGUUCUUGAUCGUGACUUCAUUGAGAGAACAGUAGUUGACGCAGAGCCUGAUAGUCCCAUCCUUCUUAGACACGAACAGAAUAGGUGAUCCCCAAGGUGAUGCACUCAGACGAAUGAAACCCUUCCUGAGUUGCUCAUCCAGCUACUUCUUCAGCUCUGCUAGCUCUUCGGAUCCCAUCCUAUAAGGCUUCUUAUAGAUAGGCCUUGACCCGGGCAUGAGCUCAAUGAUGAACAAGACGUCUUGGUCAGGAGGCAUCCCUGGUAGCUCAUCAGAAAAGAUGUCCGGGUAUUAACGGACUAUCGACACUUGGUCCAGCUCUUCUCCCGAUAGGUAAUUUACGUGCGGGAUUUGAGGGAACGUAGGCUCAAGGACAUACUUGACUUGACCCCUUGGUCACUUCUCAUGGUAAUAGUCCUGUUGGCACAGUCCAAGAUGCUCUGGUGCUUGGCCAACCAAUCCAUGCCAAGGAUCACUUCUAAGCUUUGCGACUUAAUGAUGAUGAGAUUACUGAGAAGCUAAUCCCAUUAAUAUUGAUCCUGACUCCUCUACAUCGUAGGUUGGUCCUUAGCACUGCUCCCGGGGUAUGUACUUCCAUUUGCUCGUUCAAACAACAUUUUCCCACAAACUUGUGAGCAAAAGAAUGCGAAGCACCACAAUCAAAUAAUACUGUUGUUGGGGUGGAGUUGACGAGGAACGUACCUAGAAUGCAGUCCGGGUCUUCCUGUGCCUCUUUUGCGGAGAUGUGAUUAAUACGUCCCCUGCUGUGAUACUACUGGAUGCAGGGAGCUUGGUUCCUGCCUGGUGCUCCUUGACCUUGUCCCUGAUUUGGCGCAUUGGGGCGCGGUGCGUCGGGCUUCUUGUUGGGGCACUGCCUGGAAUAGUGCCCAGCAUGUCCACAUCCAAAAUAGGUAAUCUGUCCCGGGAUGUUGGUCUUAACUCCACUAUUGUUCGGUGGGUUGAAUGUUGGAUUGGUGUUGACUUGCUGCUGAGGCUGGUAGUUCUGGCGGAAUGUUGGCGCCUUGUACUGCUGUUGUUGAUAACUGGGUCUUGCUGGUGCUGAUUGCCAUGGGCGUGGUUUCGGGUUACUGGGUCCUCCACUACCCAUCAGCUUGCGGUUAUGGGUGUCGUCCAUUGCACGAUGCUUAUCUUCCAACAUGACGGACUUGUUAACCAGAUCGCAGAAGGUCCGGCAUUCACAAAUAACCAGUUGAUACUCGAGUGACUGCUUCUGUCCUUCCAUAAAACGUUCCACUUUUGUGGCCUCAGUGUUGACGUCCUUUGGUGCAUAUCUCAACAGGAGGUUAAACUUCUGCAGAUACUCCUUGACGAUUCCACUACCUUGCCUUAAUUCUCGGAAUUCCCGCUUCUUAAUGGUCAUCAUUCCGGGAGGAAUAUGAGUAGCGCGGAAUCCUUACUUGAACAAUGUCCAAGUGAUAGCUUGCCCUUCUUGCGCGAUCUCGAACCCGUCCCACCAAUCUCUGGCCGUGCCUCCGAGACAGUGAGAAGCAUAAAGGUCUUUCUCGGGAUCAUAGGUGCACUUGACUAGCACGAGGAGGUCUUCGAUAGUGCGGAUCUAGUCAUCGGCAUCCAAUGGUUCAGUCGUCUCCGUGAAUAUAGGAGGCGUAGUCUGCAUAAAUUCAGAUAGAGUAGAGCGACCGUUGCCAUUUCUGUUUUGUGGCGGAUUGUUCACCGAGACUUGAGCCAGUUGUUGGAUGGCAACAUUAUUGGCUGGACGUUCCUAUCGGUGGUCUUACAGGAACUGAGCCACAGUCAGGCUCUUUGGACGAGGCGGUGGCGGAGGAAUAUCGCCUUGCUGCUGCUGCUCGUGGUGAUCUCCAGCUUGAGCGUAGCCACCGGUUCCCUACUGCUCGCGAGAGGAGGCAGAGCCGUGGUUGCUGAAGGUGCUGGUGCGAGUUGAAAUCACUAUCCUGUCAGGGAAGUAGACAGGUCAAUAUGCCGAAUUGGUCGAGAAUCAUAAGGGAUGAUGCUCUAAUAAGGGGGUUUGGUGUCAUGCUAGUGCGAGAUUUUUAAAUAAAGGUUUUUGGGGAAAGCUAAUGCAUUAAAUUUAGAACAAGUGAUGUAGUCGCUUACAAGCUGCCUAAGGCAGAAAUGCGGCUUGCGUCAUACAUGUUCACACAACACUCAUGGUUCACAUGAACCGAUACAUGGACUCACUACGCUUGGGGAAGACUCCUGAUUGCCUAAGUCAUACUUCUAUGCGGCGGACUGCUCGAUCUCAUAGGCAUGUUCUGCAGGGUCUUCGUCUUCAUCCUCAUCGGUACUUUCCUCCUUCAGAGGUGUAUGAGACGGAAGUGGUCCAUCAUGGCGUCUCUUAGUCGGUGAAGUUGUGAGGAGCUCAGCAUACUCUUCCGUGGUUAGACGGUGACUCUGAAUAGGAGUGGCCUGGAGCGGUGGUAUUCCUCCUUGGAAGGCAAUGGCUGACUGCCCUCCGAGUGCUCCUUCAUUCUCGACCUUCCAGGUCUUCAUCUUUUCCAGGCGAAGUAGGUCCUUGACUUGGUGUUGCUCUUGGCGAAGCGUCAUCGACUCCUUGAUCAGAAGGUGAGUCAAGGUGUCGGCAGAGAGGCUGAAGUAGGUCUAAAACCUUAGUGGCGUCCCGUCCUCCGAAGAUGGGUAGAGUGUCCAACUCCCGUCAAUCCCAUCCUUAAUAAAAGGCAGGUGACAAGUAGCUAGCUCGUUAGCCAUCUCGGGAAGGAUGUCGCGGAGACGCACGAGUGCCUCUCGUCCGGCUGUCUCUACUGCAACAUCAGAUUCUCCAUAUGUGGUCCUUCAAAGAACGAACUACUUGGGGAGUCGUUAGCCUUCACUAUCACGCCCACGUGAUGCUCCUUGGUGUCGGCGUUGACCCAGUGCUCGUGGUAGAGGAAGAUGGUCGUGCGGCAUACUUGACACUUCUCGAGGCUAUCUCCCAAAAGUAGGGGAAAGCCCGUCUCUAGAAGCAUCUCAGGUACGGCAGCCAUCUACAAGUUGUAGGAGAGGGUUAGAAUUUAUUGGUGGGUGCAGAAAAUCUCAAGUGUAAGGGCUAAGUGCACUAAUCGUCUCGGCUAUCGUCCAUGCUACCUAAGGCUUCCUACAAUCAGGAUGGCUCUGAUACUAGCUCUAUGGGGACCCCGACUUACGAGUCAAGAUCGCCGAAUGAACGUGCUCAGUGAACCCAGAGAUCAAUGCUCACAAAACACACAGAUGCUGAAUAUUAAGAGUCUUACAUCCAAGUACCAAAAUAUUACAACACAUGACCGAUAAGGUCAACUUCACAAUGUAGGCCCUAUAAGGCCAAAUAACAAUGAUACAACUAGUAGCGAAAAUCUUAGGGCUAAGAGGGUGACCAUGCCAUGAGCCUACACCAACAGGCAUUCUGACUAGCACGCGUCCUAGUUCGUAGGGUCGUCUCUGAUGACGUACUCUUCUCCAAACUCCGGCCCUUCCAAGUCUGGUCAAUAAUAUAACCAGUGGCAAGCCAAUGAGUACUUUGAAUGUACUCGCAAACAGCCCAUGAUAUGAACAAAUUAAUUUAUGGAAUAACGAGUAACAUGCAGUAUUGGUGGAUAGAAGCUAGAUGAUAUUAAGAAGAACAUGUGGGGACCCCGACUUACGAGUCUAGAUCGCCGAAUGAACGUGCUCAGUGAUCCCAGAGAUCAAUGCUCAUUGAACACACAGAUACUGAAUAAUAAGAGUCUUACAUAAAUACAUACCGUUUGAUACAACGAAUGACCAUUUCGGUCAAUCUUACAUAUAUAGGGCCUUCGGGGCCAACACACCAAACUGGACCAGUAGCGGAAAUAUUGAUCGAAAGCGUGAACCCAUGCCAUCAGCCUUAACCUACAUGCAUUCCGACUAGGAAGCGUCCUAGCUCGUAAGAACGUCGCCGAGUUACUCUUCAUCAUAUCCUGUUCUUUCAUACGUGGUCAAUGAAAUAACCAGUGGCAAGAUAAUGACUACUUUUGAUUGUACUCGCAAACAGCCAUGAUAUGAACAAUGAAAGUGAAGGAUAACAUUAACAUGCAUCUCUGGUGGAUAUCUCUUGGUAGUAAAUAAACUUGAUCGCGGGGAUGCAUCAUAAGUUAAGAACUACCUUUGAGGAACACGUUAUAGAUAUCAAUAUAUCUGUUGAGGGAAGAACCAUCCAGGGUCACCCUAUAUGCCAAGUCACCAAACAUGGUCAUAUCAUUAAUGUCAUAAUAACUCCUUUUCGACACAACUACCUCACACUUGGUUUGUGCGGAAAUGACUGGACGUUGUUUAAGCAACACCACCCAACUGUCCUUGACCGUGGACAUGGCUAGUCGAAUAGUUUUACACUCUGCAGAGGUAGUACGCUGGACCCACAAGAUCCGGGAAACUUCCAUGUCAUGCACGACUCGCGGUACAUAACAUACUCGAGGUAAGUACCCGAUCAAUGCCUUUCCCCCGACGACACUAGACAAAGAGGUCCACUUGAUUGGUACCCAUCCCACAUGUUGUACGUCUUACGAGCACCGACUCUGGACAGUAUCAACCAUGCGGCGACCAACGGUAUGCGUGGAACUCAUAAAAAUGGCAUAGUUGUCCUACCUAGCACGACCCCAUCACGAGAGUGACCACACGUCACUCCCGCCACUAGUAAUGUGGUUCUUUGCUAGCACCGACCAGAGUAAUUAACAUAGCCCCGUCCCAUAAGGGUAAUGUGGUCGUACUGGUAAGGUUGGGACGGUUGACACAUCAUAAAUCUAAUCCCAUUUCUGAAACCAUACUCACUCAAAAUACCCGGUGCACCACUUCACCAAAAGUGGCCACCUAACUCAUCAUCACCCCCGGGCAUUAGUGGCACCCGACGGGGUUUUCAUAAGCCUUUCAUUUAUAACAACAACAUGCUCAUGCUAUUUACUCUAUCAUUACUUGUCAACAUGAUGAUAGCAUGAUCCUCAAAAGGGGUAGGAUCAAGCUUAAUGCAUGUGCUCCGGAGGAGCCAUCGGUAACAUCACCUUAGUGAUUUACCACCACUUAUGAUAAUAUGCAACGGAAAUACUUGCUAUCUUAACAUGCAAUUAUAACAUAUGCUCAGUCAUGGUCAAAGGGCUGCUUGCCUUUGCUCACAUAAGCCCUCGGGGUCUUCGAGCUCUUCCACUCCAACUCCGAGUACCCCGUUUACCCGUCAACUAUCGUCGGAAUCAACCACGGUAAGCCACACAGCAGGCAGAAAUAAAAGUGCUACAAAAAUAGAAGUUAUAUUUUUCUUGGACCCCUAUGGUCUUAAAAAAAUACGUGAAGCUUGUCAUAGGAGGUUUGGAUCAUCAGGGAUUUCUGAAAGGAGGAAAGGGGGAUUAGGGGAUUCUUUAUGAAGCCCACAGAAUAAAUUAUGAUAAAAAUAAGUGGAGGCACUCAUUCAACAUCGAACAAUUUUAGAAAUAUUUAGGAAGUUGUUUCACUAGAUUUGGAGUCGAAAUGAAUAUUCUAGGAAUUUUCUAGUAUGGAAUAAAUAUCAAUAGGAAGCUAUUUAUUUAAAUCAACAGAAUAAAGCCUCAUAAAAAUGUUAACCAAUGCUCUAGAAAUAUGGCAUGAUAUUAGAAGGCUCUAGAAAUUGGAAUCACUCCAUUUGGAGCUAAUUUGAACCCUAUAGGAUAUUCACAAAGUGGGGCCAAAUAUAUUCAGAUUUGGAUUUAAAUAAUAACACCAAAUAAAGGUUGCUUGGAAAAAUGUUCAAAGCACAUAUUUGGAUAGCCCUGAAUUUUAGGAACCUGCAGGAGUUUGAAUCAAACAAUUUGGAGUUAGAAUGAUUUUUGAUGGAUUUUUGAAGUUAUACAAAAUAGGAAAAUGAGAAAAGGAGCUUAACCUCGGCGUUAUCUUGCGCCCACAGGCACGGCUUGGCCAGCCGCGGCCACGCAGGAGGCGCAUUGCGCGAACUACGCCUUCCCGUGAGUAGGCGGCUUCUUACGGAGGCACAACCACUUAAACCAGUGGCCCCGGGUCUUAUACGCUGACUGUGGGGCCCACCCGUCAGCUCCUUUGUCCUCCUCCCGCUCGACAGAGAGGAGGGAAGGGGAGGCUGGGCCGUGCGGCGCCGGCACCGAUUUGGCCGCUCUGGGAUCCAAGAGCGAGGGCGAGCUCGGCCUUUGCCCGAGUUGGAGCGAGGAACGGAGGAGGGCCUCGGCCAUGGGGCUUACACGCCGCGGGGGAAAGAGCUAGCAGGCUCCAGGGAGAGAGCAGGAGUUGGGGAAGAAGCUAGAGAGGGUUAGAGGAGCCGAGAGGGGCUCGGGAAGAAGGAAUAAGAGAGGGAGAAGCGAAAAAGAGCUUAGGAGCUCUCAAGAGCUUCCUAGUGCAAGGAUGCCACGCGUGCCUCAGGAAGCUUCGAAGCUUGCUGAUGAUGGGGUGUGGUUUGAACAGUCAAAAGAAAGCUCUGAGACAUGCUGAGACAUCUUGGACCAGCUUGAAAUGGACUGGAGGAAGGAAACAAAGUGCACAACACCAUUUCUGCACUCUAGGGUGGUGGUCACCACCCCACUUGGUGUCCUGGGCCACCCUUUGGCCAGGCCAAGGUGUCAAACAUGCAAGGCAUGCAGGCCAUAAGGCACUGGUGAAAUUUGGCCCCAAGUGGAGAUGGUCUGAACAGGUUUCGAUUGGUGCUAAGUUUGCAGCAGCAAACUUAGGGCUUCUAAUGAAGGCACUAACAAGAGAGAUAAUGGGGGGAAAGCAUGUCUAACAGCCUUAGGCAUGGAAGGACUUCAUUUCUGCGAAGUUUCAACUCAAGCAAGGGAGGGUAGCUACUACUUGUUGUACAGAGUUAUGUUUCAGCCACAAUUCAACUUGAGGAUGUGCUGCUCAUUUUCUCCACAUGAGCAUGCCAACUCUUGGCUUUAAACAUUGCUUUGGGUUGCUAGGGACCCUCUGGCAAUAGGUGGGGCUUUAGCUUACACAGAAGUGGGGCAAGAGGGGUAAAGAUGGUGAUUCCAAGUGUAAAAUGAGGAAUAAUUACAUGGAUCCUCUCUCCAAUGAUUAACCAGUGGUCAUGUAAAUGUUACUGGAGGUAAGAUGUAACUAUAUGAAGCUCUUGUAGAAAGUUGAGCUCAAGGGUAAAAGUGGAAGGGGCCAAAGUAGCUAAUAAAGUGAAUGCACACAAGGUGUUUGAUGAGUGGCAGAGCAAUCAAAUGGACUUCAAUGGAUACGAAACUAAAUAGGAUCAAAUAAUAGAAGAAAAUAAGCUUGGACACCAAAUUUGGGAUUUGGUGGACAAGGUUUCCAAUCUAGACUUGGAAAACCCUUGAAAUGGGCAGAAAUACUUUCUUCUUACAAAUCCAUCCAAAUCAAUACCCACAAAUCCAAUAUUUGGUGUGGGGCAUUAUUUGAGAUUUAAGGCAUGCACACAAAGUUUGGGGUCCAUUGGAGAAACUUUAUAAUGUAAAGUUUCCCAAAGUCAGAAAUCAACAAAGAGGGUUUUGAGGGGCUUCGAACAAGUUCUUCUAUUCUCCUUGAUGCACCACUUAGUGUGGAUGCAUUAUUGGAGUAUUAGAACAUGCCCGCCAAAUUUGAGCACAAUUGGAGAUACUUGACAACGAAGAGCUGCUCAAAUUUAGAUCUGAAUAGAUAGGGUUUUAGAAUAAUUAGAGCAGUCAAAUCAACUUGGAUUGAGAUGAAACUUGGCAAGAUCAUCAAACAUAUCAUAGGUGACAUGCUGGAAUUUUACUAGAAUUUAUUCAGAAUAUUUCUUAUAGAAAUAUUCAAAAAGAUUGAAAUAGGCAAGAAGGGUUUUGGGGGGGUUUGCCCAAUAUUUUGAACAUGACCAUGUCUUGAAACUCAUAUAUAUGGAAUAUACAUACUCACUGAGUUUCCCUAAAUUUUCUUAAUUAUUUGGAAAGCAAUAAAAACAACUUUCCUUCAUAAGAGACCAUUUCUGACCUCACAGGAAGGCAUUUAAAUAAAAUAAUAAAAUAACUUUAUAACAAAAAUAUUAGGGUUUCUCGAAGACAUUUUGAUAAUAGGUUUUAAAUAAAAUAAUUGAUGCAAAAUAAAUUCCCUAAUUUGAGGACUUGUAGUACAAACCUCAUUUGAGGGGGUUUGAAAGCUUAAUUCAAGGAAAUGCAUUUUGGUGAAAAUAAUAUUUGGUAAAAAUUGUUUCUGGUCCUAAACACAUGGCAUGAUCAUUAGGUAUGAAUUUUGGGCUAGGGAGGUGAGUGUGGAGAGUAACAGAAAUUGCUGAGAAUCAAUCACAAGCAUACAAGCAAGCAAGCAAACAAUAGUCACUUCAAGCAUCACAAGUAUUCACAAAAAAAAUUAAUUGGUCCUAAUUUUUGAAAUAAGUUAAUUAGUAAGGAAAGCUAAACACAGGGUGUUACAGACAUUACCCCCUUAAGAAAAUCUCGUCCCCAAGAUUUGUUAAGGAGAAAACAAGGGCCUACUCCUGCUAUGUUGCUGGUUUCACCGGUAUCAAUAAUCUAAAACACUCGGUCCGACGUGGUCACUUCAAGAGUGCCACUUAUUGGUGCAUCUGUGUUCUACGAAGAUGUCGGAGAAAGGAAAAUUUGCAAUACCUGGUUGCUAGUCGUACCUGGUGCUUGGCCCCUACUCCGGCUGACAGGUGGGCCCAGGGGGCACCGUCAGCCUCUUCUUCUUCCUGUGAUGCUUCUUUCCUGAGUGAGUCCCAUGUGCUGCCUCCACUUGCAGUGCUUAGGGCGUAGGGCGUCCGGGGCCGCCCUGCGGUGGUGCGCGGUGAGCCAACUGCCGACGCAACGAGCACUCACCUCGUGGGCCUGUGCAUGUCGGCACUGCUCUGGGAUUCCUAGCGAGCACCGAUGGUCGAGCGGGAAACAGGGUUGGUGGCCUUGCGAGUGGCUCUCCGAGCCUGGCUAUAAAUUGGCCAGGGAGUCCUUCUCUUUUUCCCACCCGGCCUAGUUCCUUGCUCCUGCUCCGGUCCUCUUCCUCCUUCUUCUUCUCCUUAGAGGUGCUAGAGGAGGGAUGCCAAUGGCGGACAAGACCCCGGGGUGGCUCAUAAUAUUCCUGUCCAGGAUGGUGGCGUUGCUGGUCGGGGUCUCGACGCUAUACUAGGUGAUCAUCCACGAUGAUCAUCAUGAUAUUGUCGCCCACACGGCGGCUCUCUGCGGCAGCAGAGUUCGUGAUGAUUAGGCAUCUGCUCAGUGCACGUGUGGUGCUAGUGUGCUAGUGGUGUCUCUGUGAAUAAAUACAUGCGCGGUUUCUUCUUACGAAGGAACCGAGGUGCAUCAUUGUGGCAAGUGGUUAGGUGUUGAUGUGUGUGCGGCUUUGAACGCUGUUGUGGUUCGGGUGGAGGUUGCUCCCGGUGCAUCUAUCCUUGCUGGUCUUAUUGUCUUGCAUGUCGUAGUCGGCGUAGUUGACAUUGGAGCUGCAAUAAAAUGUGUUGUUCCCUCUCCGUUGCCGUGGCUGCUUGAUCAUGUUGACGCUUCAUCAUGCUGCAAGAAAUUGUCUUCGGUUGCUCGAGGGUUACAGUCUGCAGAGUGUGUGGCUCGUCUAAACAUGACUGAGGUAUUCAUCCUCUUACUCGUGAAUGAGCAUGUCAUUCGCGAGGACAACAACAUAUCUUUCCCAAGCAUCUCGUAAGUGCAGUCCUCAUGAGACAGGUGAGGGGAAUGGGAUCUUGCUAUGGGCGGGUACUGGCCAUAUUCCAACGACUUAGAGUCGUCCUCUAUGGUCGUAAUCCAUGCAUCUUGUGGCUCGGUGAAGCUUAGGGUCUCAAGGAACUUAGGAUGUGGGUGAACAGUUAUCAUUGUAUCUCUAAGCACACUCCUUAGAUGCCAGUAGUUCGACCUCUAACUUGGGACGACAUCAACCUAUUUCAGCAAAGAUUCCAUCUCACUUGGGUCAUCUCCACACUACUCAUGCUAGUCAACUCCAGGGUUGAGAGGAGAACUAAUCCCAAACACUACAAGUACGUCAUAGCUACGAUGCACAUACAUUCUUAUGCAAGAACCUCGGGAAGGCCUACAAGCUCCUAAGCUUGAAUUUAAGACACCACAAAUCCAAAUGUCCAGCUAGAUCAUCCAAUUGAUAGGGUACUGCAUUACUAGAUUAAGGGAACACAUAGUAUACCAAUCCAAUAUCGUGUUUCCUUUCUAUGAAUCCGAUCAAGUGAUCCAUCAAUCCGAUCAAUCAUUACUGGACCUAUCACUCCUACGAAUCCAAUAUUUAUGGGUUCUACAUAAUCUCUUCGAGUCCUCAUAAUUCACAAUUUACUGUAAGGUUUAUGUCAUAGUAUAUCCACCAAUUUCCAAUAUCAUGGCCAUCUAAUCUCCAAGGCCAGUUCACAUAGGUUCAUGAAUAAAUUUGACAACUCCAAGUAUACGCACUUAUAUACAUCGAGAAACAUGGUAUCACGAUUAAGAUCAUCAAGCUAAAUCCAAUUCACUCCGAACCAUGUGGCCUCAUAUAUCAUCAAUAGUCUUCCGGUCUACCUAUUUAAAUCCAAUCUCAAGUCCAAUAAAGAACUCUUUCUUGAUACUCUGAGUCAUUUUGGUAAAAGUAGCAAAUCAUGCCAACUACGUUCUAAAGUCAUGUAUACCACCAACAAUUUAUUGUUCACGAUCAUAAUCGUCCUACUAAAUCCAACCUUACUCCAGGAAUAUGUAGGUUAUGCUACUAUAUCAACUUGUUCCAGCAAAUUCACCUACAUUAUAAGGGUAUUCCGGUACACCAAGAUAGUCCGGCUAUAUCCUCAAGACACCUAUCAUCAUCACAACAAUCUUUAGUAUAAUACUCUUAUAUCACAGAACGGUCCUUCUUAUGGCAUCAGGGUUAUGGUGCUAGCUUGAGAAUAAUGAAUGCUCGUUCACCUUGAUCACCUGUUCCUUAAAGAACCUGUUGCUAAGCGGGGUUUUAAUCGGGGCUCAACGGGUGUUUCUGGCAAGUCUGUGUAGUAGACGCGUGACCAAAAAAUUUGAGACGGAAAGGCUUGUGGAGGUUAGUCUGGUCUAGAGUGGUUUUCCAAUCUUGGAGUAAAGGCAUAACUCCUACGGGUUGUGUGGUUAAUCAUGGCAUAAUCAGUGUCUUCAGCCUCAGUUGUCCGUCGAAGUGGAUUUCUGAUGCAUCAUGUCUUGUUGGUCUUCAGUUGUCGAGAGGGGUGAGAGAGAGUGUAGCACACAGGGGAGUGCCUAAGGGGUGCUAAAAUGCGAGUGCAAUCAAACAAGCGUUGGAAAGUGAACUCAAACAAGUGCCAAAACCAUUUCGAACAUCAAAAUAAGACAGGUGAUAUAAUUGCAUGCUUGUUUCUCAAACAAUAGUGUGACUUAUAUCAAAGCACAAACAACAAAAACAAACAACACACAAUACGGUCCAUUCGAACCAUUUCACGGACUCAACUUUGCAUAGGGGAUUUACGACUCAUCCUACCCUAGGGUUCUCGGACUCGAUAGUUGUGCCUGCUUCGUGCUUCGAGGAGGAGUCCCUAAGUCUUCUGGACCUUCUCAUGGUGUUGCCACUUCUCUUGUUGUUGCUCGCCAAACGUCUUGGGUUGAGUUGAAAGAAUCAUUGAUGACUUUUCGUCUGGGAAGUUGGUGACGAAGGUAGUUCUUCAUUGCUGUCAUUUACAGGGUCUUCUGUUGUCGUCAUGAUCCUGUCUUCGUCUUCUUGUCUUCUGAGAGUUCGAGAGUCUCAAGUGGACAUCUUCAUGCAUUGAUAUUUAAAAGACAUGAUCGAGUUCUGAUCAUCGACACCUGGAGUGGGGGAUGAAGAGAACCGUUUUCCUUCUCACUAAGGUGAGGCGGACCAGUUGGCGAGGUUGCCAUCCACCGGUUGUGGUCGACACAACCAUAAUGUUGACAUGGUCACUCUAUUAAAGAUGCAGAUAAUGGUCGUGCACAUAUUAUGUCCUGAUCAUCGUAGGUGGAAGUGGCGUCACUCUGGAACAGUGCCGAGGGUGUUGUCAUCUUCUAAGCCUCGAUGUCCUUGUUCCUCUUGGAAGUACUUCUGUUAGUGUCGUCUGGUCGUAGAGUUGUCUUCUUUCUCCUUCAGCACAGGGGUGAUUGUGUGGAAGGGUUGUUUCCUUCCAAGUUUCCCAAGAGAAUUUUGAAGUAAUCCCAUGGUCAGGAAUGAGGGUGCUAGCGGCUAUUUGCAAGUUUUGAAGAUGCACACGAGGGAUGUCAAGAAAAUAAGAGUGGAAAUGCUAAGGCAAAACUUUGCUUCCUUUGAAAAUUUAGGAGAGGUGAGAAAGAUACAGGUUUGUAAAUACCUUUGAAAAGUAUGGAAAGCGGUUUUAUCCUAACUAACGUUCGUGCUAACUAAGGCUUCCUACAAUCAGGAUGGCUCUGAUACCAGCUCUGUGGGGACCCCGACUUACGAGUCGAGAUCGCCGAAUGAACAUGCUCAGUGAUCCCAGAGAUCAAUGCUCACCGAACACACAGAUACUAAAUAAUAAGAGUCUUACAUCCAUACAUACCGUUUGAUACAACAAAUGACCAUUUUGGUCAAUCUUACAUAUAUAGGGCCUUGGGGGCCACGGCACCAAACUGGACCAAUAGCGGAAAUAUUGAUCGAAAGCGUGAACCCAUACCAUCAGCCUUAACCUACUUGCAUUCUGACUGGGAAGCGUUUUAGCUCGUAAGAACGUCGCCGAGUUACUCUUCAUCAUAUCAUGUUCUUUCAUACCUGGUCAACGAAAUAAUCAGUGGCAAGCCAAUGAGUACUUUUGAUUGUACUCGCAAACAGCCAUGAUAUGAACAAUGAAAGUGAAGGAUAACAUUGACAUGCAUCUCUGGUGGAUAUCUGUUGGUGGUAAAUAAACUUGAUCACAUGGAUGCAUCAUAAGUUGAGAACUACCUUUGAGGAACACGUUACAGAUAUCAAUAUAUCAGUUGAGGGAAGAACCAUCCAGGUUCACCCUAUAUGCCAAGUCACCAAACUUGGUCAUAUCAUUACUGUCAUAAUAACUCCUUUUCAACACAACGCACUCACACUUGGUUUGUGCGAAAACGACUGGACGUAGUUUAAGCAGCACCACCCAACUAUCCUUGACCGCGGAUACGGCUAUUCGAAUAGUUUUACACUCUGUAGAGAUAGUACAGUGGACCCUCGAGAUCCAGGAAACUUCCAUGUCAUCCAUGACUCGCGGUAUAUAACAUACCCAAGGUAAGUACCCGAUCAAUGCCUUUCCCCGGAUGAUUGUAGACAAAGAGGUCCACUCGACUGGUACCCAGCCCACAUGUUGUACGUCUUACGAUCAUCGACUCUGGAUAGUAUCAACCAUACGGGGACCAAUGGUGUGCAUGGAACUCAUAAAAAUAGCAUAACCGUCCUACCUGGCACGACCCCAUCACGAGAGUGACCACAAAUCACUCCCGCCACUAGUAAUGUGGCUCUUUGCUAGCACCGACCAGAGUAAUUAACAUAGCCCCGUCCCAUAAUGGGUAACGUGGUUGUACUACUAAGGUUGGGGACGGUCGACACAUCAUAAAUCUAAUCCCAUUUCCGAAACCAUACUCACUCAAACUACCUGGUGCACCACUUCACCCAAAGUGGCCACCUAACUCAUCAUCACCCUCGGGCAUUAGUGGCACCCGACGGGGUUUUCAUAAGCCUUUGAUUUAUACCAACAACAUGCUCACGCUAUUUACUCUAUCAUUACAUGUCAACAUGAUAAUAGCAUGAUCCUCAAAACGUGUAGGAUCAAGCUCAAUGCAUGUGCUCCGGAGGAGCCAUAGGUAACAUCACCUUAGCGAUUUACCCGCACUUAUGAUCAUAUGCCACGAAAAUACUUGCUAUCUUAACAUGCAAUUAUAACGUAUGCUCACUCAUGGUCAAAGGUCUGCUUGCCUUUACUCACAUAAGCCCUCGGGGUCUUCGAGGUCUUCCGCUCAAACUCCGAGUACUCUGAUUACCCGUCAACUAUCAUCGGAAACAACCAUGGUAAGCCACACAGCAGGCAGAAAUAAAAGUGCUUCAAAAAUAGAAGUUAUAUAUUUCUUGGACCUCUCUGGUUUCAAGAAAAAUACUUGAAGCUUGCCAUAGGAGGUUUGGAUCAUCAGGGAUUUCUGAAAGGAGGAAAGGAGGAGUAGGGUAUUCUUUAUGAAGCCCAUAGAAGAUACUAUGAUAAAAAUGAGUGGAGGCACUCAUUCAACAGAGAACAAUUUUAGAAAUAUUUUGAAAGUUGUUUCACUGGAUUUGGAGUUGAAAUGAAUAUUCUAGGAAUUUUCUAGUAUGGAAUAAAUAGCAAUAGGAAGCUAUUUAUUUAAUACAACAGAAUAAAGCCUGAUAAAAAUGUUAAGCAAUGCUCUAAAAGUAGGGCAUGAUUUUAGAAGGCUCUAGAAAUUGGAAUCACUCCAUUUGGAGAUGAUUUGAACCCUAUAGGAUUUUCACAAAGUGGGGCCAAAUAUAUUAAGAUUUGGAUUUCAAUAGUAACACCACAUAAAUGUUGCUUGGAAAAAUGUGCAAAUCACAUAUUUGGAUAGCCCUGAAUUUUAGGAAUCUGCCGGAGUUUGAAUCAAACAAUUUGGAGUUGGAAUGAUUUUUGGAUGGAUUUUUGAAUUUAAACAAAAUAGGAAAAUGAGAAAAGGAGCUCAGGGUUAUCUUGCGCCCACGGUGCUAGAUAGGCCUUCGGGCCGGCCCACUGGCUCGGCUUGGGAGCCGCGACCACGCAUGGGCCGCAUUGCGCGAAGUACGCCUUCCGCUCGAGGAGGCGGCUUCUUACGGAGGGGGCCACUUAAACCAGUGGCCCCGGGUCUUAGCCGCUGACUGAGGGGCCCACCCGUCAGCUCCUUCGUCCUCCUCCCGUUCGACAUAGAGGAGGGAAGGGGAGGCUGGGCCGCGCGGCGCCGGCACCGAUCUGGCCGCUCCGGCCACCUCCCGCGGCGCUCCGGCCACCAGCUUGCUCGGGGCAUCGAGUCGCGUCGACCUAGAGAUUCCGUUCCCGCACGGGAACCGCGAGGAGAGCGGGCCUUGGCCGCGGUUGAGAGUGGCGAUGGUAGCCGUGGGGCGGCGCCCCGGCCACCUGGAUGGAAGCAAGGUAGGGGAAAAAAAUGUCCCGGAGGGUCUAGGAGGGUUACAGGGAUCCAAGAGCGAGGGAGGGCUCGGCCUUUGCCCGAGUUGGAGCGAGGACCAAAGGAGGGCCUCGGCCAUGGGGCUUGCACGCUACGGGGGAAAGAGCUAGCAGGCUCCAGGGAGAGAGGAGGAGUUGGGGAAGAAGCCAGAGAGGGUUAGAGGAGCCGAGAGGGGCUCGGGAAGAAGGAAUAAGAGAGGGAGAAGAGAAAAAGAGCUUAGGAGCUCUCUGGAGCUUCCUGUUGCAUGGAUGCCACGCAUGCCUGAGGAAGCUUGGAAGCUUGCUGAUGAUGGGGAGUGGUUUGAACGGUCAAAAGAAAGCUCUGAGACAUCUGAGACAUCUUGGACCAGCUAGAAAUGGACUGGAGGAAGGAGACAAAGUGCAGAGCACCAUUUCUGCAAUCCAGGGUGGUGGUCACCAACCCACUUGGUGUCAUGGGCCACCCUUUUGCCAGGCCAAGGUGUCAAACAUGCAAGGCAUGCAGGCCACAAGGCACUGGUGAAGUUUGGCCCCAUGUGGAGCUGUUUUGAACAGGUUUUGACUGGUGUUAAGUUUGCAGCAGCAAACUUAGGGCUACUAAUGAGGGCACUAACAGGAGAGAUAAUUGGGGGAAAGCAUGUCUAGCAGCCUUAUGCAUGGAAGGACUUCAUUUGUGCAAAGUUUCAGCUCAAGCAAUGGAGGGUAGAUACGACUUGUUGUACAAAGCUAUGUUUCAGCCACAAUUCAACUUGAGGAUGUGCUGCUCAGUUUCUCCACAUGAGCAUGCCAUCUCUUGGCUUUAAACAAUGCUUUGGGUUGCUAGGGACCCUGUGGCAAGACGUGGGGCUUUGGCUUACACAGAAGUGGGGCAAGAGGGGUAAAGAUGGUGAUUCCAAGGGUAAAAUGAGGAAUAAUUACAUGGAGCCUCUCUCCAAUAAUUGUCCAGUUGUCAUGGAAAUGUUACUGGAGGUAAGAUGUAACUAUAUGAAGUUGUUGUAGAAAGUUGAGCUCAAGGGUAAAAGUGGAAGGGGCCAAAGUAGCCAAUAAAGUGAAUGCACACAAGGUGUUUGAUGAGUGGUAGAGCAAUCGGAUGGACUGCAAUGGAUAUGAAACUUAACAGGAUCAAAUAAUGGAUGAAAAUAAGCUUGGACACCAAAUUUGGGAUUUCAUGGACAAGGUUUCCAAUGUAGACUUGGAAAAUCCUUGAAAUGGGCAGAAAUAGCUUUCUGCUUACAAAUCCAUCCAAAUCAAUUCCCACAAAUCCAAUAUUUGGUGUGGGGGCAUUAUUUGAGCAUUAAGGCAUGCACAAAACGUUUGGGGUCAAUUGGAGAAACUUUAUAAUGUGAAGUUUCCCAAAGUCAGAAAUCAACAUAGAGGGUUUUGAGGGGCUUCGGACAAGUUCUUCUAUUCUCCUUGAUGCACCACUUGGUGUGGAUGCAUUAUUGUACUAUAAGAACAUGCCCACCAAAUUUGAGCACAAUUGGAGAUACUUGACAAUGAAGAGCUCCUCAAAUUUGGAUCUGAACAGAUAGGCUUUUAUAAUAAUUAGGGGAGUCAAAUCAACUUGGAUUGAAAUGGAACUUGGCAAGAUCAUCAAACAUAUCAUAGGUGACAUGCUGGAAUUUUACUGGAAUUUAUUGAGAAUAUUUCUUAUAAAAUAUUCCAAAAGAAUGAAAUAGGCAGGAAGGGUUUUGGAGGGGUUUUCCCAAUAUUUUGAACAUGACCAUGUGUUGAAACUGAUAUAUAUGUAAUAUACAUGCUCACUGAGUUUCCCUAAAUUUUCUUAAAUAUUUUGAAAGCAAAAAAAAACUACUUUCCUUCAUAAGAGACCAUUUCUGGCCUCACAGGAAGGCAUUUAAAUAAAAUAAUAAAAUAACUUUUAAAAUAAAAAUAUUGGGGUUUUUGGAAGUUUUUUUGAUAAUAGGUUUUAAGUAAAAUAAUUGGUGCAAAAUAAAUUCCCUAAUUUGAGGACUUGUAGUACAAACCUCAUUUCAUGGGUUUUGAAAGCUUAAUUCAAAGAAAUGCAUUUUGGUGAAAAUAAUAUUUUGUAAAAAUUGGUUCUGGUCCUAAACACAUGGCAUGAUCAUUAGGCACGAGUUAUGGGCUAGUCUAGAGAGUAACAGAAAUUGCUGAGAAUCAAUCACGAGCAUACAAGCUAGCAAGCAAACAAUAGUCACUUCAAGCAUCACAAGCAUUCACAUUUUUUUAAUUGGUCCUUAUUUUUGAAAUAAGUUAAUUAGUCAGGAAGGCUAAACACAGGAUGUUACAGAACAUGUUACAGAUAUCAAUAUAUGUGUUAUGGGUUGAACACUCCGGGUUCACCCGAUAUGCCAAGUCACCAAACUUGGUCGUAUCCACUCUUUCUCAGAUAACACCAUUAAACACACACACACACACACUUGGUUUAUGUGGAAACGACCGGACGUAGUUUAAGCAUGAUUAGCCAACUUUCCUUGACCGUGGACACGGCUAUUCUAAUAGUUUUACACUCUCAGAGGUUGUAUGCUGUACCCACGAGAUCCGGGGAACUUCCGUGUCAUCCAUGACUCGCGGUAUAUAACAUACCCGAGGUAACUACCCGAUCAAUGCCUUUCCCUUGACGAUACUAGACGAAGAGGUCCACUCAAUCGGUACCCAGCCCACAUGAUGUAUGUCUUAGGAUCACCGACUCUAGACAAUAUCAUCCAUGCGGGGACCAACGGUGUGCCCGGAACAUGUAAAAACGGCAUAGUCGCCCUACCUGGCACGACCCCGUCACGAUACUGUCCACACAUGAGUCCCGCCACUAGUAAUGUGGCUCUUUGCUAGCACCGACCAGAGUAAUCAACAAAGCCCCGUCCCAUAAAGGGGUAACGUGGUCGCACAUGUAAGGUUGUGACGGUCGACACAUCGUAAAUCUAAUCCCAUUUCCGAAACCACUCACAUCAAAUGCCCGGUGCACCACUUCUCCAAAAGUGGCCACCUAUGUCAUCAUCACCCUCGGGCAUUAGUGGCAAACAACGUGGUUUUUAUAAACAUUUGAUUUAUACCAUCAUCAUGCUCAUGCUUCUACUAUGCUUAACUCUAUUUAUCAACAUGGUAUUAGCAUGACCCUCAUAGGUGGUAGGAUCAUGCUCACAAUGCAAGUGCUCCGGAGGAGCCAUCGGUAACAUCACUUCAAUGGUUUACCGAUACUUAAGAUCAUAUGCAACAAAAAUAUUUGUUCUACUUAGCAUGCAAUAUAACAUAUGCUCAAACAAGGUCAAAGGGUUGCUUGCCUUGAUCAGCUAAGUAUCCGGGGUCUUCCGGGACUUCAAGUCCAACUCCUUCGUCAAACGUGGUUUCUAUCGUCGUAAUAAAUAAAAAGCAAUAAGUAGCUCACUCUAAAACAAAUGACAAAGUCAGUUUAAAAAUGUUGUUUAAUUCUGAUAAAUCCAUAUUGUUAUUUUAAAAAUAUUUGUCUCUGGUUUUAGUGAAAGGAUUAUUUUUAAAAGUAUUUUAAUAGAAGAAAAACUAUUCCAAAUACCUUUUUAAUUAUUAUAAAGCAAAAAGGUUGUCUCAAAAAUUGUUCAAAAGGCUGUGUUAAAAACUACUCAUUUUUAGAACAAUUAUGGCAGGAGAAUUAUAAAAAUAUAUUGAAUAUUUAUUUUUAUAAAAAUCUUUCAAAAACAUAUUUAACAGAAAAAUGAAAAGGGGCUAGGCUCAGGCCUGGCUUGGCCCGAGGCUUGGGCCGACCCAGCUAGCCAGCCAGCGAGCCGAGGCGCACGCGCGACUAGGUUCAAACCUGACGCGCACACCCCUGCGGCUUGCGGCAAAGAGGAGAGAGAGGGGGAGACAGGAGCCACCGACAGCUGAGCCCCACCUGUCGGGGUCGUCUUCCACCUUGGGACAGAGAGGAGGGGAGGCUCGCCGGUAAUGCUACCGACGGCCUCGAGCCCAACCAAGGGCAGAAAUGGAACUAGCCUACCGUCGCCUACCAGCUGGUGGUCGAGAGGUCGACGGGGAGGCCCUGCUUCACACGCGACGAGGUGGCUACGACGGAGCAGUUUCGGGAGGUCAAUGAACUGGGUGCUACGGGUGUGGAUAAUCUCAGGGAGGUGAUGGGGAAGCUCCUUGAGGUUGCAAGGAACUCGUAGGAGGUGAAAGGAGCACGAGAGCUGUCCUGUAGCCUGAGAUCGACGGAGCUCCGAAGCAGCGGGGCCUCGGCCGAUCUCGAGCAUAGGAGCUCGUUAUGCGCAAAGGGAGAGGCUAGGGGUGGAAUUCAGGCUUUGGAGAGGUGCGAUGGAGGCGUUGUAGCGAGGGGGAAGCCCCAUUUAUAGGCUCCCAACGGUGUACUGAGCCGGUGGUUUCACCAUAGCUCGCAGGAGGAGAAAUGAGCCUUCGGGGUCGAAACCACGGUGUGCGGAUGUAGUUUAUUACCUGCGUGACCCACUGAGAGGGAGAGAGAGUGAGGAGGAGCGUGCACGCGUGGCCACGGUCUUCUGGUAGAUCUAGAGCGCGUGGGCAUGCGUCGCUCCGGCCAACAGAGCAAGGGAGGAGGGGCCCUGGAGAUGCCCUGAUGCAGAGAGGUGGUCGGGGACUCGAAAUGGCUUCAAGGGGAGGCUUGAAUCCGCCGGGCUGGCCACCUUAGCUUCGGGUGUGCCCAACAGAGUGCCCAGAGCACAGUUUUGGCAUGCCACGGCAUGGUGGCACGCUUUGGGGCACUUUGGCCUUGUCUGCGAUGUCCUUGGGCUUGGCUUGGAGAUGCCUAGCGGUUUGGGAGCCGAGGGGUUCACUGUUGCCCAUGGGAGGAGAGGAAAGAAGAGAUACCAGUGCUAGACGAGAAGUUCGAAUGAGGAUUUUGGGGCCUUCUGCUUGGAUUCAAAGAGGGUCCACUCUCAUGCAGUUGGGGAGUGGUGUUGGCUAGUUGGUCAAAAGGUUUGGAGGGAAGAGCUUAAGUGUGGAGUGGGGUAGGAGUUGUUUUGCUAUAAUGGAAGUAGGUGUUCGACGGGUGUUUGGAGUAGCAAUACCUCACCACUGGUGGCGAGAGUUAAUAGGAUUAGCUUGUGUGCAAAAAUAAGAUACUCAACGAAAUUUGAGCCUCAUUGGAUGAGUUUGGCAAUGCAAACUAGAAAUCUCCCCCCAAAUGGCAGUUAUGUCCCUUCCAAAGGGAUUGUGGGUAGAUUACCUCCUACAAAUCCCAUUUUUGGUAGAGACUCCUCAUUUGGGGUGUUGAACACUCCUGCAAAGUUUCAACCAAUUUGGAUAAACUUUGCAAUGUAGAGAUGUUUCAACUUGGUUCUGGAUAAACUUUGCAAUGUAGAGAUGUUUCAACAAAACCACCUUGGAAUGACGUGAAACUUGGUGUGGCCACUAAAUAUAGCUUGGGAAGGUUGCUGGAAUUUGAUAGGAUUUUAUUGGAAAUAUUCCAAAAGAUCAAAACAGACAUAAUAGGUUUUCAAGGAUUUAAUCAAAUAUUUUGAAUAUAAAUAGGGGAUGAAAAUCUUAUGUAUGGAAAAUAUAUGUCCUCUGAGUAUCUCCAAAUUUUGUCAGAUUUUUCUAAGACAGAAAAGUAUUUUUCCAUAUAGGAAUAUCAUUUCUCGCCUCAGAAAUAGACAUGCAAAUAAAAUAGGAAAAUAAUUUAUUAAAUAAUUAUUUUAUGGUUUUGGUGAGCUAAAAUAUUUUUAAAAUCAGAUCACCAUCUUUGGGUGAAAACACUCCCUUGUUGCCAAGGACUUGUAGCGCAACCCAAAGCAGGGUUUUGAAAUAGUCAGAAAUAAGAAAAUGAUUUUGAGAAUAUUUAGGUUAUGAAAAAUAUGAUUUUGAUAUUACACAAUCAAGCAUACAAGCAUACAAUGACAACCAUGGCACUCACAACAUUGGUUUUUGAAAAGUUUUAAAUUUUUGAACUAUAGUAAAAGUGAAGUGAAAACAAGGUGUGACAUUGGGCUCAUAUACGACCUAAUGAUACUUUCAGCCAAUAAACGAUUUGUGUAGGAAUUGGGCCAUUUUUUGCCAGAUUUGCAUUUCAGCUUAUAAGCGACACAUUGUAACGUUGGACCAUUUGUAGCCUAAUGUGCCUUUCGGCCCGUUAAUGACCGGCGCUACACAUGGGUCAUGUGUGGUCUGAUGUAAGAUUGGGGCUAUUAAUGGCUCGUAUAUUCGAUGACAGAUAUCCAGCUCGCUGAUAUGUCUCCAAUGUAUCUAUAAUUUUUUAUUGUUCCAUGCUAUAAUAAUAUCAUUCUAUGAUAUUUUUGUGUAUUUAUUUGAUGAUUCAUAUUAUUUUUUAGCACAAACCUAUUAACCGAGUGCCAAGUGAGAGUUGGUGUUUUCUAAAUGUUUUUUAUUUUUCAGGUUUACAGUACCAAACGGAGUCAAAAUACCACGAAACGUUUUGAUGAUUUUUCUUGACCAAAAGAAGACGUGGAAGACUUGGAAGAAGGCCAGGGGCACACGAGGGCCCCACAAGCCAACAAGGCGCGCCCAUGGGGGUGGCUAUGUCCUGUUAGCUUCUGGGCUACCCCCUCAUCUACUAACCCCAUUCUCUGGCUUAUAAAUUCUCAUAUAUUUUGAAAACCCUAGGGGCUCCCCAAACAGUUCCUCCACUGCCACAAGUAUGUGUUCCGCCGUGUGCCCAUCUGUUGCCCUAUUCUUGUGUCAUGCCAGAGGGGGGUGGGGUCGACCAUGGAGGGCCUCUACAUCAACCUUGUUGCUCCCAUGGUGAUGUGUGAGUAGUCUACCGCAGACCUACCGGUCCAUAGAUAGUAUAUAGAUGGCUCUAUCUAUCUAUCUAUCUAUAUAUAUAUAUAUUUAUGUUUUUCAAUACAAAGUUCAUUGCAUCUUCACGAUGAUCUAUUCGUUGUAAUCACUUUGUGCGGUGCGUUUGUUGGGAUCCAAUGAAAUGUGGCUUUACGUUAAGAUUAUUCAUGAUAAAUAUUUGAGUCUUUUCUGAAUUAUAUGAUUCUUAUUUGCAUCAUUAUUUUAUAUUCGUAAAUAUCUCCAAACUUAUUAUUUGAGUUUACUCUGUCUACAUCAUGUCAUUGUUCUCCAAACAUUACUCUAUUUUACUUAAUACUCUAGAUGCAUGCUGGAUAGCGGUCAACGGAUGGAGUAAUAGUAGUAGAUGCAGGAAGGAGUCAGUCUACUUGCUUAUGGACAUGAUGCAUAUAUACAUAUGAAUAUUUCUGUGAAUGAAUAUUGCAUAACACUACAGGAAUUAGCUUCUUUGUCGUCCGCCAUAACAAAAACGGCAAAGAGGACUCCACCGACGGCAUUGAUUAAUCCACAAACGGCAAAGAGAACACAUGUCGGCAAAGAUUUUGCGUCAGCUUACGACGACAUUGUAGCUUCUUUGCCGUCAGCCUACCCUAAGCGGACGGCAAAGCUCUUUGCCGUGAGUAUCUCGCACCGAGCAGUUGGCAAAUAAUUUGAGACGGCAGCCGUCAGGCAACGCCUCCGUUAGGGCUAACGGAGGCUUUAUCGUCUGCCUCCCUCAUCCCAUUUGUCGUCUGCUUUCCCCAACCCCUCUGCCGUCUGCCUCCCUCAUCCCCUUUGCCGUCUGCCUCCCUCAUCCCCUUUGUCGUCUGCUUCCCCGGGCAGCAGACGACAAAAAAGCUAUAUGGGCAGCUGCUGCUGCCCCCCCAGGGUGCACAGCUAGGUGCUAUGUGGCACCUUUGCCGUCAGCCAGCUGAUGGCAAAGGGCUUUGCCAUCAGCUCACAGACGGCAAAGAGCCCAUAUAGCUUUUGUUUUGUUUGAUUUUUAUUAUUUCACAACAUAUAUAUAUAUAUAUAUUUCACAUCACAUAUAUGAUAUAUAUUUCACAACACAUAUAUAUAGUUCACCACACAUAUAUGAUAUACAUAUAAAGUUCAUCAAUGUACAUCCCAUAUAUUAAAAGAACCAACAUACAAAGUUUUACACUGUUCAUCCAUAUAUACAUAUACAUAUAGUUCGACAUUGUUCAUCAACUAAAAUGAAAACUCGAACUAAUAAGGCACUCCAUGAAUGCCAGCUUCCAUGCAUGUAGUACAUCCAAUCUGCAAAAAUGUGAAUAAGAAAGUCAGAACAAGAAUAACAUAUGAUGUUUCUGAGCUAAUUAUGUCAUUUUAGAGGAAAACAAGCUAAGUAUAUAAUAUUCAUGAGCUAACCAAGGUUCUUAUGCCAUUUUGAGCUUAUUAUGUCAUUUUGGAGCUAAAUGGGCUAAUUAUGUCAUUGUUGGGGAAAAUAAGGUAAGAAGAAUAACAAAGAGGAGAAGAAAGAUGAGAAGGAGAAGAAGAAGAAGAAAUCAAGAAGAAGGAGGAGAAGAAGAAGAAGAAGAAGAAGAAGAAGAAGAAGAAGG